UUUUUUUUUCUGGUGCGGUUCCGUUGGGGAUUGCCCUUGGUCUGAAGGUGUUUUGUGUUUUUUGUUUUUGGUUUGUGCGCGUGCGAAGAAUUCGGGGAAGCACGGGGCCGGGCAGGUGUGCCAGAUCUGCGGCGACGGCGUGGGCACGGCGGCGGACGGGGAGCUCUUCACCGCCUGCGACGUCUGCGGCUUCCCGGUGUGCCGCCCCUGCUACGAGUACGAGCGCAAGGACGGCACACAGGCGUGCCCGCAGUGCAAGACCAAGUACAAACGCCACAAGGGUAAUGCCCUCCUCGCAAUCUCCAUCGAUUUUCGUGCGGUUCAGGUUAAGGGGACGUGGUUAGGCUCGAGCAGCUAUUGAGAUCAAUCAGAUGCUCGCAUGUUUAGCUCUAGGAGCAGAGAAUAAUUCAGUGAUUGGCAAACUUAUUCAGAUUCUUACCAGAAGCUUGCCCUUUCAAUGAAUGUGGUAUUCAAAUUGUGUUGUAUUGUUUAGGGAGCCCUCCUGUGCAUGGUGAGGAAAAUGAGGAUGUUGAUGCAGAUGAUGUGAGUGACUACAACUACCCAGCAUCUGGCAACCAGGAUCAGAAGCAGAAGAUUGCUGAGAGAAUGCUCACCUGGCGCACCAACUCACGGGGUAGUGAUGUUGGCCUUGCUAAGUACGACAGCGGUGAGAUUGGGCAUGGGAAGUAUGACAGUGGUGAGAUCCCUCGAGGAUAUAUCCCAUCACUCACUCAUAGCCAGGUUGGACCUGCAUUUUAGACUUUUAAGUUGAUUGUAUUAAUUACAUGUCAGAUGAUGAAACUAAUGCUCAGUUUCUUCAUAUGAGUUCAUUGUACAGAUCUCUGGAGAAAUUCCUGGAGCUUCCCCUGAUCAUAUGAUGUCUCCUGUUGGGAACAUUGGCAGGCGUGGACAUCAAUUUCCCUAUGUGAAUCAUUCUCGUAUGUUUAUCAAUCAACAAUCAUCACUAUCUCAUGUUUUGCUGUCUACUUCUGCAUCUGCUGUGAUCUAAUUUGUGCAUCUUGUUUCGUACCAGCAAACCCAUCAAGGGAGUUCUCUGGUAGCCUUGGUAAUGUUGCAUGGAAAGAGAGAGUGGAUGGAUGGAAAAUGAAGGACAAGGGUGCAAUUCCUAUGACUAAUGGGACAAGCAUUGCUCCCUCAGAAGGACGUGGUGUUGGUGAUAUUGAUGCAUCUACUGACUAUAACAUGGAAGACGCUUUACUGUAAGUUUGAAUAUGAUUGUGUAUACCAUUAACCAGCUUUGAGUGUACCAUUCCUGCAUUAUGUCAGGCACUAACACUGUUAACAGUACUUUGCACUUUAAUGUGUUUGUAAGUCUAAAACUGUAUGUGAAAUCCUGCCCUUUUGGACAAACUUUAUGCAUUGCUCUCGGGUUAAUUACUUAUACAUUAUAUGGAUGUAGAUCUCUCUAUCAAACAUGCUCAUGCUGACUUUUCAUGUCCCUUUUAGCAUUAACUUUUGUGGGUCCAAAUUGUAGGAAUGAUGAAACUCGGCAACCUCUAUCAAGAAAAGUGCCAAUUCCUUCAUCCAGAAUAAAUCCCUACAGAAUGGUCAUCGUGCUACGUUUGAUUGUUCUAUGCAUUUUCCUGCACUACCGCAUCACAAAUCCUGUGCGCAAUGCAUAUCCACUGUGGCUGUUGUCCGUUAUAUGUGAGAUUUGGUUUGCUCUCUCCUGGAUCUUGGAUCAGUUCCCAAAGUGGUCCCCAAUCAACCGUGAAACCUACCUUGAUAGACUGGCUCUAAGGUGAUGUGAAAUAUUUAGUGCGAAUACAGAACUGUUUCAGUUGCUCUAAUACUGGAAAUUUCACAAUGCUACUUCCAUUAUCAGGUACGACCGAGAAGGUGAACCGUCUCAGUUGGCUCCUGUUGAUAUUUUUGUCAGUACCGUGGACCCUAUGAAAGAGCCUCCUCUUGUCACUGCAAAUACUGUGCUUUCCAUUCUUGCUGUGGACUAUCCGGUUGACAAGGUAUCUUGCUAUGUGUCUGAUGAUGGAGCUGCUAUGCUGACUUUUGAUGCACUCGCUGAAACUUCAGAGUUUGCUAGAAAAUGGGUACCAUUCUGUAAGAAGUACAACAUAGAACCUAGGGCUCCAGAGUGGUACUUCGCUCAGAAAAUUGAUUACUUGAAAGACAAAGUCCAAACUUCAUUUGUUAAAGACCGCCGGGCCAUGAAGGUAUAUUUGGCUUAUAUGCAUGUAGGUCUUGUCAGUUCCUUCUGCUGUAUGGCAUUGAUUUCUAUUUUGAAAACAUACUUGACAGAGAGAAUAUGAAGAAUUCAAAGUCCGUAUUAAUGGCCUUGUAGCCAAGGCACAAAAAGUUCCUGAGGAGGGAUGGAUCAUGCAAGAUGGUACACCUUGGCCUGGGAACAAUACUAGGGACCAUCCUGGAAUGAUUCAGGUGAAGCUCAAUUUUUGUUGCCAAAAAACUAUUUGACCAACAGAUUGAUUUCCCAACACACAGUGGUUAUUAGUCUAAGCACUUUAAGCCCAAAAUUGUGGUCAUUCUUAGGUUUUUUUAGGUCACAGUGGAGGCCUUGAUGCUGAGGGCAAUGAACUUCCUCGUCUGGUUUACGUGUCUCGUGAAAAACGUCCUGGAUUCCAACAUCACAAAAAGGCUGGUGCCAUGAAUGCGCUUGUGAGUGGCUAAACACUAUAUAUGUCGAAUGGUAUCUUGAUACUUUUAUAACUUGGAUAUAAUGGAAGUUGAAUGCUUUCUGCAGGUUCGUGUAUCAGCUGUCCUUACUAAUGGGCAAUACUUGUUGAAUCUUGAUUGUGAUCACUACAUCAACAAUAGCAAGGCUCUCCGAGAAGCUAUGUGCUUCCUUAUGGACCCAAACCUAGGAAGGAGUGUCUGUUAUGUCCAAUUCCCUCAGAGGUUCGAUGGCAUUGAUAGGAAUGACCGAUAUGCAAACAGGAACACUGUGUUUUUCGAUGUAAGCUAGCAAUAUCCUUUUAAAUACUUUUGGGCAUCUCACUUCCUCAUUUUCGUGAGCAUAAAGAAAUUUCAAUGAAUUAGUGUUGACAAUACUUGUUAUGUGAUGAACUUUUCAAGAAUUCCAGUGAAUGUGCCAGGUAAUUAUCUGUAUUUCUGCAGAUUAACUUGAGAGGUCUUGAUGGACUUCAAGGACCAGUUUAUGUGGGAACUGGUUGUGUGUUUAACAGAACUGCCCUAUAUGGUUAUGAGCCUCCAAUCAAAAAGAAAAGGCCAGGCUUCUUCUCUUCACUCUGUGGGGGAAGGAUAAAGACAUCAAAAUCUAAGAAGAAGAGCUCGGAAAAGAAGAAGUCACACAAACAUGCAGACAGUUCUGUGCCAGUAUUUAAUCUUGAAGAUAUAGAGGAAGGGAUUGAAGGUAUCAUCGAGCUGAAUUUUUUUUCAUUAGAGUAUAUGUGAUUUCAAUAUUGCUGAUUGUUGGAGACCACGAUUUUGGUGCCCAUUUAUUUACUAUUUAUCUGCUUUUAAAUGUAACAUACUGUAGACAACUAGAGUUGCCUUUCUUUAUUCCCUCAACUUUUACCUUGCACUUGUUCUAAAAAAAAAACUUUUACCUUGCACUUCACUUUCAUGAUAGGUUCUCAAUUUGAUGAUGAGAAAUCGCUGAUUAUGUCUCAAAUGAGCUUGGAGAAGAGAUUUGGCCAGUCCAGUGUUUUUGUUGCCUCUACUCUGAUGGAAUAUGGUGGUGUUCCACAAUCUGCAACUCCAGAGUCUCUUCUGAAAGAAGCUAUCCAUGUCAUCAGUUGUGGCUAUGAGGACAAAACUGACUGGGGAUCUGAGGUAAUGGUUCCUAAACUCCGAAAGUUAUAGUUUAUAAAAUCAGCAUUGCUGAUGCUCGUGCUAUUACUUGCUACUAGCAUGUACUCCCUCCAUCCCAAAUGAUUAGUCGUUUUUGUUUUUCUAGGUGCAUAGUUUUUGCUAUGCAUAUACAUAUAUGUUAUGUCUAGGUGCAUAACAAAAUCUAUGUAUCUAGAAAAGCCAGAACGACUAAUAAUUUGGGACGGAGGGAGUACAGGGAAAUAUUGAGAUAUGAAUUAAUGUUUUGUUGUCUGGUCUAUGCAUACAACUUUUGAAUUUUGUUAUAAAUAUCUACUUCUGUUGUUGCAAAUGAUCUAUUUAUUAUUCAAUUGAAGAGAGAAAAAUGUUUAUUCACUGUAAAUCUUCGAAAUGGUUAAUUGCAGAUUGGAUGGAUCUAUGGUUCUGUUACAGAAGAUAUCCUCACUGGGUUCAAGAUGCAUGCUCGAGGCUGGCGAUCGAUCUACUGCAUGCCUAAGCGACCAGCUUUCAAGGGAUCUGCUCCUAUCAACCUUUCAGAUCGUCUGAAUCAAGUGCUUCGAUGGGCUCUUGGUUCCAUUGAAAUUCUUUUCAGCAGGCAUUGUCCCAUAUGGUAUGGCUAUGGAGGACGGCUUAAAUUCCUGGAGAGAUUUGCAUAUGUGAACACCACAAUUUAUCCACUCACCUCAAUCCCACUCCUCCUGUACUGCAUAUUGCCGGCUGUUUGUCUUCUCACUGGGAAGUUCAUCAUCCCAGAGGUAAGACACAUGCAUUUAUGUACUUGUGCUGGCAGAAUUAUGAAAGAAUUGAUAUUGACUUUUCCCCCUUAUGGAAUGCAGAUUAGCAACUUUGCCAGUAUUUGGUUUAUAUUGCUUUUUAUUUCUAUCUUUGCCACUGGUAUCCUUGAGAUGAGGUGGAGUGGUGUUGGCAUUGAUGAAUGGUGGAGGAAUGAGCAGUUUUGGGUUAUUGGUGGUAUUUCUGCCCAUUUAUUUGCCGUCUUCCAAGGUCUUCUGAAAGUACUUGCUGGUAUUGAUACCAGCUUCACUGUCACCUCUAAGGCCACUGAUGAAGAAGGUGAUUUUGCGGAGCUCUACAUGUUCAAGUGGACAACGCUUCUGAUCCCUCCAACCACUAUUUUGAUCAUCAACCUGGUUGGUGUGGUUGCUGGCAUUUCCUAUGCGAUCAACAGCGGCUACCAAUCAUGGGGGCCUCUCUUUGGGAAGCUCUUCUUCGCCUUCUGGGUGAUUGUCCACUUGUAUCCCUUCCUCAAGGGUCUCAUGGGGAGGCAGAACCGCACGCCCACCAUUGUUGUCGUCUGGGCCAUCCUCCUCGCAUCGAUCUUUUCCCUGCUGUGGGUUCGCAUCGAUCCAUUUACCACCCGAGUCACUGGUCCUGAUAUCGUAAAAUGUGGCAUCAACUGCUAGAAUGGUCGAACAUAAUAGGAAUGUAAUUGGCACCCAUUGUGUUGUAAGUUAUCAGCAGGUGACACUUUUUAUUAUGGUAGGAACUCUGUUGUCAGAACUUUACUUUCGUAUGCACUAAUAUGUACCUUGGAUUUGGAUAUCGAUUAUCGAUAAGUUAAUAUCACUGCCUUGUUUGGAAGUGUCUGACAGUAUCAAUUAAUCAUGUGCGGCCCAGCAGGUUGAUUUAGUGUAUAAAUUCAAAUCUCAUCUGCCAAUAUCAAAUGCAUUAACCCUGGAGAAUCAGUUGUUGUUGCUUUGUAAAGAAGAAUUUACAGGAAUUUUACAACCACCAAUUCGCAGAUACAGUAACAAACACUGCCAUUUUACUACGUCUUUAUUAUGCAUACCCUGACUUUUUAAAUGCUGCUCAAUUCCAAUCCCUCGUACUCAUAGUUUUUGGCAGUGCAAGGCUGUGGGAUAACGGUCCCCGAUCUCCUCCAUUUUGCAUUCUGGCAGGUGCUUUCUGUGGCGCCCUUGCCGCCCUGCAUCUUCAGGUCAAUGUUCUGCAAGGUAAUGCCAUGGCAUGGGACAUGCUUACUGCACUUCAGCUUAAUGGCGUCCUCGGUAAUUGUUGUCCCCCUAAUGUUCUUGAAUACCACAUUACUAACCUCCACUGCUGAUCUCUGUUCUUUGCAUGGGUUAUUCUUGUCGCAAUAGUUCUGAUCGAUGAUUAUCGGGUUCUUGACGCUGUACAUGAUCAUGUUUUGGAAUGUGAUGUCCUUGGCAUACCCGCUUCCUCCCUGGUACGUCUUGAUCCGUGCUCCAUUGGUUGUGCCGUAUAACUGCACUGUGUCUAUGUUAAUCCCGGAGACUUCAGCUCUGGAGUUGUCAUCUCCUAAGCUUCCUAUGCUGAUUCCGUGCCCUGGUCCGCACACAACUUUCGAGACAUGAAGAUUAUGCGUCCCGUGCUCAAUUGAUAUGCAAUCAUCUCCUGCAAAAUCCACGGCAAACAAGCAGAGUAUUUGGUUAAAAAGAAACCCAAAGGUACAGUACAAAAAGCAUUUGAUUUAUGAUUUUGAGCUGUGAAGAUGUCGAUGCUACUUGCCAGUCUUGAUCUUGCAGUCCGUGACCUUCACGUCUUUGCUUCGAGUGAUGUGGAUGCCGUCGGUGUUUGGGCUCGUGUCAGGAGCAGUGAUAGACAAACGUGCCAGCUGCACAUUGGUGCAGUCUUCCACCGACACGUGGAUUUGCUGGCUGUUGACAAUUUUCAGAUCCUCCACCCUCAAAUUCGUGCAGAAGUGGAACGAGAGCGCGGUUGGAGCCUCCUUGCACGGCUGCGCAAAAAAAGUUGAGCUGGGUCAGGACACUUUCAAUUUUCAAUUUAUAACUAAUUAUCCAGGUCAUGUGAAGGGGCGGCACCACACUUACGAGAGCCUUGUUGAUCUUGCACGAGUGCGGCCACCACUUGUUGCCGUUGCCGUCGAUGGUCCCGCCACCAUUGAUGGUGAGCUUGCUGACGCUCCUGAACACGAUCCAGAGCCUCCUGUCCCUGUCGCUCCAGUCCGCCCUGUUCGGCGACGCCACCAGCGUGCCCUUCACCGCGAGCGUGACGCCGGACCUGCACGGGCCGUGGAGGGUGACGAGCUUGAGCAGGUAUCGCCUGCCACCGGGGACGAGCACGACGGCCGGCCGCGGCGAGGCGCACGCCGCCUUCCACGCCCUGGCGAGCGCCUGCGUGUCGUCGUGCCUCCCGUCGCCGCGGGCGCCGUAGCGGUCGAGGGCGAACACGCUCGAGCCCAGCGGCCUGGCCCUGGUCCCGGCGGCGGCUCCGUCGACGGAGGUGCCGUUGGUCGUGCCCGGGGCCUCUAGAGCGCCGGGCGCGAAGAGCCACGCGAGGAGAGGCGCCGCGAACACGAGACGCGACGCCAGUGUCAGAGCGGCGAGCGCGUCGCCACCGUAGCGGUCGAGGGUGAACACGCCCUGCGUCCCCGACGAGCCCAGCGGCCCGUCCCCGAUCCCGGCGUCGGCUCCAUCGGCAGAGCUGGCCAGGGAGCUCGCGCCGUCGGCCGAGGUGCCAUUGGUCGUCGUGCCGCCCGCGGACUCUAGCGCGCCGGCGGACACGACGAGCAGCGCGAGGAGAGGCGCCACGAGCACAAGACGCGGCGACGCCAUUGGCGGCAGAGCUAGCUUGUGCCAGCGAACGCAGUUGCUCUGCUUGUUGCUUUGCUUUCGCGUUGGAUUGCUGGAUGGCGUGGUGACCAAGGAGCACGCCCAUGGCAUAUAUGCGCGGGAGCUAGAGCCAUGGAAUCUGGGAGAGGUAAGGCGAGGCGAGGGGUGGUUGCGUUGCUUGCGAAGAAGAGUAACGCGGGAGAGUUAGGUUGGCAGAUGCGAGUUCCGGAAUUUGGAGUGUGCACGCAGGUGAUCGAUGCGUCGCCAUGCCCAUGUGCGCAGGUUGUGGGGGCAAAAAACAAGAACAACUUCCAGAGCAACGCAGAUGGCAGCAAAACUUGAGCCGUUGCCUGCCCGCCUCCCGUACAGCGUACUGGGCAGUGGACGCUCUCCACACUCCAGUGGUUCGGCACACCGGCCUGAUUCAAGUGACCUGAGAGGCUGGGACCUAAUAGGAAGGAUUUCUUUGACGACACAGUUCCAAGAGCUGACAAUAAGUUUAACUGCAAUGUUUCACUGCUACAAGUUUGGUAGGGCAUGCCAUAAGCAUACUACAUUAUUAGUCAAUACUGGGAACGAAGUAAACACUGGAUCCAGUGUAGAAACUAUACAUCAACUGCAAUUGCCAGCAGUUUCUUAUCCUUUACAUGGCAAUAACAGGGCUCACCCCUGCUUCAUGUGCUGUGAGCCUGUGACCUCUGAAUUGUUCUGUCACGUAGAACCUAAUAAAAGUAGAAUUAUACAAAGUAUGUUAGAACACACAUGUCUUAUCUGGUUAUAUGAACAUGUAAUCUGACAAAUCUGUGCAUACUUUUGCAGGGGCUGAAGGGGAUCAAGCCGAUUUCUUUUGCAAUGCCCAACUUCUUUUCGGCACAAUCGUAAUAUGUCUUCCGUUUUGGAACCUGAAAGUAAAUUUAGGCAUAGCCUCCACAUCAGUCAGUAAUAUAAAGUGAAUCCAAACAUGCAUUAAACCCAGAAGAAUGGUACAUCUAACAUCUCGGAAAGAAAAAGAAUCCACUAACAAAUUUUUUGACAGCUUCCAUGAUCAACUGAUAAGCAGCACCUUCUUUUCAGCCUACAGAUAGACACAGGUUGCUUUAAUGUGAAGAAAUUCUAGCUAGACUUUGAUCCCAAGUGGGUGUUAUACUGGACAAAGAACAUAUGAAAGAAUUAGAUACCGAUGAUAAAACUCGAGAGAUUGAGAUCGAGGGCGAGGGAGAGGAAGAGGGAGAGAGAUGGUAAGUGAAUUACAUCUUUGAAGAAGGGUGACAUACGAGAUGCUCCACAGGGCCAGGAGUCGGAUCAUCGUUCUCAAACUCAGAUUUCCAUUCAAAUCUAAACAAGGUAUACUUUCCUUCAUAAUACACUUCCUUCAAAGCCUCUUUAAAAUUCAUCUAAGCAGUGAAGGAAAUAAAAGUUUUUUUCAUCAAGCACAUAAAGCUGGAAUAAAUGGAAAAGAAGGAGCAGCGCAAGUUCAUUAAUUCAGUGUAUUCAGGCAAUAAUUUUACCUUUUGCUUAGCAACCUUCUUCCAAACUCUCAAUUUUUGAACGCUAAACAACAAACAGCUUAAGGACGUGACGUGUGAAACUUCAUAGCAUCAAAUACAUUACAAUAAACAACGCUGAUUUAUCACAACAGACAAUUUUGGGAUGUUUACCUUACAUGAGUUGUCUGUAAGGAAGAAAUCCAUCAACCGUGCAUGCCAUAAAGGGCAAUCAGACCAUGACAACAUAUGACUAGAAUUUUGCAAUUGGUCACAUCAUGCAGAACUUAGUGUUACUUAGUAACUUUUCCCAUAACUGGACAAAUUCUUGGUCACCCUCAAGCGUACUACAGGCUUUUCGGUAAUCUUCCCACUCCUCAUACUCCCCCUGUACAAUGAAAACGUUACCUAGCACACUCAUUGCUAGCAACCUCGUACAUGUCAUCAAUGCCAUUCCAGAGAAGUACUAUAUAUCCGGUGCCAACCUAUCACCUAUGACUAACCGGUGUGAUGUAAUUUCCUAAAGUUCUUUCUUUAAGUAUAUCCAGUGCCAACCUAUCUAGAAAUGAACAGAACUAUUUCCAAAAGUUCUUUCCUGUGAAGUUCUAAACAAAUAUGGUAAUGAAACACCAACAAGAACAGAAAGCACCUUAAACUAAUUAAUUAUAAGGAACAUAAUUGAACAAUGAAACUUGCAUACAGCCGAAUGCUACCUACAUUAUUACGAAGCAUAAGCCGCUGGUAGUCUUGGAAGCGGGCAUAGUUGCAGUAUUGAGGAUCAAAGUACCAGUCAAAUUUGUGCUCAUACGACUUAAAGUACCCGUUGUCUUCAAGAACAUUCGGUGGGUAGAUCGCUUUCAGAUUUGCUACGUCAAUUUCCCGACAUUCAUCCUUUAUCUACAGAUAUAAGGCACACAAAGCAAAUUAAAACACAUACCAGAGAAGAUGCUUCAAACUAAAAUAAAAAAAAGGAUAAAUUUGUAUGAUCUUGUCACCACAUCUGAACAUCUGAUGCUCUGAUGAUAACAGAUACCGACCUCAUGAGCUCUGAUCCGGCACAAGGCGAGCCGUUGGUUCAUCUCCCGGCGCUGUUUGUCAUCGCAGUGAACCCAGAAACGAUCGUCGUCGUUAUCGGGGAGGUCACGGUUCAACUGCUGAAGAUACCAAUCGAUCUUCUCGUCGAGUUCAUCCUGGCCCCAAUCAAGGCCUUCGAGUUGCUCCGGCCGUUCUUUGGCAAUAAUCAUGGCAGAACAGCGUCACCCUCUUCUUCGGCCUCGCCGAUAUCCCCGGAGGCGGAGGUCGGUGUGCUUUGGAUCUUUGUCUUCUUUUGACCGGUCCAUGCGCUUGUUACCUCCAUCUGCCGCCGCAUCUCCCUAACCUAAUAUUCCAAGCAGGAUCGCCAGACCCUAACCUGCCCUGCCGAUGCGAUUCGAGCCGAACCCUGGGAUUGGUUUUGGCGAUGCAGAACAGAAUUGAAGAGGCGAGGGGCGGCCGGGUCGCGGAGUACGCUAGCAAAGCAAGCUGCACAUCUCGGGGGCUCGUGGCUACUUUCUUUCACUUUUGGGCCCAAAUGAAGGCCCAAGUACGAGAACCCAUCAAUAGUCCCUUGGUUGACGUGUUACCAUCGAUGCACGGUCCAGUCAACCACGGAUCGAUAGACGGUCUCCGUCUAUAGACGGUUGUUGGGAGACAGCAGGGAAGUAUACUCACGUACUUUCACUUUUCUUUCUAUCUUUUAUUUAUUUAUUAAAAAAGGCUACUCUCACUUUUCGUGUGUAGGAGAAAUGAUUACUAACGCCACCAACCCAAAUGAAGGCCCAACUCCCAAGUACAGCCCAGCCCAAGUCCGCGGAUCUAACUGAAGUCGUCGUAUGCUUGCUUCUUUGUCUGGGUUUCGUGGCAGUCAGUUGCUUUGGGAUUCCUGCACAUGAGCUGUUUUCUUAACUUUCAUAUAAACCUCCAGGUUUAAAUGCAACAAUAAUGAUGCUUCUAUAAAAGAAUAUAUAUACAUGAAUGUGCUACAGGGGCUGCUCAGUUGCAGCUACCUGCCGCCUAGUUUCGUUUUGGGAGGUGCACGGUUGUGGAAGGACGGUCCCGGCUUUCCUCCACUUGGCGUUCUGGCAGGUGCUCUCCGCGGCGCCGUUGCCGCCCUCCAUCCUCAGGUCGAUGUUCUGAAGGGUGAUGCCAUGGCACGGUGCAUUCCUGCUGCAGCUCAGCUUGAUGGCGUCCUUGGUGACGGUCGUCCCCCUGAUGUUCCUGAAGACCACGUUGCUGACCUCCACUGCCGACCCCUGCUCUCGGCACGGCUUCGCCCUGUCGCAGUAGCUCUGGUCGAUGAUGAUCGGGUUCUUGACGCCGCCCAUGACCAUGUUCUGGAACGUGAUGUCCCUGGCGUACCCGCUUCCUCCCUGGUAGGUCUUGAUGCGUGCUCCGUUGGUCGUGCCGUACAGCCGCACCGAGUCGACGGUGAUGCCGGAGACCUCAGCGCGCGAGUCGUCGUCUCCUAAGCUUCCGAUGCUGAUCCCGUGCCCCGGGCCGCACACGACUUGCGAGACGUGAAGGUUGUGCGUCCCGUUCUCGAUGGAGAUGCAGUCGUCUCCUGCAAAACCCAACCAAAAUUUAGUAACUAAGAACAACUAACCUUUCAUAUGAUUUUUGAAUGAUUAUGGAUGUACUGAUAAUACUGCUCACCAGUCUUGAUCUUGCAGUUCGUGACCUGCACACCGUUGCUGCGGGUGAUAUGGAUGCCGUCGGUGUUAGGGCUCGUGCCAGGAGCGGUGAUGGACAGGCCUGCCAAUUGUACGUUAGUGCAGUCCUCAAUGGACAUGUGGAUCUGCUGGCUGUUGACGAUCUUCAGAUCCUGCACUCUCAAACUCGUGCAGUAGUGGAACGACAAAGCCGUUGGGGCCUCCUUGCACGGCUGCAAACAUAAAAACAAAGUCAGUCAGUUAGUUGAGCUGUUUAGGUUAUCAUGACACUUUCCAACAGCAAUUUACGACCAACGACACCGAUCGUACGUACGCGGCAGCACCGUGCUUACCAGAGCCUUGUUGAUCUUGCACGAGUUCUUCCACCACGUCUCGCCGUUGCCGUCGAUGACGCCGCCGCCGUUGACGGUGAGCCCGUCGACGGCGCGGAACACGAUCCAGUGCCUCCUGUCCCUGUCGCUCCAGUCGGCCCGGUUCGGCGACGCCACCAGCGUGCCCUGCACCGUGAGCGUGACGCUGGCCGACCUGCACGGCCCGGAGAGCUUCACGACCUCGCUGAGCAGGUAGCGCUUGCCACCGGGGACGAGCACGACUGCCGGGCGCGGCGAGGCGCAGGCCGCCUUCCACGCGUUGGACAGCGCCUGCGCGUCGUCGUGCGUCCCGUCGCCGCGGGCGCCGUAGCUGUCCAGGCUGAACACGCCGCUCUGCGCCGCCGCCAGCGAAGACCCGGCCAUGGCGGCAGCGCCUAGAGCACCGGACGAGACGAGCAGCGCGAUGAUCGGCGCCAGGAACACGAGCUGCAGCCUGGUGGACGCCAUUGCCAGAGCUAAUGAACAAGGUCACAGGAGGAGGCUUUGAGCUUACGCAGCUGCACAAGUAGUUGCGGUUCCUGCUCGAGCAGCUUGCUGGUGGUGUUGGAUUGGAUGUUGUCCAUGGAGCGGUGGUCCUAUUUAUACGAGUUGGAGAGAUGCAAUGGAGGCGCGUGCGCGCGCUGGACUCCUGGAGCUGGCCGGCGGGGGAGGAAAGCAAAGGCCGGGGUUGUGUUGCGUGCGAAGAAUCAGAGUCACAUGCAGGCAGGAGGAGGGUUAGGCCCAGAACUUGGAUAGAGCAGGAGCCUGUGCAGAUUUCAGAUAGCUAGACGCGGAUGAAGAACGCACGCACCCUGAUCGAUACAUGCAUGCGUGCUGGUAGACGCAAGCUCGUUUCGAUCAGCUAGCAGACGUAGAAAAAAAAAUGUGCCUGAAUCGUGUCUCCAGCAUGCAUGUUUGUUUGUCAUGGCAAAGAUUGAAGGAAAAGUUCGCAGAUUUGCCUGCCUGCUUGAUCGUUUAAAAUCCUCUCUAUUUGGCGUAGACACUCUCUGCAGAUGCACGCACACGAGCAUGCUGGUUCAGUUCAGGUGAAGCUGAGGAGCUGCCGUGCUGGAUACUGGCCCGUACGUCCAUCUAGAUCUUCAGACAGCGACGACGGGCGUAUCGUGUGAAGAUCUUGCUCAGAGACAGAUGGUCACGUCAGAACUGAAGCUGCUGCUGCCGCUACCUCAGCUCACGUACGUGCUCACCCCAGGCCGGCCGGACGCAGACGACGAGGUAUCACGUCGUGACGCCAAUCGUGCGGCGGUGGUUGCUCCUUCCGGCGCACGAAAAGCGGAGGAUCAAGCCGCCGGCCGGUCGGAACCGCCGCCCGGCCGGGAGGCCACCGACGUGCGGGACGGAGCCCUCAUCAUGCAAGCUUAAGUACCGGUAGUUGGCCCUGCCGGUCAUCUAGCUAAGUUGCAAAAGGAUGCAGGUAGCUAGUACCGAGUCUGGUGCUGACACGUCGCGAUCGUCGAUGGUAGCCGUUAUCAUGCAUCAUUAGGCUCCGAAAGGUACGUACGUGCAUUUAAGUUUUAUUGUUUGUAGAUCGAGGCUGAAAACUUUUCAGUCAGUGUCAUGCUUAGUUGCACAGGCCGGGCUAGCUCAUCGAUCCCCCAUGUAGUGAGUGACCUUUCACUUGACACAUGUAGGAUGCAACGUAACUCCAUCUCCAUGCACCGGUCCGAUCGUGUUCGUCUGGUCGUGUUUGUAACACGGCACACGAAAGAAUCGAAGGGCAAGUGACCCGACCGAGUUCGGCAACAAGACUAUGGAUGACGGAUUGGUUCAUUGGUUUGGCUGAUUAGGAUUAAUAAUUAAUCGCGUGCACGAAACUACAGAUUACGCAAGCACCAGCAUCAUCGGGAUCGACUAAUUACACGCCCGUGCAUGCAUGCUUAGGUGUCGCGCGUGCGUGCGUUCAGCGUCCGUGACAGGGACGCACGCGCGUAUAUAUCUCGCCAACUAAUAAUCCACCAAGGGUGCACGGUGGCCGUGCACGUGAACAAACAAGCUAGCUCGCUCCAACGACUCUACACAUAUGAGCAGAGCACUCCUACUUGAACGAUGAGACGUGUACGGUGUGGUAUGCUAGCUCUUAACGCAUUUCAUUCACGUACGAGUAGUGGGUGUAUACACAUUCGUCUAUAGCCACUUUCACCAUCAGUAUAUCACUGUGCGUAUAUCCGCAUACUCAUUUAUCACUUUGAGUAUGUUCAUAUACUAAUUCUAAGAUACGUCAAAAGGAUAUAUAAAAAAAUUUAAAUACACCCCUAUUUUUUAAAUAUAUUAUAAUUAUACCUUAGUACUAGUAUAUAAAAAUUAGUAUGUCCACAUACUAUAUGUAUGGUCACAUUCUCAACGUAUAUACCAUCGUAGAUAUUCUAGUAUGAUCACAUACUUCACGUACACGCUCUUCGUUGGGUCAGAUACGUCUUACGUCAUGAGAUACACAUGUAAAAGUAGAUACAAGUACGUGUAGAAUGGAUUAUAUAUAUAUUGGUCAAGGGAUAAUAAAAUUGAUCCUUUAUUUCGAAAAAAAUGAUAUAAUUGAUCCCUCUACACUACUUUAUUAGGUAACUAAUUUUCCGUUCGGGAAAGAAAAGAUGACGAGAUCGACAUUAUAUUUGAUGAGUGUGAUAGAUUAUUGCGUCCGCCGUGCUGACUCACCGAUGAUCGCUGACGUCAGUUUUCUGCCUUCCGGACCCACCCUGAUGCACCAACCUAGAGAAGAAUGGAAAUUGCCACAAGCUAUCGUCACUAGAAUUUGAUCGGUAUACGUUCAGUACUCCCUCGGUUCAAAAAUACAAGACCUAGCUAUUUGGCCAACCAAACCUUGUGGAUAUGAAGGAGAUGGAAUGGAAUCUUUCUCUUCUUUUUUUAAAAAGAGUGGAAUGGAAUCUUUCAUGCGGAAUUGUACGUCUGCUCCCCCCACCCACACACACACACACUAUAGCAGGACUUCUCCUGAAAACCUGAAACUGAAUGGAGCAACAUGACAACUCGGACAGAACAAAUGGCCUCGCAUAUACUGAAGCCUGAAGGGGAUGAAAUUAGAGCUGGCCGGGGCUCUUCCCAACCGCCAAUCGCAUACUGAUGAUACUGACAGUGAUAUGAAAAGCAUCCAAGUCUGCCAUGGGUCUGUGGCUGGCCAUCAAAGUAUGUACCUUGUCCAAAUUCCGAAAAUAAAACCACUUUGCUGUGCUGCUCUGCUCCGCCCCUUUUGGCGUCGCUCAUCAAAGUUCAGUUGUCCCAAUGGCCUGUAGCCUGAAAAUGAAACCGGAGCUGUUACUGCUGUCGGCAUGCCCCAACAUACUGUAUCAUCGACUCAAUCUAAAGAAUCGGAUGGACCUGAUCUCACCUGAGCAAGCACACUCGUGCGCUGCCGGACGUGCAAAUAAACGGCAGCGAGCGAGCAGGCAAAUUACAUGCGAUCGAGGAUUCGCGUUAUGGGAAGAGAAACCUGCAGUUGGAGGAUCGACUCAGGCACAUCUAUCUCCCUGCCAUGCCGCAACGACCAAGCUGAUGAGCAGGCAACGCGACAGGAGCAGCUGCGCCAGCUCAAAGUCUCCGGGCGGUUACCUUGCUCCCUCUAUCAGACUGCAAGCUGCUACUUACUCGACCGCCGCCUUGCCCAUCGUACUCGUAGCUCUGCCAAUGGCGUCGCGUCUUGCGGUGUUGCUGGCGCCUCUAGCUCCUGCGGCUGCGGCUGCGGAAGCAAAGGCGCCGGCGGCCAUGUUAGCGGUGCCGCGGCGGACGAGGACGCGCCGGCGCGGCGAGGUCCUCGGCAUUUGCGACCCGCGUGCUGCGCGUCCAGAAGCCGGUCGACCUGAAUGGGUCGGAGCCUCGGAGCCAGGCGUUGCGUUCUGCGCGUCAGGACGGCGGCGGCGGGAAGGACAGUGCCCGCGGGGACGGGGAACCGACCGGUCCACCCCUGGGGCCACAUGAUCCGUCGAAUCGAGAACAUGCGGCGGAUCCGACCCCGUGGGGGCCACUGCCAGCGUCGCGUGGGCCGAUGUACGGCUGCAUCAGCUCGGCCCAGUCUACUCCCGAGGCCCAGAAAAUGAAGCCGGUCUUUUUUCACAGGCGCGGCACGGCGGCAAGCAGCUCCGACGUCGCGGCCAGGCCACGCGGCGGAGGCGCCGCGGUGAGCCAGCCGUCCCCAAGCGCAGCAACAUGGUGGUGUGGCGCUGCCGCAGAGGAAGGGGACGGACUUCCUCAAAAAAAAAAAAAGAAGGGGACGGAGGGCCUGGAGUCCACCUGACCACGAGCGGCGGCGUUGACUCGACGAGACAACCCAAGAGGUUACGACGGCGAGGCGGCAAGCACUGUGCUCUGCCAUUUUCAGCCGUGGCGUGCCUCUCCUCACCAGCAUAGACACUGCAGCACCAAUUGCUGCCAACUGCUGUGGACGGAAACUUCUUUGCAGAUCGUGAACUUAUGCAGUAUAUCAUCUGAAAGUUCUGAUCUGAACCGCCCCCACUGAAAUAAAAAUAAAAAUUGUUUGGGAAACAACCUCCCAAAGUCCAGCUUUGAUUGGUACCCUCAACCAUCAUCGACGGAUGAGAAGAUGUUAAAACAUACUCCGACAGGCAACGCCAGUAAACAAUGAAACAGCAUCGAAUUUCUUUUGUUAUGAUGACUCCGCCGGAAUCACCGAGACCAGCAGCAUGAUGUACGCGGCCCACACGCUCUUGACCACCGCCCUGACGAAGGCCGACGCGCGUCGUCAGGUUUUUGGUGCGGCGCGUCGAGACGUACGUGCGGGACCGGGGGUGGCGUGCCGGCGGCCGGGAUAUCGGCGGUAACGUGUUCCGCCGGCGGCGGAGAAGGGGGCCGGGAGCGCUGCCGCCAUGCUCCGGAGUCCAGCUGGAGUCGGAAUCCGAGUUGACUGAGGGCCAUUAACUUCCUUCACCACGCGGAGCAGGGCCUGAUCGAAGAAUGGACCUCUCAUCUCUGCGCCUCUGGACGGAACAAAAAUGUGGAGGACGGCGGCGGCGGCGCAGCGACCGUCGGUGACCUUGAGCACAGCCGUCCGAGUUCACGGGGGCUUUUGCAAAUAUUGGACCCAGAAGUUUUCAGAAAGACCCCUGAAUUGGAUCGCGAUCCUAAUCAGAGGGUAUUUUGAAAAUAUAGAAUCCAAUAUUUACAAAAUAACCCUUAAAUCGGGUCGCGAUCCGAUCCAAACCGGGGGUAUUUUGAAAAUAUUUCAUCCAAUAUUUAUAAAACGACCCCUGUGUCGGAAAAUUCUCCGGGGCGGCGCCGGAGCAGCCGGCCCGAGCCCGCGCCGCCGUGCGCUCCAUACGAGCCUCUGCAGACAUCCGCUCGCCUACGCCUAGACGUUCCGGCUCCAUGCGCUCGCUGCUCACAGUCCGGCUCCUCCGGAGAUUCUGCCGUCGCGGCGGCGGCGCGGAGGGAGCCGCGUGGCCUGCAGCCCUGGGACGGCGAUGGGCCUUCUACAUACAGGUCACGGAGGCGGUUGUCCAGGCCAGCUUUUGCUCCGGCAGAUACUGUAGCGGUGGGCUGCGUGGACUGGGGAUAUCUGGCGGCAGAGGGAGCAGAGCAGACGCUCCGGCCCGCCGUCACGCCCUCGUCUGAGAGGCCUGGACGCCACCCGCGGAGGAGCGUCCGAGGAGCGGCGAUGCUCGGGCCUAGAUCGCCGGUUCCUCCCUACGAGGCGCGCACCAGCGCGUGAGACAUGCGAGGCAGCACAGCUCAGGAACAGACGGUACGAAGCUCAGGCCGUGCAGAAAGGGAAAAUCAAAUCACCCAAGGGAUGAGCAGUUAGUGAGGUGCCAGCAGACAGGUGUUGCAAGAGUGCUUGUUGAUGGGUUUAGAUCGCAAAAGGUUUUACAAACACAAGCUUCUGAUCGAGCUCUUGCGUUUUUCAAACACAAAGCAACAGGUUCAGCAUCCACUGAACUGUUAGCUUGGAACACUGUCAACCCUGUAUUUGUUAAUUGGUUCCUGCAACAUUCCUGUAUAUUUGUCAAGCCUGCAACUAAUGCAUGGAUGAUGUGGUUAGUCAAAAUGGAACAUUACAAAAGCUUCCAAAAGAACUCGAGACAAUCUGAACUCUGUAAUGAACUAAAGCUUCAUUAUUCAUGCAAAUUACAAGGUAAAUCAGAACUGUAAGACUUCAUAUUGCCACACACUGUUCCUGAACACUUCCCAGAGAAAUGUGUACUCUCUACUGCAACUCCAGUUAUAUACAGCUGACAGACUGAUGCAGAAACCACAGUGCUCUACCUAAGGAGCUAAGUUUAAUCAGCAACCUAAAAGAAUUUUACUUUUACACCUCGGCUUCAGCCGAUCUUCUCCGUGUUGGUGUCAUCGGUUGGCCAGAUGACCGUCUCCAUCAGCCGCUCCCGCAUCAGCAUCAGGUUCUCGUCGGAGAUCAUCUCGUACAUCUUUCCAUGGUCACAUUUCUGACAGCAAUCCAGAAUCAAAACGUCAGUCUAUAGCUGAACUACUGGGCAGCAGGUUGGUUGGCAAUAGACAGACUACACGGGCAGUGAUUCCAUUCCACCAGUUACCUUUAUCCAUUUCCCAUACAGGUGAAGUCUGGUUAUCAUCACCCGUUCUGCAAGCUCCUGUCUCUCCUGAAUGACAACAAAGCCAGCAAUUGUAUGAGCUUGAUUUGCAGGAGUACAAGAUCAUGUGCAGCAGGGUAUCAGUGGAUUUAUCUCUGUACUACCUUGCUGAGAGCACGAAGGAACAGCUUGCCAUCAGUAGGUUUGUUGACAGCAACGAAGCUGUGGCAGAACAAGAACAUGUUUAUUAUGCAACCGUGAGCUGAAUUCGUACGUGAAAAUGAAUAGAUCGACGAUAUGUGGUAGGACAGAGAGAAUUCUUGCUAUUACUUACUUGUAAAACCAACGGUAGCUUGGUGGGUUCAUCUCGUAGAGCUGGGUCAGCACGGUCCUGACGGCUUUGUAGGUGAAGUAGUUCAUCAGUUGCUGCAAGCAAAAAAAAAAAAGGAGCAGGAAGUUCUAUUCAGUAAUCAUACACCAGGAGAAAUGAACAUCUAAUUUUCAUUGGAAACAGGAGGUUUUAUCUUGGUAAUUAAGCUAAAUCAUAGCAGAAUCAAAACAUGUUUAUGUUCAAGACGAAGAAGUGUAAGACCUGCUUGACAGGUAAUUAAGGCAAACUACAGUAGCAGACUAGCAGCACAACGUACCAGCUGGACGUCAUCAAAGGUAUCCUCGUACUGCCCCCCGAGGUUGCAGACGAUGCCGAGCCCGCCCCUGCUGCUCCGGCCCUGCCUGAGGGCCCUGACCGAGCAGGACGGCCGGCGAGGCCUCCUCCUCCAGUCGCCCGCGAACAAGCUGGCGGUACUCACCGCCGAGCCGCCCGAGGCAGCGGCCCCCUCGCGCCUUCUCCUCAGCGCGGCCACGCCCCCUUCCGCCCUCACGUCCACCGCCGCCGGCAUCAUCUGAACUCCGGCCAUCCUUUCUCUAUCUUGUCUUCAGACAACUUUGUUCCUUCCGACCAAUCUAGUCCGGCUUCAGGGGAGCAGCCGCGGCGGCGGUGCGGUAUAAAAAAAACCGAGUGGCGCAAGGGGGAAGAAGACUUGUAGUGCCGUUUGGCCUCCUCCCCCAAUUCUCCCUGCCCUCGUGGCUGGCUGGCCUUCCUGCCUGCAACCCUCACCAACCAAAUUUUCUGAGGCCCAGGUCGCGUGCAGCCUCAGCCUUGUGUUUGGAAAACCUCGGCCGUCAGCGCCACCGCUCGCGACACGCGGAGGCCACCCGUUGGCCGGCCAUGGUCCCGGCGAGGGGAAACGGGAAUUCCCGGGGGCUGCCCCUUGUGUCAUCGGCGCGUCCACGGCGAGGGUCGUUACCGGCUGGUUCGGCGGACCUGAAACAGAAGAUGGGACGCAACUUGGCAGGUUCCGGGACGACGCCACGGCAGGGGCAGGUCGCUGUGCGCGGCGGGGCUUGUGCUUUCGGGUCGUAGCCGGCCGGCGUGGCGACGACUUGGAGCACGGGAUUCCUGAUUCCGGGGCCAAGACGUGCACGGUGCACGCUGGGUUUCUUGCACGAACGAGCAAGCUCUCGACGUGGUCAAGGCUGCAAACGUACGAGAUCGAGCACGAGCAUGGACUCCAAGGUCGUCCGAACAGAGCAGCGAGCAAGGAAGCAACGAACGGAUGGCGACCUAUAGGGUUUCCGGGGAAAUCGACCUAUAGGGUGCCCAGGCACGUAAAACAAAACUUAAUAGAUUUUUUACAAUCAAAGGGAGAAAACCCUUACUGCGAGGAGGUGGCUGUCAGGGCCAAAGGGCAACUCCACCUUUUCCCUGUGCAGCGCUACCCAAAACCCGCCUCUUCCGUCGGGCCUCGCAUUGUCAGGGUAGCCUGGCAGAUCGGCCAGCGUCUCCGAUGUGCCAGCCUUUGGCCCGGUGAUCCAGUACCUGAGCAACUUGCACGGUCCGAUCAGCGCAACCACGAGGUGAGUCCUGUCGGCGCUCAUGGCGAGGCCGUUAGGGUACGUGAUGCCGGACUGCAACACGGUGACGCGGUCCGUGCUCGGGUAGUAUUUCAUGAGGCGGCCGGUCGAGUCCCCGGCGUUAGUACAUUGGAUCGGCUGCUGCGCGAUUAGAUUAGAAAAUGUUGUGUACUGGUUCUUUAAACCGAGUGAGAGAGAGAGAGGGAUAAGGGGCACGGAAUAUACCUUCGUGCCCUUGCGUCGCAGCCGAUGUAGCCGUACCCGCCAUGAUCGUGCAGCGCAGGAGCUCGCGGUGGCCGAGGGUGUGGUCGCGUCCGUGGGUUCGGGGUCGAGGCGAAGGCGCAGAAGAUGGCUGGAGGUGCUUCCCGUCGCUACUACGCUCACUUUAGAUCGGCUAGGGUUGCAAUGUCCGGUGGGGUGGCGGCGGCGGUGAUUCUCGUAUCGUGUGCCGCUGGCCCCCACCUGUCCUUUAUAGCGCAGCGCGACGGGGGCCCACCAGCUAGGAAUGAGCUAGGGCGCCCCCGAUCAGGGCGCAUAGGUGACGAGGCCCAUUAGGAUCCGAUGGUCUAGAGAGAUCAAAACUAACAGUCUCCCCCUUGAUCUCACCUUGUAUUUUUCUUUUUCUUUUACUUUUUCGCGUUUCGUCAUAGAUUUGUGUAUAGAGCAUGCCUCAUCGUCACGAUCAUCAGUCGAUAGAUUUAGCAGCUACAAUUCACGCUUCCAUUCAGAGACAGAUUUUUUUAACCUUUUGGCCCUUGUAGUCCAAAGAUCACAGGCUAUCCCUUAGCCCCAUGCCGGCUACGUGUUCCUUGAACACGCUGGUGGUAAGCCUUUCGUUAGCGGAUCCGCAAGCAUUUUUACUGUACUUAUAUACUCGAGAUUUAUAAUCUGAUCUCGGACUUUAUCUUUCACAACAUAAUAUUUUAUAUCUAUGUGUUUGGCAGCACCACUUGUCUUUUUGUUGUGUGCAUACAUUACUGUGGGCUCAUUAUCGCAGUACAACUGUAAUGGUUUAGAUAUAUCAUCAACCAUUCUCAGACCGGGUAUGAACUUCUUUAGCCAGUUCACCUGCCCUGUAGCCUCAUAACAUGCAACAAACUCGGCAUACAUUGUGGAUGAUGUAGUGACGGUUUGUUUACAACUUUUCCACGAUAUUGCUCCCCCGGCAAGGGUGAACACAUAUCCUGAUGUGGAUUUUCUGUCAUCUCCUACAUAAUCAGAGUCUGAGUAUCCUACGAUACGCGGAGAUUCUGUUUUUCUGUAUGUUAACAUGAGGCCUUUGGUUCCUUGCAAAUAGCGCAAAACCUUCUUUACUAACUUUCAGUGUUCUUGUCCUGAAUUACUCUGGAAUCUGCCAAGCAAUCCGGUGACGUAAGCUAUAUCAGGGCGUGUGCACACUUGUGCAUACUUCCCACAGCAGAAGCAUAUGGUACCAUUUUCAUUUGAUCAAUUUCAUAUUGAGUCUUGGGGCAUUGAAAUUCCCCAUAUCUGUCGCCCUUAACUAUAGGUGCAGGUGAGGCACUGCAUUUAUGCAUGUUAAAUUUCUUUAGCACCUUUUCUAUAUAUAUCUUUUGAGACAGUCCUAAUACCCCUUUCAAUCUGUCUCGAUGAAUCUCGAUUCCUAGAAUGAAUCUAGCUUCACCAAGAUCUUUCAUCUCGAAAUGCGAGGAUAAAAUCGUUUUCAUUUCUAGUAGCAGACUGACGUCACUACUCGCCAGUAGGAUGUCAUCCACAUACAGGAUUAGGAAGAUAUACUUCCCAUUCUUGAACUUUGCGUAAACACAAUUGUCCUCAACAUUUUCUUUGAACCCGAAUUCUUUUAUUAUUUUAUCGAACUUCAAGUACCACUGUCUUGAAGCUUGCUUUAGCCCAUAAAUCGAUUUCUUCAAACGGCAUCCCAAUUUUUCUUUACCUUCCACGACAAAACCUUUCGGCUGUGCCAUGUAGACGGUUUCAUCUAAGUGCCCAUUCAGGAAUGUUGUCUUCACAUCCAUCUGAUGUAAUUCUAGGUCAUAAUGUGCCACAAGAGCCAUUAUAAUUCUGAAAGAAUCUUUACAUGAGACUGGAGAGAAAGUCUCAUUGUAAUCAAUUCCUUCUCUUUGUGUGUAUCCUUUUGCCACGAGCCGUGCUUUAAAUUUAUCUAUAUUCCCUCGGAAGUCAUAUUUGGUUUUGUAGACCCAUUUGCAGCUUACUGUUUUGGCUCCUUUAGGAAUUUUCUCUAAGUCCCACACUUUGUUGGUACUCAUCGAUUUUAUUUCGUCUUUCAUGGCAUCAAGCCAUUUUGAUGAGUAUUCACUUCUCAUUGUAAUCAAUUCCUUCUCUUUGUGUGUAUCCUUUUGCCACGAGCCGUGCUUUAAAUUUAUCUAUAUUCCCUCGGGAGUCAUAUUUGGUUUUGUAGACCCAUUUGCAGCUUACUGUUUUGGCUCCUUUAGGAAUUUUCUCUAAGUCCCACACUUUGUUGGUACUCAUCGAUUUUAUUUCGUCUUUCAUGGCAUCAAGCCAUUUUGAUGAGUAUUCACUUCUCAUGGCUUCUUCAAAUGAGGUGGGAUCAUCCUCCAUUUGAAUUUCUUCGCUAUUAUAGACUUCAUAGUCGUUAGAAAUAGCGGGCUUUCUUAUUCUUUGAGGUCUCCCAUGAGUCUGAGCUUGCGGUGCCUCAUCUAUUUGGGGCUGCUGUUGCUCCCCUUCUUGUGUGGCAUUGGGUUCGUCAGGAGCCUAAUGAAUAGGUUCCACUUCCUCAUUCACCGUUACCACAGGAGGAGCCACUACAGAUGUUGGCAUCGCAGUGACUUGCACUGGCGGUGCAGAUACAGUGGGCAGCGAGAAGAAAGAAUCCUGAAUCACGAGAUUGUGUGUAUACACCCGCUUCUCUUCAAGAUCAACCUUCCUAGCUGUGCCGCUCCCCCGGAUCAUUUGAUCUUCAAGGAAGACUGUGUGUCUCGUUUCUAUAAAUUUUGUGGAUCUGUCUGGGCAGUAGAAACGAAAACCCUUUGACCUUUCUGGAUAGCCAAUGAAAUGGCAAGAUACUGUUUUGGAGUCUAGUUUUGCAAUGGUCGGGUUAAAUACUUUUGCCUCAGCAGGACUCCCCCACACCUGUAGAUGAUUCAAUGAGGGUACUCUACCUGUCCACAUCUCAUACAGUGUUUUCGACACCGAUUUACUAGGGACUCUAUUGAGAAUAUGAAUGGCAGUUUUCAAGGCCUCCAUCCAUAAAUUCACUGGCAACAUAGAGUAGCUGAUCAUGCUUCGCACCAUAUCCAUUAGGGUACGAUUACGUCUCUCAGCCACUCCGUUCUGCUGAGGUUCGCCCGGCAUCGAGUACUGGGAAACUAUGCCUUGCUCCAUCAGGAACUUCGCAAAAAGUCCUGCAACUUGGCCAUACGGGGUAUGUCGACCGUAGUAUUCCCCUCCACGAUCAGAUCUUACGAUUUUAAUCUUUAAAUCGUGUUGAUUUUCUAUUUCAGCUUUGAAUAUUUUAAAUUUAUCCAAUGCCUCAGAUCUUUCUUUAAUUGGAUAAAUGUAUCCAUAACGGGAAUAAUCACCAGUGAAUGUUAUGAACGAGUCAUAGCCAUCCACACUCUUUACAUUGAACGGAUCACAGAUAUCUGUGUGAAUUAUCUCCAAUACACCUGUGCUCCUCUUAGCAUUUUUCUUUAUUUUCUUUACGAAUUUUUGUUUUAUGCAUUCAAUGCAAUGUUCUAAGUCAGAAAACUCUAAUGGAGGAAGAAUUUCAUUUUUAAUUAAUCUCUCUAUUCUCCCCCUCGAAAUAUGGCCUAAUCGACAGUGCCAUAAUUUCGACGACGCAUCUUGAGUUCUCUUCCGUUUUCUAUUCGCGAGUGUAGACGUGAAUACAUUCGCAUUGUUAUCGUAUACGGAAUUCACACUUUCGCGUAACGAUAUCAAAUAAAGAUCAUUCUUUCUGAAUGCAAUGGAAAUAACUGUAUCAUUACAUUCGAUCAAACACCUGCCAUCUCCAAAUAGACAGGAAUAACCAUCUUUAUCCAGGCAAGACACACUAAUUAAGUUUCUGUGUAAAGAAGGUACAUAUAAAACAUCUCUAAGAACUAUAAUAAAGCCAGUGUCGAGUUCCAAAUGAACGUCUCCCACUGCUUCAACGUCUGCUUGGGCUCCAUUUGCCACUCUAACUUGCUUUUCGUUUCUUUGAGUGGUUCUCGUCGAAUGGAAUCCCUGCAAUGAAUUUGCAACAUGAAUAGUUGCUCCUGAAUCAAUCCACCAAGUGGUUUUUGAAUAUUCUAUAUACAAGAAUUCAUUUACAAAUGAAAUAAUGUUCUCAGCUCUCUUUUCCAUGAUCAUCUUUAAAUAUCGGUGACAGUUUUUCUUGUAGUGACCCCUUUCUUUGCAGUAGAGACACUGAUCCUUCUCUACUAGAGCCUGUCCUUCUUGAGGUCUGUGUUGAUGAGAGCCUUUGCCUUUAGAAGAGGAUGAAGAAGAAGAUGAAAAAUUGUCUUUGUAAUUGGCAUUCUUCUUCUUAUUCACGUAGUUUAAAGAUCCACCAGUGGUGGAUUUUAUCCUUUCCUUCUCCUGAACACACAUCGCAAUGGUCUUUUCUAUGUCCCAAGUAUGUGGUUGGGUGUUAUAAUUGACAACAAAUGUGUCAAAUUCUUUGGGCAACAAAGCAAAAACCAAAUGGACAAUGUGAUCCUCCUUGAAGGCAAGGUCCAAUGACUUAAGCUUGUUAUUCUGGUUGACCAUGCGAUGAAUGUGUUCCCUGAUGCCACCACCAUUGUAUCUUUCUGAGACCAGUUGUUUAAUUAACUGGGUUGCAUAAGGCUUUGAAGAACCAGUGUACUGGUUCUUUAAUUUCUCAAGAUACUCUGUGACAGUGGCACAAUCUGUGAUUGAGCCCAUAAUUGCAGGCUCAAUCGUGUUCUUUACCACUGCCAAGCACUUCUUGUUGGCAGAGAACCAUUUUGCAUAAAGCCUCUCAUAGUCUGCUCUUGCUUUCUUAUAAGAAAGCUCUAUUUGCUUCCAAGAAGCAUCUAUGUCUGUGUCCUGUCUCACAGGAGGCACAGGUUCUGUGGGAGUCGGUGUAGUUAGGACCCAAUCCAAUUCACCCAUGAUGAAGUAUAGGUCCAGCUUUGUGUACCAUUCAUUAUAAUUGUCUCCCUUUAAUAUAGGAAUAUCAUUGAUGGAAAUCAUCAUUGAUAAUCCUCCUGAAAAAUAUUCAUGAGUGGUGAAAAUAUUAAAAUAAAGUCAAAUGAAUUAUUGCAUAUGUAAAAAAUACGACAUGGUCGGAAUUUAAAAUAUGCAAUAACCUUGGUAUUAAAUCUAAAACACCGUUGGGUAGAGUUAGAGUUAAUACUUGAAAAUUAUCUGUUAAAAGAUUAAGGCAUAAGCUCCUUUUGUAUUAAAUCUAAAAUACGGUUGGGCAUAAAUAGAAAUAAUACAUAAAAAAUAUCUAUCAAAGGAUGAUACAGUAGUAAUUGCAAUAUUGUCAUUGUUAACGUUGGUCAAAAAAUAAUAAUAUUACAAGCCAAAAAAUUAUCUAUUUGCCUUGUGAAUUUAAAUUCUCCCGUUGGUUCAAAUUUAAAUGACAAGACAUGAAAGCAUGAGAAAAUAAAACUAUUUAAUCUUUGCAGCGGAAAAACUUUAAUUCUAUCAAAUUUAUGCCUAAAUUUGUCUUUUAUAAGCAGUGCAUCAAAGUUCAAUCAAGUUUGAAUUUGAAAUGCAUCAAAUUCAAUCAAAAUUCUAUUGAAAAGUGCUUCUGAAGUUGAAAGAAAAUGCACAGCUCUUUUCUGUUGGAUCAGCCCAGCAUGGAGCCGGGCUCACGCGCGCGAUCCUACUCACCCCCGCGCACGCGCUAGCGGCUUCGGGUGAGACAACCUGGGCCCGGGCCGCGUUUUCCCUUCCCCGCCUGGGCCUAAAGUAGCCCAAUGAUGCGCGGCUCGACCGCAACCGUCCGAUCAAGAUCAACGGCUGCGCGUGGAUUUCGGCCGAUCAAAAACCCUCUCGCGCUCACCCACGCUAACCGUAGCUCAUUCUUCUCCCCCGAUCCCCCGGCGCCUUCCUCUUCCCACCCGAGCACGCGAGUGAGUGGCGACCGGCGGCGACCGAGCGAGCGGCGCCACAUUGAGCCCCCUCGCCGGCGCGCGCGUUCACCGCAAGGUGAGCGCGCCGCCGUCGAGCGGCAUCGCCGUGGUGCCCGGAUCCGUGGCGCGGCGAGCGGCCCUGAGGCGGCUCGUGCGGUCUCUGUCCGCGCGAGGCCCAAGGCCUCGCGGGAUCUGGUCGGCGCGCCGGCGUCCCGUGCACGCCGACGGUGGGCGGCGCAAGGAGAAACCAGGUAAGUGCCCCUUUGACCGCCGCCCCUCUUCUGUUUGUGAGCUAGGGUUAGGGUUAGGGUUCCUGCGCGCUUGAUCUAGGGUUUUAUGGGGUCUUUUCUCUCGGGUUUCUUUGGAUUCUUUGCUCUGUGAUCUCCAAAAUCUAAUCAACGCUAGGUGAUUAGGCAUCUGAUACCAUUGUUAGUACAUUGGAUCGGCUAUUGCGCGAUUAGAUUAGAAGAUGUUGUGUACUGGUUCUUUAAACCGAGUGAGAGAGAGAGAGGGGGGGAGAAGGGGCACGGAGUAUACCUUCGUGCCCUUGCGUCGCAGCCGAUGUAGCCGUGCCCGCCAUGAUCGUGCAGCGCAGGAGCUCGCGGUGGCCGAGGGUGUGGUCGCGUCCGUGGGCUCGGGGUCGAGGCGAAGGCGCGGAAGAUGGCUGGAGGUGCUUCCCGUCGCUACUACGCUCACUUUAGAUCGGCUAGAGUUGCAAUUUCCGGUGGGGUGGCGGCGGCGGUGAUUCUCGUAUUGUGUGCCGCUGGCCCCCACCUGUCCUUUAUAACGCAGCGCGACGGGGGCCCACCAGCUAGGAACGAGCUGGGGCGCCCCCGAUCAGGGCGCAUAGGUGAGGAGGCCCAUUAGGAUCCGAUGGCCUAAAGAGAUCAAAACUAACACCCGGUGGCCAUCACCCUCUCGUGCUGCGACCGCGGGUAGUUCAUAACACCUCCCCGGUGGCUUGGUCGACGUCGACGCCGUUGGUGAAGCGGAGCGGCGCGCCAUCGGCCGCCGCGGCCACCACGGUCGCCUCGCCGCCGCCCGGGCCGACGCGCAUCAGCCCCUUGUACGCGUCCGCGAUGUAGAGGUUCCCGGACCCGUGGUGGAAGCGCAGGCCCAGCGGGCGGCCGCACCUGCUCUCCGUGACCUCCGCCGGCCGGGUCCUGGACGCCGUGCAGGCCUUGGCGUUGUAACCCGGGCCGUACGCGUACGUCAACCAGCGGCGCGCCUGGCCGUUCCACCUGAGGACGCGGCCGUAGGAGACGCCGCUGUAAGGACCGGCGCCGGCGCCGUCGAACGCGACGCUCUCCGGGCCACGCAGCAGCGAGCCGCGGAGCGGCAGGUGCAGGCUCCGGCUGCCGUCGAUGCUGUCCGUUUCGGGGACGGGGCGUGCAGCGGCGCACGGCAGCAGGAGGACCAGCAGCACGACGGCGGCGAGCAACGAGAUCGCCGGCGUCAGAAGCUUCUUCGCCGUGGUGAUCCCCAGGAUUACUCUGAUUACGUGGGCGCUGCCUCGCGGAUGUUUGGUUUUGGGGACCGGUUUUGGUUGAGAAGCGCAGGGUGCCUCUGCCUUUUAUGGCGGCCUGGCUGCUACAUGCUUUCCGAUUCGGAGGCCGUCGUGUCAGGCCCUCCGAUUCCGAGUUACUACUGGGCCCUCCGAUUCGGAUACGGAUUACUAGCCGCAAUGCUCUUCUCCAAUUCAGCUCGCCUUUGUGCUUUAGAAUCAGCCACUUCGCGAACAAGAAGAACAAGUUCGCCAUCCCGAACCCCUGCAAGGCCCGGUCCGACAACCUCCAGACCACAGUGCUACUUCCGCAUCAAGCAAGCAUUGAUAAAUCCAAAUUAAGGAGGCCAUAUACAAAACUACGAAAAAACAACAACCAGCCAAAGUGCGGGGAACAAACAAACAUCAGCGAUGGCUCAGAUUAUGCUAGAUUAAAGGCACAGCGAAUAUAGGCUGAAUAUAAGGGCACAACACACCUGUAGCACGAAGGCAACUAAAACGGAAUCUGUCCACAAUUUAAGCAUCCAACACCAAUUAUGUAACCGCCACCAAAAGCUUUCAGAAUGGAAGACGAAUCAUGAGAUAAUUAUGUAGCAUUCACCAACAGUAGUGGCAUAGUACCAUAAUCCAAAACUUGACAGAAAAUUGCAACAUCCAGGCAAAGCAAAACCCAAAGUUGACUCCCACAGUUCUUAACUAUAAUAUAGAAAGUGCAUUAGACAACUCCCGACGAGUAGGAACUCUUUACUCCAACAUCCUAAGCCUCUACUGUCUCAACUGGGGCCUCAAGCAUAAGACCCUUGGUAGGCUUUGCCAGGAGGUCAGUGAACUCCUGGAAAGGAGUCCUGCUGAACUUGGUCUCCCUCCAGAACUCAGGUGUAAGGAAACCGUAGGUCUUCAUCAGGCAGUCGAAGGUUGCCUAUACAUAACCAAAUUAAACAAUUACCAACAAGAAUAAAUGAAUUAAAUGGCACAGGAUAUAUCUUGAUAUACAAAGACAAGUUGGGAAUAUAACCCCAGGAUAAAGUUAAUCUAGUUCUAAUAAUUAUGGACUUGCAAACUAAGAAUAUAAAGACAAACAUAUCCCAUACAAGGUAUCCUGAAUGUCAACAGAGACACCCCCACCAGCAUAAAGUUAGUUUUGCAUAACUCCAGAAGUCAAUAAACUCAAAAUGCUAUUUUCAGCAUGUACAAUCUCCUAGGAAAGUAGAAACCCAAUAAUUGAAAUUGCAUCAUGUCUAGUACAUGGAAUUGUGGACUAGAACCAUAACCCGAAUUAUGCUUAAUCAUAGAAGCACUGUUAAAAUUGUCUGUUGUAAUUUACUAAUUACAAUAACAAAUUAUCAUAGCACACAUAGUGAGCAUGCAACUACUAGCACUAAAACUACUGCAACUACAAGCAACAAAUUCUGAAGUAUUCAGUUUACAGAUCCUAUCCAAUGAAGUGACAGUACAAGAGUCAUCCACUACACAUUGUAAACAACUCAGCAUAAAACAACCACUUCCAGGUACAUGCUGAAAAAACAUAUCAAUCUGUACAAUAUUGAAACAUCAACACUACUAUCUUAGUCAUGAGGUGCUAGCAUUGCAAAUGCAUCGCAUCGUAUUAGCAUUACACUACAAUAUGCGGAUCUUAGAGUACCUUCACGAAGUUGCCAAGAGUCUUGGUGGAGCCACGGGACGAGGUGAAGACAUCCUCAAUGCCAGCGAACUGCAGCACCUUCUUGGGAACGCGCGCGGCGACGAUGCCGGAACCCCUGGGCGCGGGCACCAUGCGCACGGUGACGGACCCGCACUUGCCGGUGACCUUGCAGGGCACGGUGUGCGGCUGACCGAUCUUGUUACCCCAGUACCCCCUCCUGACGGGCACGACGGAGAGCUUGGCGAGGAUGAUGGCGCCGCGAAUGGCGGUGGCCACCUCCUUGGCGCACUUGACGCCGAGCCCGACGUGGCCGUCGUUGUCGCCGACGACGACGAAGGCCUUGAAGCGGGUGCGCUGCCCGGCGCGGGUCUGCUUCUGCACGGGCGUGAUCUUCAUGACCUCGUCCUUGAGCCCCGGGACGAGGGUCUCCACGAUCUGGUGCUCCUUGACGGGGAGCGAGUGCAGGUAGAUCUCCUCGAUCUUGUUGAUCUUGUUCUCCUUCACGAGGCGACCAAGCUUAGUGACGGGGACCCACUUCUCCUCCUCCUGGCGCGGCCCGCGCCGGCCACCACGGCGCCCGCCACGGUCGCCGCGGCCGCCGCGGCCGAAGCCCCGGCCGAACCCGCCGCGCUCGCCACCGCGCUCUCCGCCGCGCUCCGCCAUGGCUGGGUGAAGGGUGGGGGCUGCGGCGCUCCGGUGAGGGAGGGGGAUGAGGGUUUGGGUGCUGCGGCGGCGCGAAGAGUGGCCGAGCAGAAGGGGAUGAGGUAUUUAUCUGGACGUGGUGGAGCUAGGGUUUUGAGGAUACGGUGCAGUGGAGGCCGUGGGCUGAUACAUGGGCCAGGAAUGCAUUUUAGAGGCCCGGUUUUUGUCAUCAAGCUUCCGAGUUUGCUGGCCCAUGCACAAACCCGGCGCGUCGGCUAGAUCGGCUCGAUAAUAACCAGGCCUCUCUCCUGCUGGCUGCUUCUGUCGCCACGAGCCCACAACCCUGGGCCGGGAAGCAAGUUCUGGGCUGCGGCUGCCGCCCGAACCGAAUGGAUGAAAGGGGAUCUAAACAGAAAAAACCGCAUGGCAUUUCCGUCCCUUGAUUUCUCCCACGACGAACAAAAAAAUCAGUUCAGGGAAGCAGGCAGUUAGCAUCUGUACCCAGCUAGCCCUGUAAAUAGAGAGGCGUGGCCUCGCUUGAGAGCACGCAGCAGCCCCAAGCCAUUCUCUCAUCGUUCUCCUCGCGCCCUUCCUCCUACACCAUCGGCACCAUGAAGCUUUUCGCCGCCGCCUGCUUCGUCCUCCUCCUCAACAGUAAGCGAGCAAAUCAGUAUUAGCACUGUUGGUUAAGUUAGCAGUAGCAUUAGCAUCGUUGUAGCGCAUGCAAAAUGCUCAUGGCAUGUGUUGCAUCAUCUGCGUAUGCAGUCGCAGGCCGUGUGGCGGAGGCCCGUGCGGUGGCCGGGGACGUGGCGACCAGCGGCGCCAUCACCGUCGUCAUCACCAUCACCUCCCGCGGGCCAAGCGGGCGCACAAGCUGUUCGUGUUCGGGGACGACUUCGCCGACAACGGCAACAGCGCCUCGGAUCCGGGGUUGGGCUCUGUCUCCCGCGCGUGGCGCUACCCCUUCGGCAAGUCGGAACGAAGCCGCCCACGGCAGGAAGCCCACAGGCCGCUUCUCCGACGGGCUGGUGCAGUCCGACUUCCUGGCCAAGAUCAUGGGGCACAGCGAGUCCCCUCCGCCCUACACGGGUGACAGCGACAACUGGGACGACGGCAUCGACGCCUCCGGCAUGAACUUCGCCGUCGCUGAAGCCGGCGCGCUGGAGGCGCCGUCGGGCGUGCUCAAGCUCCGCGCGCAGGUCCAGCAGCUCAGGGACCUGGUCAGGGACGGCCUGGUCGAUGACCGGGACUUCACCGACUCGGUGGCGCUCGUCGCCUACUCCGGCAACGACUAGGAAAGUGCCAACUACUUCGACUACUUCGUACGCGAGCCAGCAUCAUGCAUCCGAUCUCAUCUUUUAUUUGUAAUAUAUAUAAACAUAUUUCAUCUUAAUUGUCUAUGCAAGUGCAUACGCAGAAUCUGAACGAUCUGGUGGCGAAGGUGGUGGACGAGCUGGCGUGGUGUCGCAGCUGCAGGACCUGGGCGUGUCCAAGGUGAUCGUGAACAACGUGCCCCCGUUCGGGUGCUCGCCGUGGCUGGCCAAGGCGUCGAACUACAGCUCCUGCGACGACGACGGCAACGUGAGCUCCGACGAGCACAACACGGCGCUCCGGGACCGGCUGGGCGGCGAGGAGGGCGUGAUGGUGCUGGACGUGAACAGCAUCAUCACCAACCUGGUGGCGCCCAAGGAAGGGUCGGUGCUGUACGAGAGGCAGUUCGCGGAGCGCCUGCGCCCCUGCUCCGAGGCCGCCGGCGAGGAGGGCGGCUACUGCGGCCGCGACGGCGGCUACUCGCUCUGCAACCGCCCGGAGGAGUACUUCUUCUGGGACGUGGUGCACCCCACGCACGCCGGGUGGAGGGCCGUCAUGCAGCUGCUCCAGGGGCCAAUCAUGGCGUUCCUGGGCAUCUCGGACCUCGAGCACUUCUGAUCGCUCGGCCGGCCGAUCAUUUCCUCCAUGGAAUAAUAAUACAAUGGACGAUCGAAGACUAGCUAGCUAGUUUGGAUUUGGUAGUUUGUUAGUUUGGAAUAAUUCUUCGUCGUUUAAGUAUGCUUGUUGUAAUUGGUUAGUUUUAGUUAGCUAGCUAUGGGGAUAGAAUAGAUCCUGUUAGUCUUCGGUUUGGUACCCAUCUCCCAAGUGCUGCUGUUGCUGCAACCUGCAAGAUUAUUGGUCUUAGGUUUGUCUUUGAGACGAGAUAUAUCCUGCAGUUCAUCAUAUGAGCAACCUUAAACAUGCUGCUUAAUUUACCAUCAGUACGAAGCUAAGCAUAGGUUUGUUUUUUUCCCUUCUGAGAGAGAGGAAGCUAAGCAAGUUAUAACAGUAUAGCAAGAUCGAGGUAGAUCCUAAAAUUCGUUCGGGAGGAUCCUGGUGGCUAUAACGUUUUCUGUUUCUCAUUCUCAUCAUCGCAACAAACCAAAACGCUUGGACGAACCGAGGAAAUGAGUAGAAGGAACUUGUAGAAGUGCCGCCGCCGCCGCCGCCGCGGUCUGCGGCUGCAGGGCUUCAAACGGAUGACUGGAUGGGUGAGCCACGAGAGCUAUGGCGAACGGAGUCCUCGGUUGCGUGUCGCGCUUGUGGGUGGCAGUAGCUCCACCCAGCGUGCACACACACCUUCGCUCGAAUCCUCCUGUGACGACUCACCAAGUGGCAGCGUGGGCACUACCGGCCGGCAAGCUCAGCGUCGAUCGUGGCCAUCUGCAGCAGAACGCAUCCGCCAUCCUCACGGAGGAACGCUGCUCUGAUUGAAUUCACGAUGGCAUUUCUGCUUCAGGAAUCCGGAGGAACGAACAAGAUAGGCAUCUCAAUUGGAAGCGAAUAAGAUAAGCAACCGAAUUCCACAAAGAUUACAUUACAUUCCCCGCCAGGCAUGCACAAGUUCUUCAGAACGCGGUCAGAGAGGUACUAGUAGUUCCCAGUUCUCACAAUCCACCAUGCCAAAUUACCAACAGAGAAACACACGCCGGCAGAUCGCCGGAGCUCCCACGACCCAUCAGUCCGACCAGCGAGAGCCAAAUCCGCCCACUACGCCUUGACGGGGAGGGGCACGACCUUGACCUGAUCCAGCACGGGGCCGCACAGUGAGACGCCGUCGCUGACCUUGGUGUGGUAGUAGGAGCUGUAGAAGGUGAGCCGGGUCCGGGCGCCGCUCGCCACGAACCUGAAGCUCGCCGCCUUGAACGCGCCCUUCCCCGCGGACUCGAACGGCACCUUCUGCGUCACGUUGCCGGCGAAGGCCUCCACCAGCAUGGACCCGUGGCAGCCGUUCUGGGCGUCGCCGACGGCGAAGGACAGGUUGUAGGCGCGGCUGGGCACGGUGCGGAUCACUUGCGCGAUGGCGCUCUCGCGGCCGGCCACCAGCUCCACCGCGUACUGCCCCGCGGGGACCGAGAAGUGGCCCGCGUCGAUGAACCGCACCGCCUUGAGCGACUCGAUGAUCCACCCGGGGAGCGGGGACGUCGUGUCCUUCUGCUUCGGCGGCAGGAGGACGCCCACCGACGAGUUCUUCAGCACCUGCGGCCCGAUCUCGAAGCCGGGGUUCUUGAUCAGGUUGUCUGCAUAGAUGGCAAGCACGGCAUUGUUUCGUCAGAUCACCGGCGGCGCCAUUCGAGCUCUUGAAGAAGAAAAGGAGAUGCAUUCCGGGCAAAUCUCUCACCUUUGGUCGGGUACGGCGUGGGCAGCUCCUUGAUGGCGACGGCGUCGAGCAGCGGGCCGCACGCGGCGUCCUCCUGCACGCCGGGGUUGGCGAACGUGACCUGCGCCACGGGGGUGGAGGCGCGGAAGCCCCAGGCCCAGGUGUCGGCGGACGCGCCGCUGUAGAGCGUGCGGACGGCGAUGUCGGCGGGGGCCGAGAGCGACGGCACCACCGCGAUGCGCAGGUUCUCGUCCUGCGCGCAGGUGCGCGUCGCCGCGAACGUGAGCGCGUAGAGCGCCCCGGGGCGCACCGUCACGUUCUGCGACGCGGACGCGCGGCUGCCGAGGCGGAGCGCGUGCACGCCGUGCGGCACCGCGAAGAACAUGCCAGUCGGCUGCGGACCGCCGGAGACGUACUCGACGUGGCCGCGCAGCGUCCACCCCGGCAGCGAGUGGCGGCCCACGAUGAGGGUCUUGUUCAGCUUCCUCGGCGCCGUCUCGAAGUUGCCAUUGAUGAGCAGGCCUGCGCUAGCACGCAAAUCGUGAAGAAAAAAAUCAGAUCUUUUGCUGCUUACUCUUCUAAUCUUGAAAAACAAUCACAGCAUUUUGGCCUUUUGGGACGAUGCAAGAACAGGAAAACCCAAAUAUUAACUGAUGGAUAGAGAAAGGUAAACAGAGUGAUGAAUUAAAAUGUAGUACUCCUAGAACAGUUUGUAGUCCUGCACAAACAUCUGUGAAGGUAAAGCUUGCUAGUCUUAAAUCCUGCGUGCAAGAAUAGAACAGCGAAAGAACUAGAAAAAGAAAUGGAGCAACAAACUUAGCCCAUUCUCUGUUUCCUCUACAGAGAUCAAACCUAUACAGAUCUAAAAGAAUCCAGACAAUGGCGGCGACAGGCGACGGCAGACACAAGAUUGUCGAGGAUAAACAGAGUGAGAUGAGAAGUCAGGCGGCGCUGUUACCUUCAGCGUCUUGAGCGUGACGAGGUGCAGGGGCCGGCGGCGGUGCACUGACGGCGAGCGUGGCGACAGCCGCGGAGGAGGACGAGGAGGAGGAGACGGAGAGGACCAGAAGCAGCAGCAUUCCCCAUGGAAGCUCCAUUGCCAAGCUCUGCUCAGUUGUGCUCUCUUUCGCUUUCCCCUUGGCUUCUUCCGUUCCCCGGGAGCUGCCCCCCGCUUCCUCCUUUUAACGAAAAGAAAGGACAACUUCAGUAAAGACCUCCUCCGUUUGGAUUUUGGCAAAUGCACCCGCGUUCCGCGUUCCGCGUUCGUAAGGUGGUGAAAACAACUGGCCUAAAGGAAUGCCAGCGGCUUGUUUGGAUCCAUUGCAGGUAUACUUAACCAGUCAAUACGAGUUGUAACUGAUUAAAACAGAUCAACUAAUAAUGGAACAGCUUUUAUAAUCCAGCUACGCAGAUAGUAAGUACUUCAUUAACGUUUUAAAACAGCUAUUCCUUGGACUAAGAAAAAUAAAUACUCAAGGGCACAAAAUAAACAUCAACCACCACUGCCCCAGCAUCCCAUUUCAAAUUUUGUUUGAGAGGUUGCAGUGCCACAGAGGGCAUAAUAGACAAUUACAUUUCAAAAACAACAAUCCAGAACCUCCAUAAUCCAUGGAUCAAACAACACCAGCUUUUAACUAUCCGGUCUUUUAUUAGCUCUAUAUCUAUCAGCCAGUUUUUUUACUAGCUGUAUCUACCAUCCAGGUUUUUGUUAGCUUUAGCUAUGAGCUACAUAAAUACAGAUGUUUGGAUCUAUAUUACUUCUAAAAAUAAUAAGAAACUGGGCAAUAAAAGCUAGCGUUAUAUGGGACCAUUCAACAAAAGAUGACACAUAAGACUUGCCAUGUUGCAAUGUACAGGUGUACACGUUCUAAGACGGUAAAGAAUAUGCAUUAAUACAGUCUCUUAGGAAUAUGAUGAGAUGGGUGGCUACACGAGUUCUGCAAAGUUUUUGUGCUAGCUUUUCGAACAUCCAACACCACAAUAUAGUUAGAUUAUGUACUGAAGUUCCAUUUUUGUUGCAUUUCUUUUUAUAAGCACCUAGAUCAGAUCAGAUCUGAGCUAUGCAUGUACUAGUAGAACUUAAAAGACUACGAAAAAACACGCGUUACGAAACUUUCAUCGAAGAGUAAAACGCUUAGGUUCUAGUAUAACCGUCAGUAAAAAAAGAACUGACUUAAAUUCCCAAAACCAAGGGUUGCUUUCGAAAACGCAAGAAGCUGGAGGGCCGAAAGACAGCUAACAAUCUUAACGCAAAUUUCCGUCGUCCUGGCGACGUGCUGCGCUUGCGCAGACCGCGGGCGCAGACGACAUUUACCGCCACCGCGCCACCCUACUGCUCGGCGAGGACAGGAUCACAGGACAUGGCACGCCAGAGAAGAGACUAGAGAGCGGUGGCGCUCGGCACUGCCGCUCAAUAAAUCUUUCACCGGUCCGUGCUACCACCACCUUGGCCAUUGCCCAUGCCCAUGCACGAGUGAAAAGUGAAGGACUUGAAAGCCACAAACUAACCACAAAGCCUAGUUGUGUGCAGCACUUGUUAAGCUUCCUUCCAACAUGGAGCAGCACAGUGCACAGAAUGCGCUUGAGGAGUUGUGGAUAGUGACGACGUGUUGUGUUGUGUGCUUCUCUGAUUCUCUCGUUCCUGACAAGAACAAAGGAGAAACCGCUGCAAAACUUGCCUUGCGAGUUGCGAACACGUGAUGCCCGUGAGGAGAGGCGUCUGUUACAGGGCGGGGCCACGGGUGCAAUGCAGCGGCGCACGGGCCUGUACGUGGAUCCGGGAUCGCCUCCUGUCCAGGACCAGGAGCGAGCGAUGAAGUAGAGCGCCUAGCGGCCAACUGCAACCGCGUCGACGGCGGCGUACACGGAUACGGUCUGACCUAGCACUGCUGCAUGGUUUCCCGCCAUCUUUUCUGACGACGACGGCCCUGCCUCGGAUGCUCCCCGAGGAGGCGCUGUGCGCGGUCGCGGUGCAGGAAAGGCGCGGCGGUGGGUGGUGGGGUCGCGACCAGCGGCUGGCUGCGUCCCCAUUGGGCAGCAGCGAUACUGAUGACCGGCCAGAGCCCAGAGGUGGCGGUGCCGGCGGACCCACCGGUCUCUACGGAGAAAAGGACACGGCACGCGCGGCGGGAAGGAAGGAACAGGGGUCAUCGUCCGUCGGGGUCAGGCACGGCCCCCGCGGCCAGGCACAGGGGCGGGGUGUCGGCCCCGCUGCCGCCGCGGCGCGCGGCCCGGCGCGCGUGGGCGCCCUGCCGCCGUCACCGCCCGUGCCAUGUGACCAUGCGCCCUCCCAUCCCGCUCGUCGACUCGCCGGCCGGGCGGCGCCCGUGCGACCUCUCCCGGUCCCUCCUGCGUCCUUUACUCCCUCCAACCAACGCACGACAAACCUCAAACCCAGCGCGACGCCGCCGAGACUAAAGAUGACAAUGGGUGCCAAAUAUCCGCGUACCUGCGGAUACCAAACCCGGUGGACGCGGAUACCGGUCCGGAUCUGUACCCGCGGAUACUGGUGCGGGUACAACUCUAAUCUCAACCGAUAUUUUCUAAUGGGUUUCAAAAAUUGAUACUGAACCCGCAAACCCGCCAGACCCGCUGAUAUGUGGGCCCGAGUAUCCUUAUAUAUAUACAACCUUUAGAGUUUCACUUCACCCAGCCGCCACCCCACCCAGCGGCUAGCGCCCCAGCCACCGCCCCUGCCCCCAUCCCCACUGCCGCCGGCCAUCCUCAUCCCCGCCGCCGUCGUCGCCCAUCCCCGCCACCACCGUCCCAAUCCCCACUGCCGCCGGCCGCCGCCCGGUCGCCCCCCUCCCACCUCCUCGGCUCCUCCUACGCCGGCCAAGUUCCCGACCCAACGUCGGUCAAGCCUAGGCUCCCACGCCGGCCGUCCCCAUCCCCGCCGCCGCCGGCCGUCACCCAUCCCCACCGCCGGCCGCCGCCCCCCUCCUCGGCUCUUCCGCCGUCGCCCGGUCGCCCCCCUCCCUCCUUCUCGGCUCCUCCUGCGCCGGCUAAGCCCAGGACCCAGCUCCAGUCGAGCCCAGGCUCCCACGCCGGCCAUCCCCAUCCCCGCCGCUGCCGGCCAUCUCCAUCCCCGCCGCCGCCGCUCGCCGCCCCCCUCAUCGGCUCUUCCGCCGUCGCUCGGUUGCCCCCCUCCCUCCUCCUCAGCUCCUCCUGCGCCGGCCAAGCCCAGGACCCAGCGCGCCGGCGACGCCCAGGCGCCCGUGCCCCCGGCCGCAUGACACCCGCGCCCAGGUGCUCUUCGUCCAGCACAUCCACAGGUAAGAAAUUAUGAACUCACCAUGUAGAUGCACAAUAUACUGAGAGAAAUAGGCUAGAUCUUAUGGAUUGGUUGAUAGGCCAAAUUUCAAAGUGUAACUGAAUGGGGACUCAAUAAUUCAUUCAUGUACAGCAGAUGUAGUUAUUCAUGUACAACAGAUAUGUAAUACUUACCGAGCAUCAAAUAUGUUUGGUCUUUUAUCUGCAGCGCAUUGAAUCACUGAUGUAUACUAAUCUGAACAUGUUAAUUGUUCUAUAGUUGCAAUGGCUAGUGCUCCUAGUAGCUCCCAAGUUCCAGGUUCCCAAGCAUCAGGUGUUGUAGUAGCUGCAGCUGAUACAAUAGAAGAUAAUGUUGUGCACAUUUCGGAGGGGGAGGAAGAAGCUCCUGAUGCUCCUGGUAAAAAGAGGAAACUUUAUUCUAAAGUGUGGAAUGACUUCGUCCAAGUGUGUGUUGAUGGAGAAUGGAAGGCCAAAUGCAAUCAUUGUGGCAAAAAAACUUUCAGCCGUCUCAAGGAAUGAUACAACCCAUCUCAAAUCUUGUCCUUUAAAUAAUAAGAAGCUAGGAGAUAAAAUUUAAAGUAAUUUGCGGUUUGGAGCUACUGAAAAAGGGGCAAUGACUAUAGAAAACUAUAUGUUUGAUCAAGAAGUAGUUAGGAAAGCUCUUUAUUCUAUGAUUAUAUUGCAUGAGUACCCACUGUCCAUUGUUGACCAUCAUGGUUUUCAUAAGUUUAUUAGUGCUCUGCAACCUUUGUUUAAAAUGGGUACUAGAAACACUAUUAGAAGGGACAUAAUGCAUUUCUAUAAGUGUGAGAAAAGGAAAGCUAGGAUAUUCUUGUAAAGGACCAAUUGCCGUGUUGCUGUUACAACUGACCUUUGGACAGCUGAUAAUAAAAAAAGAGGCUAUAUGGCUGUGACUGGAUAUUUUAUUGAUGACUCGUGGACACUUGAAAGCUGCAUUUUGAGGUGAUUAUCUUUUUUUCAUGAAUUGUUGCUUGCUGUUCAGAUUUCAAAUUUCUAUAAAUUAUGAACUUUACAACUGAACUAUUUCUUUGUUAUAUGUAGAUUUAUGUAUGUGCCAUGCUCCCAUACCGCUGAAGUUAUUUGUGAUGCAUUGCACAAGUGCCUCCAGAGCUGGGUUAUUGAUCGGAGGGUAUCAACCGUGACUCUUGACAACUGCAGCACCAAUGAUAGUGCGAUGGCUUAAUGGAGACAAGGCUUGGUGCAGCUAAUAUGCUUUUGAGAGGUAAAUGGCUGCAUAUGCGGUGUUGCGCACACAUUUUCAACCUCAUCGUCAAAGAUGGCAUGGACGUCAUUGCAAGUGCCGUUGCAAACAUCCGAGACAGUAUUGCUUAUUGGGUUGCUACACCAAAGAGGUAUGAAAAAUUUGAGAAAACUGCUUUAGAUGAAAAUGUUGAAUUGGUCAAGAAGUUGCAAAACUAGAUGGAACUCAACCUAUAUCAUGCUUAGAAUUGCUACACCUAUAGGAAGAUUUUUGAAUGCUUGGAUGAGCUUGAUAGGAACUAUGUUUGUCCACCACCAAAUGAUUGGAUAUUUGCUAGUAUAAUUUGUGAGAAAUUAGGAUUAUUCUAUGACCUCACUGAGUUAUUUUCCCUGACUAAAUAUGUGACAAUCAACCUUUUUUUUCUAAAGUAUGUGAGAUUAAACUUAAGAUCAAAUCUUGGGAGCAUGAUGAGUAUGAAACAAUUAGGGAAAUGUCUGCUACCAUGGUAGAAAAGUAUGACAAGUAUUGGACUGAUAUACAUGGUCUUAUGGCUGUUGCUGUCAUUCUUGAUCCACGUCUUAAGAUGACAAUGUUACAUGCUUGCUAUAUUGCUCUUUUUGUGAAGAGCAUGCUGAAAUUUAUAUGACAGAGGCCCAUGAAUUGCUAUCUGAUUUGAUGAAACAAUACAAUGUUAAAGAACAAGACUUUGUUAGUACAUCAUCUAGUGGUGCUAGUUCUUCAGUUGACGUAGCUGGUGUGUUGUCUAUUUUUAAAACCCUUGCUACAAUAAGAAGACUACUAGCUUUGUUAGAAGUAAGAAUGAGCUAGAUCGCUAUUUGGAUGAAGAAACUCUUUCUCAUGAUGAGAAUGAAUAUUUUGAUAUUCUUGGUUGGUGGAAGUUGGAGGGAACUCGGUACCCCACUUUGAGGCAAAUUGCUCGUGACAUCUUAGCUAUUCCAAUCACAGCAGUAGCUUCUGAAUUAGCUUUUAAUACUAGUGAAAGAGUUUUGAGUGAGCAUCACAGUUGUCUUACUCCUAAUAUAUUGGAAGCUUUGAUGUGUGGCCAAAGUUGGCUUUGUCAUACUCUCAAAGGUAUUACUGUACUGUACUAGAAUGUAUUUUUGAUAUAAGACCUAUAAACUAUAGCUACUAUUGUAUGUGAAACUUGUUUGUAGAUGACGGUGAUGGAAGAGUCAAUAGCUUCUGGUCAUGUCUUGAAUUCAAGAAGAAAUGAAGGUAGAUUCUUACAUCACUACUGGUUAUUCCGACUAAUGAGUUCUAAUAUUUGCUUGGCUUAAUUGGACUUUUAUGUGAUAAUGGUUUUGAAUACUGACUCUUGUUAUAGUUGUAUGCUUUUAUUUCUGUUAAUAUAUGAUGUAUCAUAUAUUCAUGUAUGAGACUAGUUCAUUUGUUUGCUCAGAUUUAUUUAUUUUAUUAAAUAAAUGAUGUUUAUUUGCUGCUGAAAUAUGAUGUGUGCUUAAUUUUCUAAAGCUUACGGGUGCACGGGUAUGCCUGCAGGUUUGCGGAUAUCCUCGGAUAGCGGUUACGAGCGUCGUUUCGUGCCCGUGGCAGGUUGCGGGCGCGGGUGCGGGCUCGAAUUUUAGCACAUGGGUACAGGUUUACAAAGUUAAUAUCCACGUGGAUUUUACCUAUUGCCAUCUUUAGCCGAGACUAAACCCUAGGUGCCAUAGCCUCAGCUUGUUCUUUCUGAAGCAACUCUCUAAUAAAGCUGAAUCUGUUUUUAAAAUUGUUUAACCAAAUGUGGGCAUGCGAGAGAAGUUGGGCGACGCUACGAUUUUCCACUUCUCCAUUUCACCGGGUGUUUUGUGGAUGAAGCUACAAGUAAAAUACCAGUUUGACAUCCAAGAAGCUGUGCCAAGAGGGUUUUGACUUUGGUGGGGGUGGGGACACGUGUCGAUCUAGUAGUGGAUAAAGUGGCCAGCCCUUUUGUUCGAACGGCCCACGGACCAGGCCAGCCUUUUUUUGUUGAAAACCUUGGGCCGAAUACCCGGCGCCAGGGACGCAGAGGUCGGGCGGGGCCCAAGCCUGCCUGGCUGGGGGCAGCACGCGUCACGCGCGACACGUGAGCGCGAGAGCUCCCGCCUCUCCUUCCUCUCCUCGACCUCGCCCGCAGAUCACACCGACGGCGUGACUCGUGAGAUCGUUGCGGAUUCGAUCCCCUGCCCCUUCUUCUCCGGCGUGAUCCCGCGUGCGCAGACACCACUACGGCCUGACGUCCAAGCCUAUUCCCGUCGGCCUCACGGCAUGGCACCGCUACAAAACCGGGGAGCAGACGACGGAGCUGAUCCAAAUGCGGCUGCGCGCGCCGGAGAUGUUUCUUUCCGAGGGUCAGAUAUGUGAUAUCGGAGGAGAUCAUGUCGAUCGACGACGGAUCGGGGAGGCCAUCAUCCGGCCGGAGGGGGGGAGGUCAGCACUCAGCAGCAACUGACGUUAGCUAGCUACCUGCACACGCAUGGCCGGACACAUGCUCGCACGCCUCCACUCUUCCUCUCCCUGUACUAGUAUAUAAUAAAGAAAUGCGCUCCUCGCUCGCAUACGCACAGGGCGUCUGCCAAUCUACGCCAAGAACUCGAUCGCUCCAUCAGUCAAAAGCUACUGCACUCCGGACUCGUGUAUCCUCAUCAAGCUACUCUUCUUUCCUGCAAUGAAACACGCUGCCCCCUCUAUCAACCCUAUAUAAUACUGUACCUUUUGCUACAUUUUUUUUUUGGCACAACAAGAUCAUGGGGAUGAUGUCGAAGUCGGGGGCUUUGGACCUUGCUUCGAGCUUGGGAGGGUCGAUCGCCAAGGGGCAAGUCAAGUCGGCCACCGAGCAGUAUCGUCUCCUCCAUUAUCCUACCAACCUUUUGUUUUUUUGGCUGAUUUCUUUUUCUAUAUUAAUCUAAUCUGCAAGCGUUGAGUUUUGAUCUCAACUUAGCACCUAUUUGGAUGGGCUAACACCGGCAUCCUUUUCUGAGUCUUCGCUAAAAUUUAACCAACUAUAUUAGCACUUUUAUUUGGAUGAAUUAGUGUUAAAGUUUAGCACUUUUAGAUAUUAGCAUUUGGAUCUAAACUCUUCUUACAAAUUUAUUAACAAACCAUAUCCUUAGGAUCUGUUUGGAUUGAAUGCUAAACUUUAGCACCUAUUAGCACUCAUAGUUUUGCUAAAGUUUUUAAGUCUUGACUAAAGUUUAAUCCGACAUAUUAGCACUUCUAUUUGGACAAGCUAAUACUGAAGUUUAGCACUUUUAAACAUUAGCGCUUGGAUCAAACACAUCCUUAUUCUUAUUUCUUGAGCUUGCCUUCUGUAAACUUUAGCUGCAUUUCAGUCGUCCUCGCACCUUGCACAUUCUGAUCGAGUGUGCUUACUUCCCGUCAGAUAUGAAGUACCACCAUAUUUACGGAGGUGAAGAAGAAUCAAGGAAGUCAAAUUACACUGAUUUGGUACUCUUCAUCCUUCAUCCCAACAUUCUUGGAUCACUUGCUUCUAUAAAGUUUAUUAAAGUUUUCUGAAUUCGGACUGAAGAUCAAAUACGCCAAUUCCUACUGUGUGAAUCAGGUAAACAAGUACUAUGAUCUUGCCACGAGCUUCUACGAAUAUGGAUGGGGUGACUCAUUCCAUUUUGCUGGCAGGUCAACUACAUACUACCUUGCUCUCUAAUUAGUACUCACUGACAAUAACACCAUAUAUUUGUCUUAGUUCAGAUGCUGACUUGUUUCUACAUCACAAUUGUGCUGCUAGUACUAACUUCCUUGUUUCAAUUCCAUGCUUAUCCUUUAGAUGGCAUGAGGAAACUUUCCAUGAAAGCAUUAAGCGCCAUCAGCAUUUUAUUGCCCUGCAACUGGGGCUCAAGAAGGGGAUGAAGGUUGGCGACCAAACGGAAUUCCUUUGCCAUUAUUUAAGCAUAGAAGAUGUUUACAGCAGUACUGUAGAACAUGUGAAAAGAAAAUUACAUACAAAACAAAACUCUAGGGUACUUUAGAGCCUACACACUCUCUAUCUCCUCUUUAAGUCUUUAUUUCCUCACAGCCUUUAGCAUAUUGUCUGUGAUAAGUUACUGAUGUGCAGGUCCUGGACGUGGGAUGUGGAAUUGGGGGACCUUUAACAGAAAUUGCCAGAUUCAGGUAGUGACUGAAAUAUAAUUUUUUCAUUGCCCAUUCAAUUGAUUAAGACAUGAGAAUCACACAGAGCAUACAUAUGAUUUUUUUUUCAAUGCUAUUUAUUGUAGCUCAACGCUGGUAACUGAACUGAACAACAAUGACUACCAGAUGUCAAGGGGCAAGGUUUUUAAUAUUUGGUCACUUUAUCUUUUCAUGGAGUAGCAUAUUGAUUAGCCCAUAAAAAUUGUUUGUUUGUUUGUCUGCAAUGCAGGAGAUCAUUUUUUCAGCAGGACUGAGUGAGCAUUGCGACUUCGUGAAGGUGCAUUGGCAUUCCUAGCUCUUUUAUGGGUUUCUUUGGGUCAUUACCUUUUGAUGAUCUUAUGGACAGUGAGGAAGAAACAAGAUCGGUUUAUAUAUCUUCGAUUUGUAAUUGCAGGGGAACUUCAUGGACAUGCCAAUCGCUGAUAACACCUUUGAUGCAGCCUAUGCAUUACAGGCGACAUGCCAUGCACCUGAUGCGGUAUGUCUCGCACCAUACUUCUGUCAAAAGCCCAGUUUAAGUUUUCGCACAGACAGUGUUGCUCAUGUAUCUUCCUCCACUUGUAUUACUUUCAGCGAGGUGCCUACAGUGAGGUCUACCGAGUGCUGAAACCUGGGAAGUAUUUCGCACUAGAUGAGUGGUGCAUGACCGAUCGGUUUGAUCCAAACAACGGUAAACAUUUGGCCAUCAAGGCGGAUAUUGAGCUCGGCAAUGGUCUGCCUGACAUCCGUACCACUCACCAAUGUGUCCAAGCUAUGAAAGAUGCAGGAUUCGAGGUGCUGUGCUUGUUUCAGUAUACACAAGCAAUGAGCCUUUUACCAACAAUGCAGCAAAGAUCCAAGUGAAAGUAUUUUAUUUCAUGCAGUAAUGGUUUGUUUGUUUUCCUUUCUGCUACUGAAGAUUAUCUUUGCAAAGGAUCUCGCCAAGGACCCUUGCCCUUGGUACCUGCCAAUGGACCCUAGCCAUUUCUCAUGGACUAGCUUCCAAUGCACCCGUCCCGGACGCUUCAUCACCCGUGCAAUUGUAAUGCUAAAAGAUUGUCCUUUAACGUAAUUUGCUAUUGAAUUAGUUUUGCUCCUGAGACAUUUAUUCUGUACCAAUCAUCGUCCCUUUUCUUUUCUGUAGAUCAAGACACUGGAGUUCCUUCAUGUUGCACCAGCAGGCAGUAUGAGAGUCUAUCACUUCCUGCAGACUGCCUCUGAAGGUCUCCUAAAGGGUGGGCGGUAAGUCCUACAGUAUUUUUCACCUCUUUCAGAGGAAGGCAACCCAGCUUCGUUCUAUAGAGAGCAAGUGAAUAACCAAAUUUUACGCGAUCUCAGGGAAGGGAUCUUCACUGCGACUUUCUUCGUGCUGGGCCGCAAACCUACCUACCGGGGAGACUGAAAUAGUAAACGGCGGCCUCUGACCUGAGUGGCAGGCAUUGUUUAAUGGAAUGUUAAUUUCGAGUAUGUAUCAUUGUAUGGUUCUGCUUACGCUUCUACGGUAUAGAGUUGGGAAAAAUUCGGGUGAUGCUCUGCUUUCGGUUUGGCUGUUGCGUCGAAAAUGCCGCAUUGUUCAGAGUUCAGACACGAGCAUUGUUCAGAGUUUGCAUUGUUCGGUUGAUGCUCUGCUUCCGGUUUGUCUGAACCUUGAGGACUUGUGGUAGCACAAGGCCAGCGCAUGACGAGGGUAGCACUAAGGGAAUUUGCAAUUCAGAUUUUUUUUUAGAGGACCCGGGACAUUACGUACCUGGGAUUUUAUUUUCGUUUUUGUUUAAAUUACAUCCGGUUUCCUAAAUCCAUCCACUGCUAGUCUGGUUGAGUGUACAGUGUAGUGCUCCUUUUCCUCCAUGGAUCAUAAACAGAGAAAAGAACAGACAAAUUAAUAUCGACAGAGAAGAAGUACAUGCAUGAUCCAUCGAUCCUUGAUAAUCAACCGCAUCUGCAAGUGAACAAUAACCCCAAAACAAAAGGUUUCACACUCAAGCACACAUCGUGGCGAAACGAUCACAGGUAGACGAGACGGUUACUUUCAAAAAAGAAAAAUGGAAAUCACAUGUAGACUCUCGAAUGCACAAGGCCACUAGGGAGUAGUCCGUGAUCUACUGUAGCAUUGCCAUGGAGGCGACCGCCGCCAACGCCGUCGCUACGACAGCCCGGUAACCUCCACGGACCCCGGCGCCGUUGGCGUUGGGCGCGGGCGCGGUGGUGGUCGGCGCGUCGGGGGUGCUGUCCGUCGACGAGGCGGCCGGCGGCGAGGCGGCGCUCGGCUCGCUGCUGCCGCUGGGGGUCGCCGCCGCCGAGCGCGUGGGCGCGGGCGCGGGCGCCUUGGAAGGGGCGUCAGAGGACCGCGGCUUGGGGACGCGGAUGUUGACCUUCUGGCCGGCGGCGCAGUGGCCGGGCACGCCGCAGAUGAAGAACCGGUGGCCGGGCCUCUUGAUGGCGAUCUUGUCGUCGCCGGAGGUGUGCGUGGCGAUGGGCGUGGAGUUGGUGCAGCUGUCGUAGUCGGCCUUGGUCACCUCCAGCACGUUGUGGAUGCCCUGGGGGUACGUGAACUCUGCGCGCGGCCAUGCGAGUGGUGGGCGCCAUGGCCAUCAGCUCAUGAUCAUCAGAAUUCAGAACGAAAGCAGGGCGGUGGAGAAAACUAACGUGCUCUUUUUGGUCAUCUUUCGAUGCCAUAAUGGUCACGCAAAGAACGAAAAAAAAAAGAAGUGGAUGGAAACGUGCAGCCUAAGGUACGUGUAUACCUGUAAAGACAGACGAACACUACGUUUCACACCGAUGCAAAAAAAAAAUAUGCUUGUAUGCUACUCAUUAUUGAAAAAGAUGUCAAAGUUGUUCACUUUACAACUACUGGUUUGACAGUAGCACUAUACUGACAUAUGAAUGGUGGUUGCAUAAUUGCACUACAUCUCAGAUGAUGGAUUCGCAAUGCUAUGGUCCUCGGGGGCGUCUAUUCGCUCUCUGCGGUUGGAAUCAAUCCAAUCACAGAGCCAAACGCCCCGCCUUCCUACGCCUCCACCGCCGCCGCCGCUAACCGGUCUCGCCGCCGCGCAGUCCGUCCACCACCAUCGCCGGCCACCGCCCACCGGUUGUCAGUUGUCCUGCCCUGGCCCGCCCGCGGCGCUCCCGCGCAGCCUCACCUCCACCGCCUGCCGUACCGCCACCACUGCCGGGCUGCCACCGCCGCCAACCUCACCUCUAGGGCCGGUGACCAUGGAGUAGCCCCCACCCGGCAAUCUUAGAACCCUAAGCUCUGCCGCCUCGACCACCACCCCACCUCAACCCCUAGCUCGUCGGCGGCCACUCCACCCACUUCCCUCCCCCCUCCCCUAGCUUGCCAGGGGGCCGCGCCCCUUCUGCGAUGCGGCGCCUGCCCCGUGCGCGCGAUAAAUAGAUAUGGCGCCUUUUGCUAGCAUCUCAUGAUAGCCAUAUAUGGUUUCAAGAAGAUGAUAGCCAUAUAUGGUUGUUUUGUUUAUUAUUGUGUUCAUGAGGCCAAUUUGCAGCUACUUAAAAUCAAGCCUCGAAUUAAAGAUUGCAAUGCAGAAAGCAUGCUAGAUCUUGCACAGCAGAGCACAUACAAGACAGCAGCAGCCUGCAGAUGCCAUGGUGCAGUAACUACCGACAUCAACCAGGCCAUGCAUCCAUUUCAUGGAUUCCUCGCUGGCUGUUCUGAUUCAGAUCUCUAGUGGUCGGGCAGUAAAUUUAUGGAUCGUAUAGAUCAUAGUGCGCAGCACAGUCACGAAGCCUCCGUGAGCUUGCAGACAUGCAGUAAGACACAUGAAAGACAGAGGUAAAAGGAACUAUUUUACCCGAGUCCCGUUGCCAAUGCCAUGGUUAAAUUCUUGUAAAAAAAUGCCAUGGUUAAAUCAAGACACUUCAUCUAAACGCAACGACAAAAGAGAAGGACGCGUUGUAAAAGUACUGACGGCGACAAGUGAGUGGCGUUCAUCUGUCUGUCCCUGCACCAGUGAGACAUGGGGGACAAAAGAUGCAUGGUGCCUUCUCAACAUGGUACUGAACCUUGAGCAACGGUACUACAUCAGCGACACAUUUCGGUUGGCAAUGAAUCUCAUAGUACUUGUAGACAUUGUCGAGACCACACAUGCUCCUAGCUAAAUGGAGCAUCUGAGCAUCAACUGUCAGGAGCAAGCUACACUAGAACAAAACAAGUAAACUGUUGUUGCGAAACUGCAAGCAGCUAGGAAAUGCGUGCUGCGGUAACGAGCAACUGCCGCUGAAACUGCACAUUGCCAAGAUCUAGUAAUGGUACUCGAAGAAAGUUCUGCAUGAUGGCAGCGAGAGAAGACUGAACUUGCCUAUGAUGUCCCCAACAUGGAAGGUCUUCUUCGUAGUCCAGUCGGUGUAGUUGAUGUUGCCGAGGAUGGUCCACCCGGAGGCAUCGCCGACCUUGUAGAUGGCCGCCGACGAGGGCGCCGCCAUCGCGAGCCCGAUCGUCAGCACCAGCAAACCGCUCAUGCCCACGGCCAUUGCUAGCUGCUCCUGCUGCUCUCCUCCCGUGCAAGCUCAGCUCGAUCACACACACCCUAGCUGCGAUGAUCUUGCGAAGGAGAACCUAUAUAUAGCAAGAAGAGAUCGAGGACGAGAUGCCAAAGAGCGGAGGAGACGCAAGGAAUUCAGUUCCACGCGCUUUGCUUGCGCCAAUUGCCGCGCCAGGGAGCAGGAUUUAUAGGAGCCCGCCUGCUCGCUCUCGUUUCCUGGACUGCAUUAUUGACCGUUCUGCCCCUGUGCUCUGCACAUAUACAAUAUGCUCCGCUUUGCUGUCUCUGCUCACUUGGUGCUGGCAGGUUGCUCCUGCGCGGCGUUUUGCUCAUGUUCCUUGAGUAAAGCAAACUCAAAAGCUGGCCGUGAAUCCAAGUCUUGAUCAUGAGCCUGCUUGCGUUGUUGGGUGAGGCCUCUGGUGCCAAUGCUUUUAUUGAGCGAGUGGGCUCUGCUGGUGAGUUGGAGUUGGGGGAUGAGAUCUUUUUCGUUUCAUGGAAGCAACAACGGCAGCCAUGCAUGCAAGAACUUGUCUUUCUUUCGAUCUGUUUGGUGGGUGUAUGCUAGCUGCUUGUGCCUUGCAGUGAGGCAGAUCUUUAGCCUUUCCCUGUUUUAUCCGUUCUCUUUUCACAUGUGGUAUAUAUGAGGAGAGAGUGACACUGGAAUAUUUUAUUCAGAUUUGUUGUGUUUUUGUUGACUGGACUGGCAUAGACGAUAAACAAAGAAGCUUUACAGGAUGUUUGCCCUCGAAGUACUAUAAUUAGUCAGCACUUUUAGAGUCGGAAGCAAUCAAGCAACGCCGUACAUACGUAGCUUGUGCUUUUGUCAAGGGGAAAAAAACUAAAUAUUUGUUGCGAGCUCCCUUCUUGAUUUAGGCUAUCAGAUAGUACUGAAAUAUGCUCAAAGGCGUGGAAAUAGACAUUUGUUUUUUUAAAAACUUUUUAGUAUUAAAAUUCCUGAAUUAUGUGGCCAGAUUUAGCAAUUUUCUUAUUAACAAUGUUGUAGCCUGAAAUGGUUGCACAGGCUUAUUCUGAAAAAAGAACACUAGCCCAGAAAAUAAACCUGCAACAACAUACCGCACUGAAGAAGUGUGAACAACAAGUCGCAAGUACCACCAUUUCCCCCUUCCUUUUCUUCACAUAUAUUUGUGCAGCAUGCAGAAAAUGAUACCUUGCAUUCGAGGAAAUAAGGUGCUUCGACCUGUUCCGUUCCUCAGCAUUGUUUAAUUUUUGCUAUGUUCUCAGCACAGGCUGCACAAAUAUGUUCUAUUACUCUAUCCAUUCUAAAUUAUAUUCUAAAUUAUACGUCAUAUUUUAAUAUUUCUAGAUGCAUAAUUUAAUUUUUGCUAUGUAUCUAUGUAUAGGUGUAUUUGUACAGCUGCAUGGCAAAAACUAUGUACGUAGAAAAACUAAAACAACCUAAAAUUUAAAAUUUGAAACAGAAGUAUUAGCUAUGUUCUUUGGCACUCCCAUGUCACUGUAUAAUAACCUAAAAUUUAAUUUUUAAGUUGGAACGAUCACUAGUUAACUAUCUACCUGUAAGUUUUUUUUGGAAGAUAAUAUAUAUAGCAUCUAUCGGUCAUACGAGAACGCAAGAUCGAACAGUAAAUCAACAUGUACAUAUAAUUAAGGGGUUCCAUGCAUGUAUCAUCUCCACAAUCACCAAGGAAAGCUUGAUAGUAAAAUUACACAUCGACCGACCCUUCCGAUCCAUCAACCACGCACCCAACAGCUGGAUAGUAGUAGCACAUGACAGUCACAGGUCGAAGGUGUUCUUGCCGGUGAACUUGACCUCGAUGGGGCUGACGUUCUUUCCGAUGCUGCGGAAGUUCUGCCCGACGCCCUGCCUGCCGGCGUUGACCUUCUCCGGGUAGACGCCGUCCUUGGGGUGCAGGUACUGGACCUCGCCGUUGGGGAAGACGCGGUAGAACUGGUAGUUGAUCUUGUACUUGGAGCGCAGCCUGGUGCCCAGCGCCAGGCACUGCUCCUUGCGCGCCAGCUUCAGGAGGUUGGGCCCCUCCCGCAUGAUGGCGGCGCCGCCCGUGGGCAUCUCGAACACCUGUUCCUUGGGGGACGUCCACGUGAUCACGUAGAACUCCUCCACCUGCGCCUUGCGGAGCAGGCCCCCCGUGCUGCCGCCGAAGAUCGGGGACGGCGUGUUGGGGUCCAGCUGCGGGGGCACGAACCCCUUGGGGGCCUCCUCGGUCGCCGCCGCCGCCGCGGGCUCCUCGGCUGCCGCGCGGAGCGGGGCCGGCCCGCGGGAGGACGACGGGAGCGCCAGCUGGGACGACCGCGGCGCCUUCGCCGGUGACCAGGCCGCCGCCAGCAGGUGGCGCGUCGCGGCGGAGGCUUGCGUGGCCAUGGCCAUCGGCUUCUUCGGGCGGAAGCUAAGCUGGGGUGCGCGGCAGCAGGAUGAUGCUGGGAGAAUGAGGAGUGGUGGGCGGCGCUGGCGUCGCGGCUAAGAGGUGAUGCUCCGGUUUGGGUGGCGACCGCGGGUGGCGAAGUGGAUAAGGGGAUAUGAGCCCGGCCAAUGGGGAGAGCGGAUUUUGAUACGUCCGGAGGCCGGGCAUCCACACAUGUCACGUCGCCUGCCACACGACGCCGCCACGGUGUAGAAAGCCGCAGAUCAGAAUCUCAUCAGGGUCGCCAGGAGGAAUUAGUACAAGGACAACAUGCAGAUCAGUAGAUGUAGGUAGAUGCAUGUACUGCAAAUCUAGCCAAAAUCCACAUACAUGGAAACCACGGUUAAUAAGACUGAUGCUAGAACACCUCCGGCUGAACAAAAAUCUUAUUUUCUUUUGAGAUGAUCAGCGUUUGAGUUUUUUUAGUCGUUUCAGAAAAAACAUUUGACUUUACACAACUGCGAUGAACAAAAUAGUAAGCCAUUUUACUCUGAAAACUCUGGAUUAUCAAACAUGCGUGACAGAAAAAAACCGCACGACGUCCUAGCAGGUUAGCGGUCUGUUCUUUCUGAGAAAUACAGUACAGACGCAAACCUUCACAUACACAUGUAACCCUACCCCAUCAGUUAAAUUUUAAAAUAAAUUUAGAAAAAAUGCAAGCAUCCAUCCUGAGUCUAGAACUCGAAUUCGGAUGGACAAGUUACACAGGAAACUUUACUAGGUGAGCUAGGCACAGUACGUGGUCAAAUUAUUUACUGAACAAAAUUGGGUCGUCCAAUGCUGAGCUCUACUCCAUCUGACUGCCGGCCCACAGGUGUGCGAAACAUACUCGGUGCAGUCCACCAGCCCAACCAGCCCAACUUGUCGAUGCAGUUCCACCGAGUUUUUUUAAAAAGGGUUAAAAAAAUUUAAAUUCGAAAAAGGGGUGCCGGUUUGGAAGAAUUCGAAAAAUGGGUGCCUCCCGUCCGAUCAACGGGCGGGGGUCGAAAAAAGCAAACAGGCCCCCGGGGAGGGGCCUCUUCGCGAAAGAAAACUUUUCUUAUUCGCGAAGAGGCCCCUGAAGCGGCAUCCCGCUCGUCCAACGGGCGGGAGGAAGGCAUCCCGCCCUCCCAACGGGCAGGAGGUUCCCCCGAGGGGCAUCCCGCCCUCCCAACGGACGGGACGUCCCCCCCCCCCCACUAUUUAAGCCCCCCCACCCACCCCUAAUUCUCAUAAUAUUCAGCAAAAAUCAAUAAAAAAAGAAAGAGAAGAGAGGAGAGGAGAGGAAGCGGCGAAGCCCUGUCGACACGUCGGUUUGGAGGUAUAUUCUCGUUAUAGUCGUAUAAUUAUCAAUUAUUUUUACGAAUAUUUGUUAGGGUAGUUAUACGUAGAAUAGUUUUCAGUAUUUUCAAUAGCUUUUAGAAAUAUUUGUUAGGGUAGUUCUAUUUUAAAUAGUUCUUAGUAUUUUCAAUAGUUUGUAGAUAUAUUUCUUAGGGUAGUUAUAUUUUGAAUAGUUUUUAUAGUUUCACUAGUUUUCAGAUAUAUUUCUUAGGGUAGUUAUAUUUUGAAUAGUUUUCAGUAUUUUCAAUAGCUUUUAGAAAUAUUUGUUAGGGUAGUUAUAUUUUGAAUAGUUUUUAGUAAUUUUAAUAGUUUUUAUAUACAUUUCUUAGGGUAGUUGUGUUUUGAAUAGUUUUUAGUAUUUUUAAUAGUUUUUAGAAAUAUUUCUUAGGGUAGUUAUAUUUUGAAUAGUUUUUAGUAAUCCAAUAGUUUUUAGUAAUUUAAUAAACUUUAGAUAUAUUUCUUAGGAUAGUUAUAUUUUGAAUAGUUUUUAGUAUUUUCAAUAGUUUUUAGGAAUAUUUCUUAGGGUAGUUAUAUUUUGAAUAGUUUUUAGUAAUUCAAUUGUUUUUAGUAAUUCAAUAGUUUUUAGAUAUAUUUGUUAGGGUAGUUAUAUUUCGAAUAAUUUUUAGUAUUUUUAAUUGUUUGUACGAAUAUGUGUUACGAUACUUAUAUUUUUCACGUAGAUAUGGCGCAGACACCGGAGCUCCUUGACGCGAACAUCGACGAACGACACAGAUCGUACCUAGCAGCGGUGGAGGGGCCGGAGCUUCAGGAGUUGCGCCCUCGUGUAGCAAAGGAGUUGUUGCACCUGGACAACCGCUGGCUUGACAGGUGAUACUUUGUAUUUUUUUUACGGAACUAAUGUAUAUCUUGUAUGACAAUUGUAACAAUAAUGCAAAAUAUACAGAUUACGUGAGGCUGGUUUGCUGCCACUCGCACGUAUGCUUCAGGCCGGCGACGGCCAAGACGGUGGCGCCAAGAAGCGGAUGCAGCUGGACCGCUCUCUACUUGCGGCGUUGGCGGACAGGUGGCGUCCGGAGACGCACACGUUCCACUUGUCGUGCGGGGAGAUGGCCCCCACGUUGUAGGACGUGUCGUACCUGCUCGGGCUUCCCAUUACGGGUGAAGCUGUUGGCCCGGUUGCCGUGCCACCUUUCUGGAGGGUGGAGCUUCAGGAGCAGUUUGGUCCAGUGAACCCACCACUUUUUGUGAACGUACCGGACGCGCCCGGCCCCGUCAAGAGUUGGGUAAUACAAUUUAGCCUGAGUAUAAAUAUUUUUUAAUUAAUUUAAUUGAAUCAUAUGUGACUACCUCUAAGCAUUGAACAAAUAUAUUUCAGGCACAGGAUCUCCACCCUCUGGCUGGGCAGUACGAGGUGUCGCGCUGCCUGGAGGCAUAUCUGUUGUGGUUGUUCGGCUGGACUCUUUUCUGUAACUCUAGCGGGAAUUAUGUGGAUAAGGUUCUCAUCCAGUACGCGCGCGCGAUUGCGGAUGCGGAGCCGGGCCAGGUACCUGCGUGGAGCUGGGGAUCGGCAAUACUUGCUGCCACGUACCGAGGCCUUUGCCAGGCGUGUUUCAAGACGGAGAGGACCGCCGUCAUCACAGGCUGCCCACUUCUGCUGCAGCUAUGGUCGUAUGAGCGAUUCGCCAUAGCACGCCCCCUAAUCAGCGAUGAGCCUUAUCCGCCCGAGAUGUAUGGGAUGUGGCACGAGGAUAACCCCACGAUGAGUUCGCUUUGGACCGAUCGACGGGUAAGCUUGUUGUACGUUUCUGUAUAUGCAAAAUACCGAUGCGGUUGUGUAAUUUUGCAGAUGAGCUGGGCACAUCGGCAGGUCCGAAAAGCAUACCCGCAGUUCGUGUCCGAAUUUGAUCGGAUGCGGCCACAGGAUGUCAUCUGGACCCCGUACACCGCUGAAAGGAUCGAUGGACCAAGAGGGGGGGUGAAUUGGGCCUUUUUCAAUUUUUAAAACAAGAUAAAGCAAUCUUAACCUAUGCAAAACUAGAAAGGCACCAAUUCACCAACCGGGUAACUAAACUACCUACGCAAGCUAGGAUAGAUAAAAGGAGGUAAAGCCUUAGCAAGGUAGAGCUAACUAGUGAUCUCUAAAUCUAGCACAUGAAUGAAUUGCAUGAAAGAUAAUGCUUGAAUAAGUAAUAAGGGACAAAAGACAACCGGAUUUUUUUUCCCGUGGUAUCGAUGUGUUGGCACACACCCCUAAUCCACGUUGUGACACUCACAAAGAGUAUUGUCACCUCCCAAGUCACCAAGACGAGGGCGCUCACUAAGAGUCUCCAUUCACCAUCCCGGUGUGGUGGAGAUCAAGCCACGUACAAUCUUCUUCUCCGGACUCCCACAAUCCUUGGCAAGCUCCGCGAGAAUCACCUCGAUCACCAAGAUCGCCUAGGUGAUGCCAAUCACCAAGAGUAACAAGCUAAGGCCUUCACUUGAGCAAGAACCGAUCACCAAGAACGGAUGCACACAAGCUUCUCUCUACUCAAGUCCUUAAUCUUACUUCUUGAAUGAUUGAAUGAAUAAGUGUGUGAAAUGAUGAAGCUCAAAGUGGCUCUUGACUAUAGUAUGAGUGUUUGGAUGUUUCCUGGUGUCAAGAGUGGUAGAAUGACCCAUUGGAGGGGUAUAUAUAGGCAGCUCACACGAAUAGAGCCGUUGGAGAAAAAGCUGCCAGAAAACUGCGUAGCGCCGGUUAAUCCGACGUCCCUCCAAUAGUCAUCGUCGGUUUAACCGGUGAAUGUAAACUACCCCUUCUGAAAACUAGCCGUUACAGCUUGGGCAGAUUAACCGUCGUAGCAUCGGUUUAACCGGUGAGUGUAGUUGUCCACUGAUCAACUGAAAAACCAAGUCUCUGGACAACUGCACCGACGUUAAAUUCAAAUAUCGUCGGUUGAACCGGUGUAUAGACUUGUUCAGACUCUGUUGACACCGUUUAACCGACGUAUAGAAAAGUUGAGGCGUCGGUUAAACCGGUGUUAAGGAUUUUCCUGAUUUUGUCUUUUCUGACUUGAGUCUUGAAUGAAAUCCAAAUAUUCUUGAGAUAUAAGUUGAGGACCACUUAUUUGAGCUUCUGGAAACCUGAGUGACUAUUGUGUGCAUCCAUUUUCAAAUGACCAUGUCCAUGCUCAAGUUACUAAGCCUAAACCCCUCUUAAUAGUGCGAUCACUACAAAACUAUAAAACCUAUACUAACCUAAGUGUCCUUCUCAACCUUAUGACACUUAGGACUAGAAAGAUCCUUAGUCUUGACAUAUUAUUGAGUUGAAUGCCGAGAUCGCCUUUUUGAAUAAUGAAAAUUAGGGGCCUCUUUUGACAUAUAACCAAAUGAGCGAUAAUGAUCUAUAAAGCUGCACAAACUCAUUAGUCACAAUAAUGGUUGUCAUUAAUCACCGAAACAUACCUUGAGGGCCUAUAUGCUUACAAUCUCCCCCUUUUUGGUGAUUGAUGACAACAUAAACAUAGAUAACGAGAGAGCGAGAAAGAUAAGGCACGAAUAAACACAAGCAAACUCCAAAAGAGAGAAUCAAGGAACUCAAUGGCUCAACCGAAAUCCAUAGAUAUGUCUCAAAAGCUCAGCAUGCUCAAACGACAAAUGUACAUAUCCAUGAACUGACACCAAAUAUAAUACAAUAAGAAACAUCAAAGUCCUGAUCACGAGAUCUCUCUAAUGCUACCCUCCCCCUGACUCUCACUCACUCUCCCCCUUUGGCAUCAAAGCACAAUAAAAAGGAGAGCUACUGAUCCGGCUGACGAGGUACUGCAAGGAAUCGAUCCGGGUCAUCGUCGUCGUCGUCGUCGGACGGUGGAUCCUCAGUGACAGAUGGGAGCUGCUGAUCUGAACUGCCGGCAGGCGCUGAGCUGACUGGAGGUGUAGCGGUCGUCGAGGCUCUGGUGCUAGCACUGCCGGGAAGAGGAUCCGUGGAAGUAGUAGCUGGCUCAGCAGAAGAUGUGUCCACAUCUGAAGUAGUGAGUGCUGAUGCUGCCGGCUGUGACGACUGCUGAACCAAAGAGACCUCUCCUCCUCCCCCUGAAGGUAGUGUCUGUGGAACGACGGGGAGGCCGGCAGACUGCACUGCUGAGGGUGACUCCUGGAAGAGUGAGGUCGCAGGCAAUGGAGAGAAGAGUGGACGACUCGCAGACCCAAGUAGUGCUGACAACGAGAACAUGAUCUCCGGGGUCGCUGAGGUAGCUGGAGCAGUAGAGGCUGGAGCUGGUGUGACUGCAAGUGGAGGUGCUCCAACGCCCUGAAGGCCUGGCUGACCUGGCUGCUGUGGGGCGAGUCCGGUGUGGGAGUACAGCUGUGAGAUCAUCCCGAACAUCGCCAUCAUACCCUGCUGCAUCUGCUGAAACUGAGCGUCUGUCCUCUGAGAUACUCUGUCAAUGAGGCCGACAAAACGCUCCUCUGUAGCAGCUCGCUCUCGGGCGGCCUCUCUCUGUAUCUCUGCAAGCUGGGCCUCAUGAGCUCUCCUGGCCUCCUCCUGGGCGCGACGGUCCUCUCUCUGCUGUGUGACCAGCUGCUGCAGAAGUGCGGUGAGCUCAGACGGCUGAGACACCUGUGACUCUGAGACUGUAGCAGCAGCAGCUGACACUGGAGCUGGCUCUCCGGAACCCCCUGCCUCGUGAUCGUGACUCGCUGGAGCAGGUGCAGUGAAGUACUCCUCAUCCUCGGAGGAGUCUGACUCUAGGUCAGACCAAUGUAUCUCAUCGUCUCCUCCGGGAAGCUGUGCCUCUGCGGCUAGCAAUGCCUCAUCCUCCUGGGCCACUCGGGCCUGUACCUUAGGUGACAGGCGUGCCAUGGCAGCUCGAUCUGCCUGUCUGCCUCUCCUCCUGUCUGAGGGAGCUGUCGGGCGGUAGACGGGGAACCAGGGAACCUCGUCCUGUCUGUAGACUGCACUGACGGGUGACUCAGCUGGCACUAUCAUAGAGCAAAUGAAACUGAUCCAGUGAGCAUAAGGAAACUGUCGUACAACGCCCAUCCCGUCAGUGAUAACAUUCUCAAUCUCAGCCAAAAUGAAAUCAACAAUAUCGAACGGCUCGUGAGUGAGAAUGUGAAGAAGCAGUAGCUGCUGCAGACCUGUGAACCCCUCUGGGUAGCCACUCCUCGGGAGCAAAGUCCUUCAAAGUGCCAUGUGAACUGCGGAAGCACUGAGAUCGCCUCGUGAGAAGGUGCAAUACCGCCAAUCAUAGCUCUGCGCGGUGGAUCUGCAUCACCAUAGACCAUCUCGUGCAGGGAGACGUCAACCAGGUCAACUCCAAGAAUCCCUGCAAGUGUCGCUCUGGACAAACCAAAGACCUGGCCUCCAAACAUGAAAUGUACAGCUCUGCGCUCUGGGGCAAUCCAUGCUGUAGUAUAAAAGACUCUUACCAAGUCCUCAAUAUAUCUGUUCCUCUCAAUCGAAAGUAACCUGGGCAGUCCCCUGAAAUGAGCAAAGUGCUCCCUGACAUCGGCUCCCCCUGCAGCUGUCCUCUCUCCCCCCGGGAAGGGGUCUGGUGCCGCCACGUGCCGCCCCUACGGUGGGAGCGGGCCUGGCCCUGCCACGUGCCUGCGGCUGGAGGCCUUUUGCGGGUCCUCCAGCCCACCUACCAGCAUUCAAUGCGGUAGCACGGCCUGCCACUGACACACGGGGCAGGUAUGCUGACACCACGAUAAGCCUGCCUAAUCUGAAGGCGGCGCGUCGUAUCACCGUGUACUGUGCACAAGCGGCGUAUAGUCCCGUCACGGCGCUGCGCGCGUGCGUGAUGAUGGCCUGUAAUAGGUGAGCCAAGGCGUGCGCUGUAACAGUGCGCACGCAACGGGUUAGCGCUGUUUCACCGCCUGACAGAAGGUUCCAUCCCAACAGUGACAGCACGGCUUCACUGUUGGGCAACGCUGACAACGGAAACUGUACAAGACAAGGCUGCACACGGCCAUAUCCUGGCUGUGGAUACGCACAUCAAUUUUCCGAUCGAGAGGACUACGAAGAGGAGCUCGAGGUGAUGACCUCCAUAUCUCUCGUAGAACAGGCUCCUGUUGGCCGGGCCCACCUGUCGGGGCCCCGCUCGGUGUAAGCACUCCCCUUGGACUAUAAAAGGGAGAGUGCACUCGUUAGAAGACACAUCGGAACACACACGCCUCAGGCUCAGUCUGGUUCACACAAUCAAUACUACACCAAAGUGGACAUAGGGUAUUACGCUUCGGCGGCCCGAACCACUCUAAAAUCCUCGUGUUCUUCAUGCGUUCAUCUGUUCACCGAUCUAGCGCUCCUAAGUCUCCUCCAAACCCAUCCUUAACUAGGAUUAGGCGUGUGCAUUCCGCCACCCGGCUGGAGAUUUCCUCCGACAAGUACUCUUCUUCGUAAAAUUGAAUUAAAAUUUUAUAUGUAUACAAAAGAGUAUGGAGAAUAAAUAUUGUAUUUGAAAAAAAUUCUGAAUUUCAAAUAGUUUGUAAACCAUAAAUUCCAAUAAAACAUAACAAUUACAACAAAAUAUAAUAAAAAUAAUAAGCAGCAGGGGGAUCUCCCGCCCACUAAACUUUUCUUAUUCGCGAAGAGGCCCUCGGGAGGGGCCUCGAAAUAUUUUUUCGAACCUCCCGCCCGCUGGUUGGGCAGGAGGUCCUCGGCCCCACGCCUCCCGCCCGAUCAACGGGCGGGAGGUACCCAUUUUCCGAAUUGUUCCAAACCGGCACCCUUUUUUGAAUUUAAAUUUUUUUAACUCUUUUUUAAAAAAAAUCCAGUUCCACCGGCCCAACAGGCCCGUUGCGGGAGCUGGCCCUCCUUCUAGGCGGCACGGCCGUGCGGCCACCCCUGCGCCUGCCGCCGUCUUCCCCGCCAGCCAGUCGCCGCCGCGCCGGGUGCACCCGCGGCAGCCACCAGCGCGGCCUCCAACUCCUCGUCCCGGCACCGCUGCCAUCGCCCGAGCGCCGCCCGUGCAACCGAAUCCAAGUGGGUCCGGCCCUGACACGUCAUCACAUUUUCCCCGCCGUCUGAUCGAGAUCAGUUUUAGGAAAGGAAACCACCCCGACUUGCUUGUUAAGAAACAGAUAGCACGGGCAAGGCAACCAAAGUUGUGCUGGCCCUGCCUUUCUGUUUGUCCGCCACCGAGCCCCGUGUUGCGUUCCUCGCCGAUGGAGGAAACCCUAGCCGUCGAAUCCGCCGCCGGCGAGGCGCCCGCCGCGGUGGCGCCGGAGCGGAAGGAAGAGACGCUCGAGGAGGUGCUCGCCAGGCACAGGUCAGUAGCCCUCUUUCCUUCACCAUGCCAGCUGUGGAUUGGGGUGAUUGAGCUUGUGCCUUCUAGAUUUCUGUCAAGUUAUAUGUCGUGUCGUGCGUCUCGCAAGAGAGAAAAAAACUAAAACUUCUUCCUUCUUGUUUUUAUGUGUUUAAUAGGGAACGCAGAUCGAUUUCCCCCCUGUGGUAGAUACUUGGGGGCUUCUAAAUUGUAGGCUGGCUGGUUCACUAGUUUUGACACUGGUGCAGCUGUGGCUUUCCUGUAAGAUUUAGCACUCUCGUGUAGCUGUGGAUUUCCAUUAGUCCAAAAAGUUGCAAAUAUUAUUUAUCUGUGAAGGUGGACAUGUUUCUUCUUAGCCUAGAUGACCGUAAGAAAGUUAGUUUUCCAUGGCGACAAUUAAACUUCUUGGCUAUUAAAGUUGCGUAUAUACUAGUGAUAUGUGGAUGCAAGUAAUGCUCUGUUUUCAUGCUGUUGUUCAAGUGAUUGCAUACACAUGUGACCCGAGUUGGUUCGGCGGAGCGACUUUCGCUGAAAACCUGUGCAGCAUGAGCGAGUUUAAAGCAUUUAAAGGAUAUCAGAGUGGUGACAACUAGCUGAUAGCUCGGUGGUUGGGCAUCCCAGUUGUGCUGCCAGCCGACUAGGGCUUGAACCCUGGGUACGUUGGCUGUCGGCAUGUUUCUUCUCGACCUAGAUGACUAGAAUUUCCCUCAGGGCUGUUUCAUGGACACAAUUAAACUUCCCCGCUAUUAAAAUUUUGAAUAUAUAGUGAUAUAUGGAUGCAAGUGACAUUUUUGCGUGCUGUUUGAGUGACUACAGAUACACACAUGGCCCAAGUUGGUUCGCUGAACGAUCCUCCCUUAAAAGCGGUGUAGCAUGUGCGGGUUUAAAGGGCCUAGAAGAUAUAACAGUGGUGCGACCUCGCUGAUAGCACGAUGGUUGGGCACCCAAUUGUGGUGCCAAUCGACCAGGGCUUGAACCCUGGGCCGCGCGCAAAAAAAAAGAGGUCCCUCAGUUGUUCACCCAGGGAGUCCACCCUUGGCUAAUGUCGGCUUUAGGUACAUUUUCUCGAGUCUCGACCCUGGAAAGUUGAGAUUCCUUCUUAAGGGAAGUUUGUAUGGAUAGGUAUAACGCGUGAUAUUCUAUCUGUAGACUCUAGGUUCAUAUGCUACGUGCCAUGAACAAAGUGCAUUGCUGCUACAUGACUGCAAUACUGCAUUAUUGGGGGUAGAGAAGUUCAUAUAUGCCAGACUUCACACCAGUUGCAUUCACUGCACGUUUUCGCUAAAGGAUUGAGCCCUGCUAGAAUUCUAAUAAAGAAUACCUUACACUCCACUUUUCACCUGAUCAGCAUAAAGGAUAAGAUGUAUGAUAGUAAAGCACUUCGAUUAUUCAUGUUCCAUUCAAUUAAAUUUAUGAAAAUUACAUCAAGUUAAUCUAGAAAAUAGAAUAUGCUGCAUGACUUGCUUUAGGUUUGGUAUUUCAAAUUGUGUGAUGAUAUAAUGGACCUAUGGCUGAGAAUGCGGAUACUUCAUUGUUUUAGUAUCAAAAGAUCAGUUUCAUAAGGAAAAAUUUAUAUAUUGGAAAAAAGAGGAGAACGUUAUAAGUGGCAUGGAAUGUUUGCUUGCCUACUUGUCAGUAUGAUAUAGAAAGGUUUAUGUUUGAAGACUUCAUCAGAUGAUCAAAUGUUACACAAAUAUAGUAGUUGAAUCAUUUAUGGAACCGUGUUUACACAGCUAAACCUCAAGUUUCUGGUCAGUUUUAGAGAAGCCGUUUUCUGCCAGCUGACUGGUUAGAGCAUUAUAUAUUUCAUUAUACACCAAAUGUAUGUUCACGUCAAACCCAACAAGAUUGUGACCUGCAAAAGUUAUUUCAUAUUUCUGCUUGUGUUUUAUGGUGUGAAAUCAGCUGUGUAGCUGAGUUCAUUGAUGUUGGAACUUGCUGUUUUCUAUUCCUCAUUUAUCAGACUUGGAUGUUCCUUACCUGCUUACUUGAUGGUUUCACAAAUGGUGGGCUGCAACCUUUUCAGUCGUGUCACAACUCACAAGUUAUUGACAAUGAUUUUCUGUUUAAUGUGUCUGAAACAGGAAAGAAAAAUCCAAACUCCAGGAUAAAGAAACAAGCCUGAAGAAAGCUGCUGCCAAAGGAAGCAAAGCUGAGCAGAAGGCUAAGAAAAAGCAAGUAGAAGAAGAGAUUGCACGCCUAUCAGCUGAGUUAGAGGCGAAACAUGCUGUGGAGCUUGCUUCUUUUGGGUACAAACCCUCAGGCAGCUCAGAAAAGGGUAACCUUGACAACCUAGUGAAGGCCAUAGCUGGUGUUUCCAUGUCCAGCAAUUUGGAUUCCGCAAAGCCCAGCAAGGGUGCACGGCGGCGAGAGAAGAAGGCAAAGGAGGAAGCUGCUCGGGAGCAGCGGAUCCAAGAAGAACAAAGCAAUCUCGUCAGCGACCGCAUGCUGGAAAACGAGAAGCUUGAAAGUAAGCUUGAGCCCUUGGGGCUGACCAUUCAAGAAAUAAAGCCAGAUGGCCACUGCCUGUACCGUGCUGUUGAAAACCAGUUGUUGCUCCAUUCCAAGGGCACGGCACGGUACAGCUACCAGGACCUACGGCAGAUGACGGCCAAGUACAUGAGGGAGCACGCAGACGACUUCCUCCCGUUUUUCUUAGCAGAAGGCAAGGCUGAGACUGGGUCAGAUCCCUCUGAGAGCUUUGAGAAGUACUGCCAGGAGAUCGAGUCCACGGCAGCCUGGGGUGGACAGCUUGAGCUUGGUGCGCUGACCCACUGCCUCAAGAAGCACAUCGUGGUCUACUCAGGCUCCUUCCCGGAUGUGGAAAUGGGCCAGGAAUACAAAUCUGGAUCCGGAGGUAGUAGUGCCGGGGAUGUUAGCAUCAGGCUGUCCUUUCAUAGGCAUGCCUAUGGUCUUGGUGAGCACUACAACUCAGUGAUUCCAACUGAGUCAUGAUAACAAAAGAAAUUCGCCGCACUCUGAUAUGUUUGAUUGUUUACUGGUCUUGCCUGUUGGAGGUUAAACACAAUAGAUGACUUGUUUCCGGUUGCUGCUAAAUUUUCCAUCUUCUCAUCGGUCGUUGAUGGUUGAGUGUACCAAUCAAAUCUGUACUCGGGAGGUUGUUUCCCAAACAAUUUUGCUCUUACCAGUAUUAUGUUGCAAUCAGUGAUAUGUUUUUCCAUUGGCUGUAGCUUGUUGCUGCUUUUGAGUGGAAGUGUGGAACCCUAGAAUCAGUGAUACGUUUCUUUGCCUGUGUGCAUUCCUAAUAGUUGUUGCCUUGUGCCGUUGCUGAAAUCGGCUGUAAGUUUUCAGUUGGACGGCUCAGUUGCAUUUUGCCGUCUUGGCUCUGACAUGCUGCUGUUCAGUUGACAGUCUGCAAAAAGAAGAGCCUUUUCAGGCAACAACGCAAGCAUCGUCAGCGAAGGUAGCCAUGCAAGUUAUAACAAGUUAUAUAUUUAGAUCAUUGGUCGAUUUAAAAAAUUAAUAAAAUAAAUUAAAAUUGCACUUUACGUAACUAAUUUGAAAUAUUUUAAAGAAAUGAACUAAAGUGGCGUACCAUCAUAAUUAAUUAGCUGAUAAAAAAUGCUACUAGGUAUCCGCUUAUAUUCUUAAACGCAGGUCAGAUGAUGAUAAGGUAGUUCACUCUAGUCAUUGAUUGGUUACUUUUCUCAUGACGUGGCUUCAAAUUUUGAUAAUCUAUUUUCUAAAUUUCGAAGUACCCUAAUUAUGAGGUAUGUAUAUGACCAAUUGGUUGCAUCUAAACUACUUAGAGCAACUCGAGCAAAUCCUCUGAACACGCCUCUAUUCCAAAUUUAGAGGGUUAAAUAAAAAGAUGCAAUCCAACACAUUCUCUGUUAGACCCUCUAUUAUUUUGGAAAGGCCUCCAAAUUCUCUCCUCCACCCUCUGAGUCAGAAUUGAGGACUACUUCUGGAGUUAAAUCAAAUUUGGAAGCCCCAAAAAAUAGAGAUAGACCCUGUCGGUGUUUUACCGGCUGCCCACCGAGAGAUAUACCCAAAGUGGUAAGUUUAGGUGAGGAGACAUAGAGAUCUGGAACUCGAAGAUGCAAGGAACACAAAACUUAGACAGGUUCGGGCCGCGAGGUGCGUAAUACCCUACGUCCUGUGGUGAUUUGUAUUGCCUUGGGUGUAGAAUGAUCCUAGGAUCUGCCUUGAAUGCGUCUCUACCCCCCCUCCCCCCUAUAUAUCCGGGAGGUCAGGAUUACAAGAAUUCUAGUCCAAUACUAGAUAAGGAAUCGUAACCGAAUACAACUCGAGUAGAUUCCUUCUGUACCGACUAGCUUUAUCUCUUAUUCAUAUGAGAUAAAUAAGAUGUAAAUGUAAAUAAGAGAUAAGACGGGCUUUAUCUCUUAACCCUGUUUAAACUACGUUAUGUACACAGUCUCGUGGCCCCGGAUCUGACAAGCCCCCGAGCUCUUUGUAGCUGAGUACUGCAGGCUUCUCGAGUACUUUUGAAGUAGUCUUCGGCUUCUUUUGAAGCUUCGUCUUGAAGUUCUUCUUCAAGUAUUUACUUGGCUGCAUCGAGGCUAUGAGGUGCUCAUGCCUCGAAUUACUUCUUUGGUAUGGUGUGCGAUUGAAAAAUCGUACUCCAUAUGGAGUAGCCCCCGAGCCUUAGGUUGAAUCGGAGAAUCAGGCUCAGGGUGAUAUUAGUCUUGAAUCUUCGUUGCCUACUCUUCGAAUAUAUUCAAAAAAUAAGUAGUCGAUGACACAUAUCCUGCAGCCCCCGAGUCUUGAAUCCAAAACCUUUAGGUUUGGAAAAAGGAUCCAAGAAUCGUGGUAUUGGUGUUACUCUGAAAUUUCGAGAAAAACUCUUCGCCUUCUGCAUAGUGAAAUUGAGCCUCCCGCUGGUUUAUUUAACCGCGUGGUGACUUAGGGUUUCUUCUGCACUCUUAGUCCAGCCCCCGAGCUUACGAGCCAGGAGAGCCGAAGGAGCCACGUUGAGUAGUGUGCAUCGUUCAGCUCCCGAGCCUGGGAACUAGCGGAACUGUGAUAGCACACCGUACUGCCUGGAGGGUUGUUGCCGAAGCUUGAUAUGAAAAAAGACAAUGCAUACAUUAUGUAGCAUAAUGCGAAGAUACCGAAUAGUACUUAGUAAUAAUGUGAAGACACCAAAAUUUAUUUGGUGUAAAAAUUGCUGUGUCAAGCUCUUUUUUAGGCCAUUUAAACCUCCCGAGUAGUAUGCCUGUUACGUUUAAGCACCUGGUCCUGUUUUAGCCAUUGCUCAUAGCGUGUAUGAGAUCUUUAUCUCGUGUACGCGUAAAGGCAUUAGGCGUGACAGAAGAGCUGAGGUUUCACGGAUUAAGGCAUGUGCUAUCCGAGUAGAUUAGCGACCGUUAAGAGGAGACAAAGAGUAGUUGUCAUGCAACAAAGAGGAUGAGCAGUGCGCAAAAUUAGUCGAUAUUGCGACAGAAUGAAUGCGCGUUGCACAAAAUGUAGUCGACGAAGUGUAGCUCUGGAGGGUUUCAUGCCCAUCGAGAGAUGUACACGAAUAAGUAGUCGGCGAAGUGUAGCUCUGGAGGGUUUCAAUGCCCGUUGAGAGACGUACAUAGAUAAGUAGUCGGCGAAGUAUAGCUCUGGAGGGUUUCAAUGCCCGUCGAGAGACAUACACAGAUAGGUAGCCGAUCAUGGAGUAGCCUCCGAGGGUUUCAUGCCCGUCGAGGGGCGUACCAAAAAAGGUAGCUGAUCUUGUGAAGAACAAGUCGGAAAAGUUAUAAGUCACUUAGCUUGACUCGUGGACGAAUGUCGAUGAAGCCGUGGAGCUUGUUGAUGGAGCUGCGACAGUUUGUUGAUGAAGCUCGACUAGUCGGAGUCGAUUUCGACUGGUGAACUGGAAAGAUGCCAUCGAGUUCGCCGGUAGAUCUUCGAUGCGCUCCCCUACCUAGCGCGUCGGCUGUCGGUGGUUUACUGGCUGCCCACCGAGGGGUAUACUCAAGGUGGUAAGUUUAGGUGAGGAGACACCGAGAUCAGAAACUCGAAGGUGCAAGGAACACAAAACUUUGACAGGUUCGGGCCGCGAGGUGCGUAAUACCCUACGUCCUGUGGUGGUUUUUAUUGUCUUGGGUGUAGAAUAAUCCUAGGAUCUGCCUUGAAUGGGUCCCUGCCCCCCUUAUAUAUCCGGAAGGUCAGGAUUACAAGAAUCCUAGUCCAAUACUAGAUAAGGAAUCGUAACCGAAUACAACUCGAGUAGAAUCCUUUUGUACCGACUAACUUUAUCUCUUAUUCAUUUGAGAUAAAUAAGAGAUAAGACGGGCUUUAUCUCUUAAGCCUGUUUAAAGUAUGUUAUGUACACAGUCCCGUGGCCCCGGGUCUGACGGACCCCAUUUAGCAUUUGAAGAUCUAAUUUAGGAAACUUUGCUGGAGUUGCUCUUAGCGAUAAAAUACCAAUUCCCUCCAUCUGACCAGCAUUGACAAAAAAGUGAAACACCAUGCUACAGUACCUAUUUACCGUAAGGAGUCUAAAAAAAUCUAUUUACCGUAAUGAAUAGGCUGCACGCGCGUGUGAAAUGGAAACAAAAGUAAUGAAGAAAUAUAGAUGUUUGGCCCUGGCCGUUCGACUUGACGAAGGCCCAGCAGCCCAACAGACGGAGAGCCCUUAUUAUUUAUAUUCUCCUCUUGGGCUCUUCCCCUCUGUGUUCUCUUUUAGGGUUUACACUUUUGCGACGAUGAUGAACAACGACCUCAGUGCCGGCGACCGCUGGGCUUGCACCGUUGCGGAGGAGAUCCGACGCUUCAAAUCUCUCAGGCCUCGCCCAUGGAGGGUCUUCCGCUACACCCCGAGUGGAGGUGGCCAAAUGGCUGGGGAUCCGACCACUGACGCAGAGCAAGCGUGACGAGGUCGUGGACAUGGUCGCGAAGAAGAUGGCUGGGCUUGCAGGCUCAGCGUUUUCUUUAUCAGCCGAAAUUCACCGAAAUUUUCGAUAUUUCCAUUCUAUCCGUGAGGUCCGAUAAAAGUAGAUAUUGGUCAAAUUUUUCCAAUUUUUCAUGCUCAUAUAGAUAGCCCAAAUUCACCCGCGUCACGAUCCCACACUCAUAAUAUUUUAUUCUUGAUUUUAUCUGUGAAUAAGUGAUGUUUAAUAGCUUAGGAAUAAUUUCAGGUAAAAUUCUAUGAAUCUUUUCAAAACAAUUUGAAUUUUUUUAAAAUUUGAUUCGAUAUUUCCGAUAUAUCCUUGUUAUCCAAUUUAUCGAUGACCUCCAAUAAAUUUUAAUUUCCGAUAAUGAAAACCCUGCGCGCAGGCUCCUUCGUGCUGCGCCACGGCACCAUCUCGGAGCCCGAGGCCAGUCGCGCCGCCGCCGCCGCCGUGGAGGCCAAGGCCUUCUCCGCUGUCUCUGUGUACGCCGCCCACAAGGACCUGGCUACCAAGACGGAGCGGUUCGAGAUCUUCCGGACGUACACUAAGGAGUUGUGGAGUCGCGCCUACCGCUACGCCAAGUCCCGACCCGAAGCCGCCGGCACCUCAAGGGCUGCAGGGCCCACUGCUCUGCCGCCUCCUGCCGCUUCCUCCGUCGGUUUCGCCGCUUUCGUCACUGGCGUCUGCGACGGGGCCUCCAACUGCUCCGCUCCCAAGUAGUAGGGAAAUAGGGCGUCGCCCGCGCUUUCAUCCAACGGGAAUUGCAUGCUCUCCUUUGGUGGGGGUUUCGUUGGUGUCUAUGGUUAGUACUAUGUGAUCUGAUGUCUAUUUGAGAUUACUCCAGUGAGAAAAUGAUCUACUUAUGUUUGUGUCUAAACGAUCUGGUACCUACUCUGCUCUAUAUUAUAUAUAUAUAUAUAUAUAUAUAUAUAUAUAUAUAUAUAUAUAUAUAUAUGGAGUAGCUACAAGCGCGUGUAGAAUAGAUUUUUCAUAUAUAUAUACAAUCACUUGUAGCUACUCUCACUAUCAGUAUACCAUCGUGCGUAUGUCCACAUACUCAUUUAUCACUUUAAAUAUGUUCAUAUACUAAUUCUAAGAUACUUCUGAGAGAUAUGCAUGAAAAAUUUUAAAAGUAUCCCUAUUUUUUUAAUAUAUCAUGAUUAUAUAUUAGUACUAGUAUAUAAAAAUAAGUAUAUCUAUAUAUUCCAUGUAUGAUCACAUACUUAAAAUAUAUACCAUCAUAGAUAAUCUAGUAUGAUUACAUACACCUCGUAUGUUGUAUCAGAUACACCAUACAUCAUGACAUACAAAUGUGCGAAGAUCCUGCGAGCGGACCCAUGGGAGCAGAAGCGCUGGCAGAGCUCUCCGUGGCGGAGCGGCGGUGAACGAAAACCAGGCCGACCGGAUCUGCGCGGUUGCGCUGCCGGAUCCGAUUAUCGGGGAGCUCAUUUUUUUUAAUUUUUUCUUCCUUUUCUAUUUUUCUUUCUCCAAACUUUUUUCACCUAAAGUUUCCUGAUUUCGUAAUAAAAGUUUCCUAUACAACUUUUCCGCCAAAAAGGCUAUGUAGAGUGUAUAACUUCUUGUUUUGUUUUACUUUGUUGAAAUUCUUUUGUGCAAAUGUUGGUUAUUUUUGUUUCCAAAAUUUUCCUAUAAAUUUUGUUCUCAUUUUUAUUCUCUCAAUUUUAAUAAAUUUUUGUUUCCAAAUUUUCGUUUUGAAUAUUUAGCAGAUUUUUUGUUUCAAAUUUUUGUGACCAAUCAAAAUUUUGUCUAUCUAAUUUUUUUCCAAAAUAUUUUCCUACUUUUAAUAAAUUUUGUAGUCAUUUUUUUGUUUUGUAAGUUUUCUAUCUACAAGUUUUUUAAAAUUUUGUUCGCAAUUUUUGCUUCCAAAUUAUUGCUUUCCAUUUUUUUUAACAGUUAUUGUUCAAACGACAAUUUGCUCGUGAGGGCAAGUGGGGAGUUGACAGGUUGGGGAUGGGGAACAAAGCCAUCGCCUCAAGACUUUCCAAAGGAAUAGAGCCGAGCGGGUGGGGAGUUUGGAAAAGGAAUGGCGCGGGGGAAUAAGUCCAAAUAAGGACGGUCGCCGGGAGUGAGGACGCGGUCCUCCCUGCCGCGCCGAACGCAGAGCCUCCGAACGAUGCAGCUCGACCAGGUUCCGGCUGGGAUUUUCCGCUCCGGACGCGCAGCACACGGACCGCAUGCAAAUGCCUGAUGGCCUCGCCGCGCCGGCGCGGCCUCGCCCACCGCGGCACCGCUAACACGGCCGCCGCCGCCGCUUUGCUUCCGCAGGGAAGAGUUCCAGGGAAUAGCCAAUUUUGCGAUGCGAAGCGUAUAUGUUUAGCUCGUUGAUCACCGGCUACCACCUCCAUUGUCGAGCCUGCGUGCACAGCGCGGUGUGCGGAGCGGCAGCACGGGGGCUCGAAGAGGGGGCGUGAGUGAAAACGAAGGCUUGACAUCCGCGGGCACGGCGGCGAAUCUCCCAGCUGAAGGCUGCGUGUACCAACCAAGGCUGUAACCGGGAGUUCAUUCUCCCAAACAAUUUUUCUCGCUGUUUCCUGGGUUCAGAUUGUGUCAUUGCGUGCCGUCACCGUCCUCAUCACCAUGUUUUGUUGCUGCUUUGUGACUUGAACAGAAACUAGUACGCUCCCUUGCAUCCCAAUGAGUAGUCGCCUUCUUACCGUGUCUGUAGUUGCUUGUCUGCUUCCUGUUAAUUCGAGCUGCAGCUUCGCCUUCGCGGCGCUCUUGCCUCUUGGCCUGGACAUGGUCCGCAAAGAAGAGUGUUCCCUGUGGGUGUUUGGCAAUGGCAACAGAAAAGUCAGUUCGGGGUCUCUCAUCAGUUGUGUGGCUUCCGUCUUCCUUCCAGGCUUCCAGCCGAGGCCGUCGUAGCAUACUGUCCUCGGCUCCUCACCAUGCCUGCCGCCUGCAGGAUCGCCUCGCCUCGUCGUCCCGUCAUAAGGACAUCUCCGCCAUGGCCGGCAUCUCCUCCCUCUCGUCUCCAGCAGCGCGUCAUACCUCCUCCAUUCUGCAGGACCCUGCACGGUGGGCUUCCGGCCGGCGCCCGGCGGCGCGCGCGUCCACCUUUGUGCGCCGCGAUGACGACGGCGUCGCGUCGCGUCACCUGCGCUGCGAAAAUGACUGGGCAACUGAUUUUCUGGGCCGUGGCAUCGAACUGGGCCGACCUGACUGCUAUAGGCCCACACGACGCUCCCAAGCCCAAACACCUGCUCGGAUCCUGCCGCUCGUUCCCGAUCCGACGGUUUCCGUGACCCCAGGGUGGACGGUAAAUGAAAUAUCGUCCGCGUCUUGAUGUGUGCUCCCCUCGCGACGGCCGCCGCCUUCCCACCGCCGUCCGCUGGCUUGCUAAUCGGAGUCGGGGUUAGAACGCCGUCGCCCCGUCGCGCUGACGGCCGCAUUCCGCUGAUCGAUGCGCCUCCGGCUGACCCUCGUCGCAACUCGCGCACAGAUGGUGGCGAGCCUGCCGGUCAACGCUGAGGGCCUCGAGGCGCCGUCGCGCGCUCGCCAGCCGCUAACGCCGCCGCCGCCGCCGCGCCGUUGCUGUCGAGGGUAACUACGAGAACCGCCCGAUUUAAUAUUAUUUUAAGUGAAACCGUCGGUUCUUAUCAUGAAAAUGAGAGUAAACUUGCGCUCGCACCAAUAGCGUGCCACAGGUUAACCCACAUCUAAACUCCCAAGAAUCAACUUAACUUUUCACCGAAAAUAAUACUAAACCCGGUAGUCCCGGUACGUGCUCCAACAUAUGCCCAAGAUCACGCACAUGCACAUACCGUCACAAGCUCAUAUAUCACCAUUGAUUCACAAAGAGUAAAUUUUAAUACAAAGUUAAGCCAUUAACCAUUACAACAUUGAUAUAACGGAAGGUUCUAAAUCUGAAUUUAAGGUUCAAUAAAGGAUACAAGCCUCGGGCUCACAUAGAAGAGAUAAAAACCAUAAAGUUUAACGUUUAUCAUGAUAACCUCAAGUACGAUAUGCAGCGAAAAAUAUAACGAUAAAUAAUAUUAAUGACGCCUUGCUCAAGGACACCAUUGACCAUAUUGGCCUAUUCCUCGCCCGCGCCGGGUUCGGCGGGGUAGAAAUGGCCAAACACCACUUCCGGCUCACCUGCAACUUAGUAUAAUAAAGCAACAUGAGUACAAAGGUACUCGCAAGACUUACGCGGAUAAAUAAAUCAAGAAAAAUGCAUAUGAAGGCUCACAAGAAGGCUUUAGGGCUAAGUAAAUUAAAUACGCAUGAGCUUCCUAGUUCCACCAUCUAGCCUCCUAGCAUUUUAAUUAACUUGCCCAACCCACCUCAAAUUUUAGUUAAUUAGAUAACUCGAAUCCUAAGCAUCAACAAGAGGGAACGUAACAUGCAACCAACCAUUUGACCAAAACUUCUACAAAGAUUUCGUAGGAUAAAGAGCUUGCUCAUAACCGAGAGGGCGGCAAUUCGAAUUGAUUCAUUAACCUUGCAAGGGUGUACAUCUUUACCCACACGACACAAGGAACAUGCGACUCACCCAACCGAUCACGUGGGGUGAGGGGGUACUCGCAUCAACCUUUCCCGACAAGUUGUAACCGUCGAACAUCAAGCCUAACUUGCGCGGAGAGUUACCUAGCUCCGCCGGGGACACCCCUAAGCCUCUCUACAAAGCCCUACGGCCACGCAUCUAGGACCGUGCAUCAACGAUUAGAACUAGAGGUUAUUCGGUUUAUCUACCCUAUGAAUGGAUAUGUGGUAGUACGAUAAGUGCUCAAUUUUCAAGGUCAUCCACGGAUGGUCCUUAAUCGGUUCAAGCGGACUAAACCUCCGAGACUCCUUUCUCUAGGCCCUACCUUCUGCUCAAACCUCAAAACCACGCUUCCAACUAGACCGAUCCAAACCAACAACCCGACACCGGACAACAUGUUUAAGAUAAUAAAAUAUGGGUGAAACAAGUGAUCCUAUUCCAAUUUUCCCUACAAGAUAUCUACCAACUCUAGGCACGACUAAGCAUUUAGUUAAAUGGUUUGCAACUAGCUACGUGUGUCAAGGGCAUGGAUAUACAAAAUCAAGGGAGGACAUUGCAUGAAAAUAGGACCAACAAUGCAAUAGAUAAAUAUUUAACAUAAGCAUAGAUAUCCUAAGUGAAAUAACUAAAUUUAAGCAAGUUAAGUAGGUCAAGGGAUCAUGCUUAGCUGCUUGCCUUGGUUCUCUUCUUAUUCAACAACACACUCGGCUCCCGGCUCGGUCUCAACGAACUCGGUGGGCUCAACGGGUGCGUCCUCCGGCGUCUCGGUCACUAAAAUGAAUGAAUGAGAUGUGUGCAUUAGGAUGAUGCUAAUGAUAUAAAAAGAGUUGGUAUGAUAUGAAAUGGAAAUGAAGUACCACAAGGAGGCACGCAAGCAAAAUACACGAAGCUCGAUCAAUAAUUCAAAAUCUAAGCCCGAAGGCGAACUUGCUCACACAACAUAUAGCAAGAAUAAAUUAUGGUUUUAUUUCUGCACACAGGGGAUCUCAAGAGGGAAUCAUGAGAGUUGAAAUUGCAUCAAGAGCGUAUUUGUGGAAUUACUUAUGUUAUUUAUAACUUUCAGCAGCUAAACUCAAGUUAAAUCUUAAAAGAUACUCAAAGCAUAUCUAUAAAUUCUCAAAGAAUUACUGGAGACAGAGAACAUGAUAACAAAAGUAAUAGAAGUGGUUUUACCAUUUUAUCAAUUUUCUAUCAAAAGUUAUUCAUUUUACAAGUUUGCAGGCAGCAAAACCAAAAAUGCAUUAAAACCCUAUCAAACAGCCUAGGAACAUUUACACAAGCUGCACCAUGAGAUAAAGCAUUUUAUCAGAAAUUUAACAAGAUUUAGUUUAGCAUUUCUAAAGAAUCACACAAAAAGUUUAACAAUUAACUAUGUUUAGCAAGAAUAACCUAUAACUCAAGGUACAGGACUCUAACAUGUAUAAAAUUAAUUUCUCUAAGUAGAUCUAUUACAGAGGAGUCAAACAAAACAAAUUUCACAAUUUUUGGAGAUCCACAACAAUUUCUAUGCAAUUUACAAGAAUCAGCAUGAAAUGACACAACAAAACGGGGCGGCAACGCUAGAUCCACCCGGGCCGGCACCCAACAGGCGCCGACAGGUGGGCCCAGGCGGCCGGGCGCACGACCCAGGCGAAGUCAAGGACAGCCGUGGCCUUGACUCGCCACGGGCGCGGCCAGCGCACGCCCGCGGCGCGACACGCGCGCGAACGCGCGCGCGCGGCGCGACGCGGCGGCGGCCAGCGAACGGAGGAGCGGCAGGGGGACGAACGGGGGCGGGGCGCACGCGCACCAGCCGCGCGGCACGGCAAGGGUGCCCACCUGCGGCACGGGCGAGCGGGACGGGGCGGCGGUGCGGCGGAGAGCGGCGGCGGCGGGAGGAGGUGAGCGUCGGGGAGGAGCUGCGGACGGAGGGAGAGGCGGCGGGCGGCCGGAAUCAAACAAGGAGGAGGAGAAGGAGGUGUGGGCGCGGGCAAUCGGGGCGAGGCUCACCGACGGCGGCGGCGGACGGAAGAGGAAGAGGCGGAAGCGCGCGGGUUUUGGGCCGAGAAAGGAGAAGGGGCGCGGUUCGAAUGGGGAGGGAGGAAGGCGAGCUGGCGGCGCGCGGGAUAAGCCCCGGGCGGGGCCGCGCUGGCCAACCGGCGGGCGCCGAAGCGACGCCCGCCGUGCGGCCGGCCAACGGGCGGGCGCGGAGGCGCGGGAGGCGCGGACGGGGAGGCUGACGCGCGGGCCCAGGCGCGCAGGAGAGGGAGGAGAAGCUGACGGGUGGGGCCGGGAGAGAAGGGAAUAAUCGAAAAUGGAAGGCCAAAAUUCAAAACUCUAACAAAAAACUUCCCGGGCUCCAAAAAUCACCAAAUUUUUACUGAAGCAAUAUCACACUACCAAGAAUAUAAUGCAAUAACAAACACUCAAAAAUACGCCAAAACUUGCCCACAAUAAAUCAUCCAAAACUGCAGUUUUCAAACUUUCCAAGAAUUUUAUGGCUCGGCAGAGACAUCCAAAAAUUUAGGAAAAAUAUCUUAAAAUCAUCAUUUGAAAUCUAAUAUUUGAAUAAAAUCUUUGGGGGCACAUUCACUUAGCAGAAUUUGAACUUGCUUCACAACUUACACAUAAAUCACACAAGAAAAUGGAUGCUCAUGAGGUAAUUAAGUGCAUAUGAUGCUCCUUGAUGCUUGGAUGAUGCUCAUGAUGAUAUCUUAAAUUUUUAUCUUGUGCUUUUACAUUUCGGGUCGUGACAGUAACAGUCCAUGCGACGCCUACCGUACGCCAUUUCCGCUCUGCGAAUAGCGCAUGCUUGUCCCGUGGCAGACUUGCCGCCUGAACCGAUGAGGUGGAGAAGCAGGGGUUCCAUCGGUGGCGAUCGAGGCAAGAGAGCUUCGGAUCACGCAUCUCGUCGGGCAUCGUUCGCUGUGUUACUGGACUUCAUCGUCCUCCAGCAGAAUCGAAAUCAGCAUGCGGGAAACCCAACCAUUCACAGACAUGGUCGCUACAAUUUCAGGCAUCAUUGUUCCAAUUUUGGUUCUCCUUUUUCUGAGACAAAAUUGCUCUUAUUUUCCACACACACGCGUACAAGUCUUUCUUCAUGGUGGCAUGGCUGAUCGUUCCGACAUGGUGAUCGUUCCGACACACAGAGCACACAAGAACACAUGGUGGCACGGCUGCAACUCACGACACGCUACCAAGAAGACACGACAGGGACGACACAGAUGCGCGAACACGCCAACGUACUUGGCCACGUAGGAGUACCAUCUAUCACGGCAGCUGACGAGGAGUCUGCGUGCGGCAGCGUGCUUCCUCGCCUCGCCGUCCCGUGAGAGCUCUCAGAAGGACACCUCCUCCCUGGCCGCCGGCUCCUCCCUCGCCUGCAGCGGGGCGGCGGCUCUGGCCUCCGUCUUGCAGCACUUGCUCCCGUGCCCGUCGUCCGCCACCUUGCGCGCGACGAUGACGGAGUUGAUCACCUCGUCGUCGGGGUGGUACACGGCGAGCACGUCGAACCCGCCGCGCCCGAUGUCCUCGGGGUCCACGACGGGGUACAGGAACCCGCGCGCCCCGUGCGCGCUCCGCACCACGAGCGCCGCACCGGGGGCCAUGUGCCGGCCAAGGUGCGCCACCACCCUCGCCUUAUCCUCGGCCGCCACCCCCACGAGCGCGGCCAGGAACACCACGUCGUACUCCGCGAGCUCCUCCGUCAGGUCCGCGACGUCGGCCGUGCGGAACGACAUGCGCGCGGACAGGCCCGCGUCGGCGCGCACCAGCUUCCUGGCGCGCUCGUUGGCGGCGGCGCACCGGUCGUAGUUGUCGAACAGCGCGCCGGGGAGGUGGCGCGCGGCGAGCACGAGCGAGCUGAAGGGCAGCGGGCCGGAGCCGACGAAGGCGACGCGGGCGGGGGCGAUGCCGGGCACGUGGCGCGCCAGGAGGUCGUUCUCCAGGCGGCUCAGGUCGAUGUAGUUGCGGUAGUAGGGGAAGCGGUGGAGGUGGUCGAGCGGGUUGUCGAAGGCGGCGAGCGCGUCUGCGUGGUGCGCCUCCAGCUGGCCCUCGGCGUCGGAGCAGAGGCGGAUGAGCUCCUCCCGCAUCUUCCGCGCGUCGGGGCCGAGCCGGGACACGUCCACGGGGCUCGUCGGGACGCAGGCCGCGACGAGGGCGGUGAAGAGCGCGUCGACGGCGGGCGACGGGCUCAGCGACGGCAGCUUGGCGAUGGCGGCGUGCAGGCCCGAGAUCUUCUCCACCAGGGCGGCCACCUCGUGGUUCUGGGCCUCCAUGGCGGUCGGUCGGUCGCUUGCGAUUUGCGGAGUUGGUGAGCUCGGGAGGCUAGCAGGUCGCGAUGCGAUGGAGGCGAAGAGCCGAAGGCGAUCGAAAUGGACUGAGCUGCUCGAUGGGCUCUGGAUGGCGCAGUCGAUCGGCGUGCAUAAAGACCUGGCGCCGGGACGCACGGCCGGCCGUUUGCAUGCAGCGUGGCCGGUGGCAGGUGGGGAAGACGACGACGCUUCGUGUCGGUGGAGCUGCGAAGGCGAGCAUGCUGCACGGCGUCCGCUGCCGGUGGCCUGUUUCGUGCUUCUAUUUUGUAUGCAUGGUCCUACUGCUUGUUUUAUUCUAUUUUCGGGAUACCAGCUUGAUCGUUUCCAGAACGGGACAAUUCGUAUUAGUCAAUGUCGCUCGUCAAAUCUAUCGAUUGGUCAGGUAGCCGGAUCAACUCUGUAAUACUAAAAGAAAACAGGACUCAGGAUGACCUCGGUUCGAAAAUAUUCAUUCGCCCUCAAAUAAAGAAAGGUGGGCCGAAGGAAGCUUGGAUGCUAACUGGGCCGCGAAAUCUGACCCGAUCGCGGAUUCGGAUGGAUGGGAUGGGGGCCCUGUUGCCUGCCGGGCAUGGCAUGUGCUCUGCGCCUGCACCAUCUCAAAAAGAUUUCUGGCAAGCUGCAGUCGACAGCGACGCGUCACCUCUCUUCCUUGCUUGGCCGCUUCCGUCCCUUCCCUGGCUGCUUGCCCUUGACCGCUCAACACUCAGCGCCUGCGGACGACGACGAUUGACGCGGUCAGCGAGUACUACAGUGCACGAGCGCUACUGCUAGCUACACCCCAGCUCAAAUCGCAAGCCUGUACUUGGAUCUUGGUAGGAUCAAAAUGCGCAUCCUCCCCAAGCGUGCACGCAUUCUGGAGCCAUUGCCAAUCUAAGAUCUCUCACAGUUCGUCGACGCUGCUGGACCAAGAAAACCUAACCUACCGACUCGAAUUUGCUGAUGAUCCUGCCUGUCCCUGUCCAGUUUUAACACAAUGGCACAGAAACUUUCCCAGCGUCCCCACAUUAAUUUCGACAAACACGCUAUCAACCAGUACAAGUUUACUCCUUACUUUCCCAUACACCACCAGACAAAGCACGCGAGAUUAGGAUUAUUGUUAGACAAAUCGGGCAUCUAAUUGCUGCGGCCAAACAUCCAACAGCAAUUUGCACAACAGCUCAUGCUUUUCCUUGUACCAGCUUCAAGCACCCACAUCCAUCAACGGCGCACAGAGCUGCUGCCCUAAAUCUGAAUUCUGCCCAUUCCACCUUUCGGUGCGCCACUGACACUCAUCAAAGGUGAAAAAAAAGGUGAUAAGAAAAAAAAACACAGCCCAUAACCACAAGGAGAAGUGAAUCUACCAUAUAGGAAAAGGAGGUAGGCCACCAUAAGGGCAACGCAUCACCACCACAUGCCAUGCUUCUCUUCAGAAGCCUUCCUGGCAGUAACAAGGAAGAAAAAAAGAGAGAGAAGAAGCUCAACAGAGAGAAACUACUACAAACCAGCACAAAACAACCUCAUUGAUCUAGGGCUACGAGAAAACUGAUGCUUGCAGACGGUGCACUACACUCGAAUGGUGGUUACGCUUUCGCAGUUACUGGCAGUUGGAGCUCCUCCCGGGGCCUCCAUAGUAGAAGUAGGUGCCCCAGUCGCCAUUGUUGCUGUUCUGCACGUCGUAGCAGUUGGACUGCUCAGUGAAGGUGCCCAGCCCCUUGGGGGCCUUGAGGUUGUUGGUGCUGUCCACCACCUGGAUGUUCUUGAAGUAGCUCGCCUUGCUGAACCCUUCCUCCGGGAAGUGCCCGCUGCCCAUCUGCGUUGAUGUGUGCACGCCGUCAGGCUGCGAGUUCACCACCUCCCCGCCCCACUCGAUCAUCGACGCGCUGUCCGCCAGGUACGAGAAGAGGAACGAUGGCCAGUAGCCCAGCACGUAGUCCUUGCCGAACUGCAUCCACCAGUUGCCCUCCUUCGGGUCCUGCACAGAUAUAAUGUGCACAUAUACGGAAGAGAUUAAUAUAGCAGGCACACAUUGGAAAAGUAAUUUACCAGUGUAAAAAGACAUCAUUCACAUUGACAUAGCUAGGUUUCACCGUUUCAGUAUCAGUGAAUAGUAAAACUGUUGGGCAUACACUAGGUGGAUGCAUUCAUGUUCUUCUAGCACGCAAAUCAUGCACUCAUUACCCAUGCUCAAUGGAAAUGAACAACGCUGCACUUUCUAUCUCACACUCAGAAUACCACUAGCUUGUUGAGGUGAAAAGUUAGUAAUGGUCGUUUCUUUUGAAAAAUCAAAAGUUGAGUAAUCAUUAGCGAUAAGAAAGAAAGGUUUGUUGAGAAAAGGAGUAUGAUAACCACAGGGUGAGGAGGAAACCAAUUUUCAAAGCCCCAGGGGUACGGGUUCACCAGUCAAGGAGGAGCACGAGUAAGAGCAUAACAGCAAGUGGGCUAAAGAUUCUCUGCAUGUCUCUGAUAAUUCUCAACGUACUAGGCAUGACAUGUGGUGAGUUACUAGUUUAAUUACUUGCUCACCUUCCAGAUCAGUAUACUGAUAUCAUAUUGGGAGCCAGAGUAGCUUGAGGUCGGGAAGAUGCUGGCACCCAUGGCAAUCUCGCUGUUAAUCUGAACGAACCCGGAGCACAACAUGUUGUAGCACCCUGUUGCUUGGUACGCAUCACUCUGCAGAACAUCAGAUAGCAAAAAUAAUCAGGUAUCAACAAUUAAGGAAACAAAAUGGCAAGCGCUAGUGCAAAUAUUUUUCAAGAAUGUUCUUAUAGUAAUGUUCAAAACUUACGGUCCAGUAGGUGAACAGCCUUGUGUUGUUGUCCCCAUACAGGUCCGGACUAACCUGAUGCAACAAAGCAACACACAAGUGUUUCAGAGCUCGUGAUAAGAGGCACUGCACUGCAGCAGGGCUCCCAACCGCGAAAACGGUGCUGCAUUUACUCGAUACUGAUUAUGAAUGUGAAGCUCAUGGGCUGUGGGUCUUUCUUUCUCUACCUGCCAUCCAGCCUCGAUGCUGUUAAGAUCCUCCCCAAAUGACCCCCCCAAGAUCCAGAGCUGGGACAAGCUGAACUCGUUAGGCUGCUCGAUCUUGGGCUCCCAGACAUUGAUGGUUGCCUUGGCGCCGUAGUACUUGUCGCCUUGAACGUACGCUAUGGCAUGCUGCGAUUGUCAACAAGAGUUAUGAGCAUCACGGUACAUCAGCACACCUAUAUACCUCCUUCCACAUUAUGUCCUCAACAACAUGGGUGAUACGAGCAGGUACCUGAUGGCCACCCUCAUUGAGCAUGGUGGGAUUGACCGACAUUGGGUUCGCGGUGGUGUGUCGCUUCCUACCGUACCUCCGCAUUGAGCUUGCCCUGAGCAGGUCGUCCUUCUUCGUUCUCCUGAUGGGGACGGUGCCUUCCGGACACCUGCCAUUCUGAUGCCAGAGCUGAACCUUAGGCUUCUCGCCACUGCUGGUGGAGGCCACAUUGGUCUUGGAUUCGUCAUACAGGCCUUCGGGGUGAUAGUUCGGUCUCAUCUGCGAAGCACAAAUGCGUUAACUGAAACAACCCAACAAGAUACUGGUUUCGGUUACUGCAAGCGAAGCACUGGAAUUUACCUGGAUAGUGUGGUUCUUGAGGUAAGGAUGAUCAAACGCUGGCUGGUGGGAGAUGUGCACGCAAUCUAUGAUGUCCCCAUCUGGGCUCUGCUCGAUUUGAAAUUUGCAAACAGCUGAAUUAGAUGGGUAUGAACUGGAGCAAAACACUUUAGCAAGAGGAUUAUUUUGACAAUCCCAGAAAAGAAAAUGCCAAAGUCAAGCUAGAAACAACUCCAAACAAGAACAAGCACAAAGUGUGGAGAAAAGAGUGAAUAGCCCGAAAGCGAAUUCCCCUCAAGCGCCACCGCACCGCAAAAGAAGCCCGAAAAGCCAGCUUUUAUUGAAUCCGAGUACAGCUUCAACGACUAGCAAAGAAAUACACCUAUCGUGUCGCUUGUGCUUGCUCAAAUGCUCCCAAAUGCAGCUAAAAAGACGCUAGUUUCCUUGGAAAUUCACCUGAUGGGGGAAAGAUUUUUUCCCCCAAGCAAGCAAUUCAAAUCUACAGAGAGCAACAGCGAAACAGCAGGCUUGACACAGCUCCGGGGUGAAAAAAGAAACAAACCAAACUUGACCCACCUCGAUGCUCUUCACGGCCGGCUUGUUGAACCGCUUGAGGUGGCGGUGCAGCCUCGCCGCCGGCGACCUCGCGGCCGCGGCGGCAGCACACGACAAGCAGAUCACCGCCACGAGCAGGCACGCGACCCCCCGCGUGGUGUCCAUGGGCGGCGCGCCCCUUCACACCUCCACCGCUGCUGCUCCUCCUCCCUUCCUUCCUCUCCUCCUCUCCUCCGACGCCCUCCGCCGCCGCCGGCGACCUUGCAGCACGGCAAGGCCCUCCCCUCUUACCCAGAGAGCCCCCUCGCCGGCCGCCGCGCGGCUGCCACCACGGACCGAAUCGAGAAUUUUGAAACAAUGCGGGGGCGUGGUGGGAUUGGGAGUGGGAGUAAAUGGCUCGUCGUCUUGGGCGGCUCGUCGUCUCGGUUGGGAGCGGAGCGUCGUCCACUACCGCUUGCAAACAAGUGGGCAGUGAGGAGCACUCUCGCUGCUACUUUUGCCAUUUCCGAGCCCGUGCUUCUGGACCAAAAUGCCCCUCUAUGAUUCAGAAAUUAUUAGAGACACCCGGCGUGCAACCUCGAACCGGGACCGUACCCACUGAUUCGCGGGCCACAUGAUGGCAUCGAAGGUUUUUUCUUUUAAUCCAUUGAUGGUGGAAUCUGCUCCAUGCUGCUAAUGAAAGUUUCUCAAUAGCCAGCGUUAGGAUUUAAGGCGGAAGGGACCUAGUAUAACAUCAAAACUUUUGUACUACAAGAAAGAUUUUUACUAGCAAUAUCAAGUUAUGAGACCAAAAUUCACGGAUGCUUAAAAAGUCAACUUGUGUGCUCGCUUCUCACUUCAUCGGCAUGGCCAUUCGAACUUUGGCUACUUUACAAACCGACCAAUCCAAACGACGGCUCUACUAGGUUUCAUGUGCGGACAGGCAUUCUAAAAUAACGGUCGCAGGCGGUUGACUGCCGUUCAUGCCCUUGCGUACGCUUAAAACGGCCUCCUCCUCCGUUUCCCCUUCCCGGGGGCGUGUGGUUGGUAGCAAGUUUCUUCUUUAUCCGGGCUCGCCGUCGGUCCCACCUGCCAGCUUCGCCCACGCGGCACCACCUCGGGCCCGCCGCGGCAACGCCCGUCGGCUUCCCCCCAGGCUCGCCUCGCCCACCCGGCCCGACCCGACGCAGCGAUCGAGCGCGGGCGGCGUCCUGAUGGUUGCUGGCGGCUGGCGCGCCGCGCGCGAGGCGAGCGUGCGCAUCGGAUCCGGGCGCGACCGCGCGAUCUUUCCCCGCCCCGGGCGCACGCACGCAAGGAAAGGCCUUUGCUUAGCAAAGCGAUUAGCCCGUGGCGCUUUACAAAAGCAGCCGCGUCGCGGCCCGUGCUUAGCCUACUGUUUUUUUACUCUCGUGAUGAUGGUUUUACCGCACGCAAAAAGCCAAAGGGCAUUGCCGCAGGGCUGUGAAUUUACCCUCUAGAUUAGUGGCAUUUCGUACUGCCAGUACACUCGAACUAUUUAACUGCGCUAUCGCUCGGAUGUUUUCACUUUGGCACGGGUACGGCGCGGCAAGCUCUGGUAAAAACCCUGCCACGGGGCUGGUUGGCUGUAGGAGUAGGAACAACACAUGGUCAAUCGCCAUGACCGGGUCCGCGUACGGCCGGGAUUGACCGGAUCUACAGCCUUGGCAUUUGGUAACGGGAAAGAAAACAGUCUUGGGCCUCUUGGUAACGGGUAAAAAUAGUCCCGAUCCUGUUGGGCACAGUGGCUGUGCCAGAUUUAUACGUGCGGUCCUCCUCUCCUCUCCUCUCCCUGCAUUAGGAGGAGGAGGAGCUGGCUGGGACAAACCUGGAUGUUUCAGGUCAGCAGAGCCGGCGCAGUAACAUGGGGGGCCAGGCAAGGACCAGGGCCCAGAAGGGGAGCACCACUGGGAUGGGAGCAGUGAAAUGAUCUUUUUUUUACUGGGAUAAAACUUGACAGUGACUUCUUGUUACGCGUUCCAAUUUAUUAUUAUUUACCGUCGAACUAAUGACCAGCCACUUACUAGCUAGGAUUAUUAGUGGUAUUUGGGAUGCUGUAUUUGCUUCACAAACAAGACUGAAGCGCACGGCCGCCGCGGCAAACAGAGGGAAUCCAUCCUGACGAGAAAGCCGUCGCUUUUGCUCAUGCGCAAACACUCGAAAGACACCUUUCUCUCCUUCCUUUCAUACUUGCAUUAUCAUUCCCGAGCUAGAAAAAGGCGGUUCGUGAAGGCCAGCGAGCGAGAUGGGAUGCUCUUCUCUUCUGUAUAGAAAUGGUCACUUCCCAUCUACAAGAACCGAAUCAUGCCUUGUCCUAUCUCACUCACUACUAGCCACCACCACCGCACAAGACUCGCAGCUUGUGUGGAGCUCACUUCGCUAGUUGUACACGUACUGUACUUGUACAAGCAAAAGGCAAAUGGAUAGGACAUGGGAGAUGGGCUUUGGAACUAUCGUUUCACAUGAGAGGAAAAAAAAAUCAAAAUGCAGAAUUCUGAGCGUGACGUUGGUAACGCCAGGGGCACGGACAAGACAGCGUACAGAUGCUGCAGGUAAGGAACUCGCACCACGUCAGCUACUGAUCUGAGCCACGGGCACGCACAAUUCAAGGCCGUUAUCACAUGCUCUGCUGUCAGUGGAAGAGGAGCAAAGCUGGCAGGUUUGUCCACUUAUGCUAAAGCAGGUAGUAGCGCACACAAGAAGGGCUAACCCUUUUUCAAGUUUUCCCACCAUAACGCUCCAGAUCAAACUUGUUCCCCCAACACAUAAUUGAGGCAGCAUGCUCUUACUCUAUUGGAAUUUUUUCACUCCCUCCUUCCAAAAGGAAAAGGAAUGCGACUCUCGUUUCUUCUGAGUCAAACAGUUUUAAAUUUAACUAAAUUUAUAUAAAAUACUAUUAAUAUUUAUAUUAUAAAAUAAAUAUCAUUAUAUUGAUCACGUAAUAUAUUUUCAUGCUAAGUCUAUUUGGAGAUACAAAUGUUACUAAUUUUUUUAUAUAAAUUUGGUCAAAUUUAAAAUUAUUUGAUUUUUCGGGAAGUGAGAGUUGCAUUUUUUUUGGGACGGAGCGAGGUUAUAAAAGAUUCUAUUGGAUUGGAGGUAUGACUCAGACAGUAACCAGCCAUGCUUCAAGGGUCGACACUUCUUGAUAGUUUGCUGCCCAGCUGCACUACACUAUGCAAAUCCUGACUGAGAUGCACGCGUAUGGCACACAAAUCACUCUCAGGUUUGAUUUACACAAAUCAACUUCAUCUUCGUGGGUAUUUAUUACGACCUUAUCUUCGUGCGUAUGCAAGCAUUCUUGAAAGAAACUAAUCACCCACCAACCGUAUAAACCAAGGCCAUCUGGUCUACUGCCACAGCUUAAAAGCAUGCACCUUCUACCAUAACGGUGGUCUAGGUAGGCUCUGCUAGUUUCAGAGCUGCUUUCCAGCGUGUGCGUGUCUGCAGAACAGAAUGAUGGCCCGUGCCUUGUACGAGGCACCGGCAUAAGCAUGAUUGGCGGUGGGUGGGGUCAUGCAUGCACACUCCUCUACCAAAGUGUGUUUUGUGCAUGUACUGUGUCUAGAAAAAAGUUAACCUGCAGGUAGAGUAAGGGAGCAGACACUCCCGUACCAAAGGACGACCUGAACUCGACACACGGGCUGGUGAGCGAUCCGCCUAUACGUACGGCUUAUACCUGCCUGCCUACCUGGGGCCGUAUAGGUGCGCGUCACCACCUGAACUUGAAAGCUCUACUGAACACAAUGCUAAGCCCACUUUGGGAAUUCUUGCGUUCCAGAACGGCUUGAAAGGUUUACUCUAGUAAUCGAAACCCAAGGUUCAACAAAGAUACGUAUAACCCGGCCCGUUAAUUGGAGAAUAUAAUGCCACAACAAAAGAAAAUGUGAGAUAAGAGUGGUCAAUGAGGCAUUAUAACAGACUACCAGGUAGGUCCCACUCUUCACUGCAUCACGAACUGUGAAAGAAGCUAGCAAAGGCCACAAGGCACGGAACGGCAGCACGUACGUGCCACUAUUACCUCGCUUGCCCGUGAAGCAAGAAGUUGACGAGGCUAGGAGGCUACCUAGCAGCCAAGCUACUUCAUCAGUGUUCUUCUCUAGGUUAUCCAAGCAGGGAUUAAUGGUGCAUCCAGUAAGUUGGUACUACUCCAUCCAUGCCCCCCUUUUUCCAUGGUGGUGAGCAGAGCACGGGCCCAUGGGGCACCACGUGUUCACGGUUCGUGAGGCCACUCAUUUGCCAAGGUUGCCCACACAGCCACACACUCGCAGAUCACAACUGGGGCCUAAUCCAUGGGAGCAGCAAGUUAGAAAUGUGAGAGCUACAUUUCAGCUGUAGCAAACGGUUGGUUUGGCAAGAGGAAAUCAGAGAAGAAUCGUCAUCUGACGAACCUUCUUGGAGUCUGGAGUAUAGUCAUCAAACUUCCUCUUUUGGGUGUGACCAAGGAGAAAAUAACAGGGGUAUCCGAUGGGAGUAAAUUAAUCUGGCAGAGGAAAUAAAUUACUUGUAAGAUUCAUUGACCAUGAUAUAUAAUUGGAACUGUAUAAAGGGAUGAAACAUUUUCACUGUACCGGAACAGAAGCUCAGAAAGAAAGCACAUGCGAUUGAAUAGGAUAAGGUCCCCCAUUUGUCUCCAUCCAUCCCGGCUGGCGGCUGCACCGCCUUGGUCCUUGUGACCUUUCCCAUGCAUACAAGUUCCUGACAAGGGGAGGCAGAAUUUCCGUAAAGCCUCCUCCAAAGGUACGAGCUACUACCUACUCUAAACACUUCUAAACACUCUAAGAGACAACCCUUUCAAUAAUCUAACUCUAAGCACAUAACUCGUAACAUAAAUGACUCUACAUGUCAUUCCUUUAUUCAUGUAUCAUACUAUCUCUUAUAGCUCUUCACUUUUGGCACUGUUUAUCGACUAAAAAAAUUCUAUGACCUGGCUAAGAGCCAGCCUUUGGAGGAGGCCUAACAACAGCAACAACCAAGCAGGUCACUAAACUACAUGAAAAUUUGAUUUGAGAAACACAGAUGAUGACAAACAAAAAUUCUAAGAUUUUCCGCUUGUCACCAAAAACAUAGAAUUACUGAGGUAAAGGCUUCGAGUUCUACAAUCAUAUCAUCCACUUUCUUACCAACAUCGAUGGAGACAGGAUAAGGAGUAACGGAUCGUAGUUGAGCAAGCCUUUACUUAGAAAUAGACAUGGCAGCGAGUACAGCUGUAAGCUAUCACACUCGAAAGGUCAAACUAGCAUAGCUGAAAAUGAGAAGAUGAGAGAUCUAUUCCUUUUACUGUCCUGCACGAGAGUCGGGGUUCCUAACCAACUCCUAAACACUAUUGUACUUGCAAAGGAACAACUGUUCUUCAUACUUGAGAUGAUGUCACUCAUCCAGCAGCAACAGUGAGAAUGUGGGAUAUUAUCAUUUCCAGACAGGAAGGAAAUCUUCUUCAAGUCAAUUAUGGAAUAGAUGAAUGGUAUUUCUACUUUCAUGUACCUGUGACAUUUAUGACUACUGCUUUGAAAACGAACAAUAUUCAAUUCAGUAAUGAAAGAUUGACAGUCUAACCAGUUUCCUCUCAGUUUUUUUUUCUGUAGUCUCCGACCUAUGGACUUAUUAACAAUUAGGUCCCUCAGAAUGCAAGGUUCCUGAAAACUAGGAGAUAGAAGAGCGACUGGUUUAACACCUAGGAGGCUAGGACUGCAUCUUCGUGUUCAAUCUUUGCAACUGAAGCCCUAAUUUUUCUCUAUUUCAGAUCCUUAUUCCUGUACAACCUAACACAAAUGAAAUUUAGAGAUGGAUGGAGAAUCUAUAAUCUUAAAAUUUCCAACCCCAAAGUUUUAAAACAAAUGAAAGGCCCCUGUUGGCAUGGUGAAGGGAUUCAGCUGAAAGGAUGGCCGCUAUGAUAAUUAUAACUUCUUUUGAGUAAAUGCUUUUAACUUCUCACUGAGUGCUAUCCUCACCAAGAUGAGUUACAAAGAUUUUUUUCUAUUAUAAGGAAUAAAGAUUAACUUUAAGCACGAACAAGAUACUCUGAAAAUAACCUUGCUGAGUGAGCCCAAGUGAUUUGAUUGCUCUCAUCGAAAGAAAUCAUGAUCAUUUGGUGGUACUCGACAUGCUUGAUCCUUGACUAUGCGGCCAAGAACAAGUAGGAAGUCAAGCAUUAGAACUCAGUGAGGAUAUUAUGCCCCAAAAGUUCAAGCAGGCCGACCGAGCUAGACAUCACUUAUCAUUAUUAUUAAGGCAGGAGGCAGCAGCGCAAUCAUGCAGUGUGCACAACAGUUUUGAGUCUUGUUAGUGUUUCUUAUCAUCAUAUCCCUCAUUUUUUAUUCAAUAAUUUCCAGAAUAGCGUACAUCUCUUGUACAAGCUCACACUGUGUCUCGCUGUUAGCAAAUAGCAGUCAAAAGCCAAAAAAAAACCCUCAAGCAGCUACCAUCAUCAGGUCAAUAGAUCAAUUCCGUGGGUGCUAAUUUUCUAUUUGCAUCAGAAAUUUAGAGUAGGCAGAAGGAACCGAUUCUGAGAGGUCAAAUUAGAACAUUACUGUCUACUGUUCUACACAGCAAUCCAAAUUACAGAAGUAGCUAGCUCCAAUAACAGCAAAUGGAACGAUUAAGAAUAAAACAUUGCAUAGUGCAAUUCAACAUAUGACAUCCUAAAUUUGACGAAGAUGCAAGUCAUACUUAUAACUUAAAGUUAUUAUAGUCCUCUUCAACUCGAAAUCUGGCGCCUACAGCGAUUAUUAGAUACCCAAAAAAACCUAAGGUCCAUCUCUCUACAAAAGUCAUUUUGCUAAGUUCUAGUGACCUCAUGACACGAAAAUUUUAUCAGAAUCGAGCAUUCAGAUCGCUGAUCGAUGCUGAAUAUGACUCUAUUUGGACGAGUUCUCCAGAUCACCCAGACGGCCAGACUCAACAUAGUGCACAAAGCCACAAAACCCUGAGCCCACGAACUGGGAUCCCAAUGGUAGGUCAAGGUAAUUAAUUUACCACGCGAUCAGCUAGUACUUAACACGAAACCGAAAGCUAGCGCAGGGCAGCCGCGUACCUGAAUCGACGAGAAGCAGAUGGAGCAGAGCGAGGACGCCGUCGGCGGAGGGCCAGCGUCGCCGCAUCGCCCGCCCGCCGCUACACCGGUGGGCCGCGGCGCCGGGGUCGAAGGCGGAGGCGGGAAACUCGAGCCCGAUCGUGCGCUUCCCGCCUCCGCCUGCCCUGCUGCUCCGCUGCAGCCAGCCAGCGGUUGCUGCUGCUGCGAAUCUGUAUUUCUGCCGUGAUUUUGGAAUUUGUCUCUGGAAUCCACUGCCGUGAUUCCAGCGGUUGCUGGACCGAAUUCUUUUGGUGCCAUGGUGCCGCCGCGGGCGUAUCGUAUGCUUUGCGGCACACUGUUUGCGGCUGACGGGUGGAUUUGACGGAGAUGGAAAUUGGAUUUGGGAAGAAAUUAUGCUUUGAGAUCAUCACAGUUUCCAAAAGAAGCGUCUUACAUAUAUGGCACUAUAAACACCCUGCGUCCCUGCCCCUUAAUUAACGAAUGAUACAGCAGUGUAACUUCUUAACUACCAGGGCAGGGCAUGCUAUUAGUUACACAACAAGCACCAAAUAAUUCCCAGAUACAAACGCAGCACACCACACAACACUUCAGCAAUCCACGCUCUCCCGCCAGCUGGUUCGUUUCCACGGCGCACCAGAGCGAUCACUAUCAUUGCCAACUUCACCAAGUCUACUUUCAAACAUACCAAUAAAAAAUAGAAGAUUAUGCUUCAGCAAGCGUCUUAAAAUGUUGCAGAAAAGAGCAUACGGGAUAUACACUCGAAUAUCUUUCUGUCUUGAAGGAUGCUAGAAUUUCGCAAAUGUCAGCCCAUAGCAGGAAAGGGGUUCCUAUUCUCUUAUCAUAACAUCCCCAUCAAGAUUAACAAGGGGGCCUCCAAUCUCAGCCUAGCAAGUUGACAUGAACAAGAUGUGAAUUCUACUAUUCCAACACUAACUAGGUACUGCUAGCCAGCUCAUUCCGAUGCAACCAUAUACUUCUUUGUUCAGAAAUACAAUGUCUGUCCAAUUUCAAGCAUUGGACAUAGAUUAAUCCAAUAAUAUCCAGGUUUUGUCAAAAAGGAUAAUGAUACCCUUAUAUUCAUAUUCCAAAGUACUUUCUCAUGACCAUGUUUUAACCGCAAGCUAAAUAAUGUCAGGGGAACAGUCAAAGCUUGCUUUUGGACAGUGAAAUUACACUUACAGAAACGUGGAGCUGAUGAACUUGUUCCGCUGAUGGCGUAGCUCCGGCUCUUAAAAUUGUGAAAUUUGAUACGAAUGGUCUGUUCUACCCAUGGGACAUGGAUGAUUGUUGUUUGAAAGCAGUUUGCUUGUGAAUGUGCUUUCCCAAACCUGUCAAGAGCUGCAAAUGUUAUACACGAGUAUAAUAACUACUGAAAAAAAUGGCACAAAUAGAGAAACACAAUUUUUCCCGACAUUUGAAGCUAACCUUGAUACCCGAACUGUAAUGGCAUUGGUAGAGAGAACACAGACAAUGCCAUUAACCUAACAGGGAUCCAAGGGAAACUCGCGAACGCCAUUGAUCUAGUCCAAAUUAGAUCGGCCGCAAACGAUGUCGACUCCAAAUCAGAUGCCUGCAUACCUGCUUAUUGAUCCAAACCGGACGGCGGCGCCCGUACACGUCUGUGUAGGAGGCGGAAUCCGGAUAGCGGCGGUGCGCGCAGGCGGCUAUGGCACGGCGCAGUGCAGCGCAGCGUGCGGCACGCGCGGAGGCUUGUCGUGCGGAAGGACGGCAUGCGCAGGCUGCCUGCAGUAGGGUAGGGGAGCAGCCGGCGUCCGGCGUCCCAGUCCCAAUCAAGCCGUGCGCGCGCAGCCCUCGCGACAGCUAGCGAUGAAUCCCUUGGCGGGAUGAAGAUCAGCGUGAUCGGCUUAGCGAUCUCCCCGGUGACAUCCUGCUCCGCAUCGUCGGAGACUUGGGUCUGCCCGCCGUCGUCAGAGCGAGCGGCCGAGCGUCCCUUCCCUUCUUCCCGACCUCACGAUCGACGUCGCGGACUUGGUGUCUCGUCGUCACAGCAACCUCGUCGAGGACGACGACGGUGGCAAUCGGAAGCUGAUGCAGGCGUACGCCGGCGCGGCGAGGCGGUUGCUGGCUCCCAGCGCGGAGAGGGCCCUCACCCUCAGGAGCGUGCGCCUCCGCUUCCUCCGAUCCUGUUGGAGCCGUCGUACCCUCCUGCACACCAUCGGCUGCACGGUCGAGGACAUGCUGGUCGCCGAGGAGAGCAGCAACAUGGAGCGCCUCGAGUUCGAUAUAUGGACGGAGACCGAGAUCGGUGGCGGCGCCAGCAGCAGCACUCAGCAGAAGGCCAUGUUCCGACGGCGACUCGUGUCGUUCUUGGAUGCUUGCCCCGUGGCGUUCGGAUGGCUCACCUUGCAGAACCUAUGCUUCGGGCCGUCCGACGUUCCUCGUCUCCUCCGCAGCUGCACCAGGAUGCAUGCAGCUCCUCUCUUUGAGCCACUGCAAGUUCGGCUGCAGCUCCGUCGUGGAGGUCGACGCGCCGCCGCACUCGUGGCUCGAGGCGUUGGAGAUCCGCUUCUGCUGCUUCCGGAGGGUGGAGCUGAUCCACGCCCCCAAGCUCAGACGAUUUCAUUGUGAUACUUGGUCCGGUGGCGACCCACCUGUGCAUUUUGGACACGUCCCUCGCCGUCGCAACGUAACCCUUGCUUGUAACGUGCAUUGAGCAAGGUCUUCCUGUCCAGCGCAGCAGCUGCAAACCUCUCGACGUUGGAUCUGGAUUUCCGUGAUGGGAAGGUACGUUAGUUUAGUGUGCCAUGUCGAUCACUGUUAAUUACCGUGACCUCUAUUUUGCAAUCUUUUAUUUGUUAACACCAAAACUUAAAUAUCUAUCUAUUUCGUCUUUAUUUUCCCUCUACAUGCAGAUAUGGAUUCAACCUGAAGAACCAAUAAACCUCCCGUUUGCUAAUCCAAGAGACGUGUAUCUAUACAACAUUUUUGCCAUAUGUCACUUGAAUUGGACUCUUUUUGUUCUUGAAGCCGCACCAUCAUUGAAGAACCUUUAUAUCAUGGUAAGUUAUUACACCAUGCAUCCUUUGUUCUUCCAAUCCAUCUCUAUUUUGUAGUAGUAGUUUGUCUAUAAAUUUGGUUUAUUUCUUUAUCAAUAAUCAACAUAUUUAACCAUUGUGAAUUAUAUGUACUAGUUUAGCAACCCAUGCUCAUAUACCGCGAGAAAUUUUAAGAGACCUAAGUACUCGCAUGCUUAUGGUUUUUUUUUUCUUAUCUCAUUUCAUCAUUUUCUAACAAAAUACAUAUAUGUACUUUGUAACUUUUAUCCAGCUAGCUGUGUAAUAGACUUAUUACCAAGUACUCUAUAUUAUUUUUCGGUCGUAUUCAUAGUUUCCUCUCUUUUUAUUGUGCUUUGGGUGUCUCUGACAUGUGUUUCGAUACUUUAGAUCGUUUGUGUCUGCUCUCGUUGUAGCCCAUCUUCCGUGACUUCAUAAAUCCAGAUUCUUAUCUCCCAAUGUUGAUCUUGUUACCUAUUGCAAACUGUAGGACAUAUAUUUUUCCCUCGAAUAUUAAAAAAAUAUCAGCAAGUUGAUGAUGUGGCAUAGAAUUUAAUGCCAUGAAACUCUCCCUAAGUCGCCAACCGGUACUGCUAAGUCCCAGCGGCUAUCAUUUGUGACAAUUAGUGAUUAUAAUUAAAUCUACAAAAUGGAUAGUCUUGAGUUGAUGCCGUCGCCGGCAGCGUCACCGCAGUGUACUAGAUGUUCCUGCACGUAUGCCUUCACCCGCUCAUGGAGGUGCUGGGAGACGGCGCGGUGGAUUCACCGAUCGAUCGACGAGGUGCACACCGGCCGACCCCGAUCGGACCUGUUUGUCUGGACGGCGUUCGACGACGGCAAAUAAGGCGCGCGGAAAAAGCUGCAGCAGACGCUCGGCUCGGAAGAAUCGGCUUUUCCAGACGUUAUGAAAUCAGGCUUGAUUUUAUUUUGAGAAGCAACAUAUAUAUACAAUUUGAGAAUUGAGACCAAAUACACGAUUGAAGUCAAAAUAUACAUGUUGGAAAAUUGGUGUCAAAGGUUUAUGGAGCAUCUAGUGUUCUGUUGUCUGUGGCAUCGCAAAGCAUUCUGCCAGCAUGUUCAAGAAUUAAAGAAACUAGUAAAAUUUGAUGAGAACAAGCAUCUAGGCCUGAAAGAGACAAGCCACGGCAACACUACAAUUAAUUACUGCAAUGUCUGUGACUUGGGAAUAGAUGGCCACUGCACCAACAGCAAAAGAAAAGGGAGAUGAGCUGCCUGCGUUGAAAUCAGGACUUGCCAUACAUCCACAGAUUUGGCUUCACUGACCAAUCAGGCUUGAUUUUAUUGUGGAAUAUGAGACCUUUACUCCUGAUGAAAACAUAGGAAGCAUUAGCUUUGCAAACAGGGCAAAAAAAAAAUCCAAAGAAUUAGCUUCACAAGGGAAAAUUCCACACAACAUCGAUCUCUAGCAUAUUUAGAUGAGAAAAAAAUGACUUGGACAUGGUCGACUUACCAGUAGCCGUGGUGGCAACAGGUAAAACUAUGAUGGAUGAGCAUGUAAGGGCUUGCCGGAGGUCUAUUCCAGCAUGAAAUGUCUCCAUCCAUAGCUGGAGACCAGGUGCCAGUACCUAUAUGGUACUGUUCAGUACUCCUUGGCAAAGGACGUCCUCCCCUCAGUGGAUUGUUCUAGUCACUCUAUACCUGCAGGUGAUAGAGUUAGCCACAACAGAAGGGAGCCCCUUGUUCUGUGAUGCAUACAGGGGCCGUUGCCCAAGGAACAGAGCAUGCUCUCCAAUGUUGGUUAUGGGAACGACCCUUCCACUGAUGAGGUCGGCGACUCUGUAAACAACCAGGUCUGUAGGUUUGGCAUCAUUGAAGCCAACAAGCAUGAGCUCCGAGCCGCAUUCGACCAGGUGGACUGCGCCUAGAGUUGCAACCAGCGGGCAGUGGGCGAUGAUCCUCGGUGGCAGAAGAGACCGACCCUCUGCGGCAUCCGGAUCAAUUUGCCAGAUGCACACGCUGUUCCUUUGAGGAGACUUGGGCGUCACCGCGUACAGGUUGCCAUGGAAAGACACCAUUGGUCCUAGCAGACGCGGGAGCCUGCCGGCCAAGAGAGUCCACCGCUGGUCGCCGGUGGUGGCGUGUGCCACAAGCAGUUUGAUUUCGAGCGCCAGCACGACGGUGAUGGCCCCGGCGGCGGCGGGGCCAACGGUGACGGCGGCGCUGACUCCCGAGAGGAAGCCGCGGAGCGUGCAGAGCUUGCGAUCCUCGGUCAUGUUGCCGUAGUGCUCCAUCUGGGGCAGGAGGGACGAGAGCGGCGGGAGCUCGGCGACGUCGCCGGUGAAGGGGUGCAGGAGGCGGACGGCGGUGUACCCCGGGUCGCGGUGCCGCAGCAGCAGGAGGAGGCCGUCGGUGCAGCCGAGGAGGACGUGGUCGUGGAAGAGCGGGAGGUGGAGGCGGGCGAGCGCGCCCGUGGAGAGGUUGAGGAAGCGCACGUGCCCGCCGAACGCGGGGUGGCCGGGGUAGAGGCCGUGGCCCUCGGGCAGCAUCAUCCAGCGGCGCGGGUGGAAGCGCGGGUCGAGGAGGCCCCGGCCGCCGGGGCGGGCGGCGCUCCGGCUCCAGUGGGCGCAGACGGCGCGGAAGCGGACGUAGUCCAUCAGGUCGCCGGAGAGCACCCGCCACCCGAUCAGCUGCACCAGAUCCUCCGGCAGCGAUGCCCACGGCGCGCCCGCGCCGCAAGGGGCCGUGGCGACCCGGGCGCGCUUCGGACUCGGCAGCGGCGGCGACAUCCCAGAUGGAUCGUCUGGUGCCGUCGAAUCCGACCGCGCAGACAACCAACUCAGCCUCUUUUCCUCUCGAUCCCGAUCUUGUAGAGGAGCAGGACGAUCCUAGAGAUUGGACUCAGUGGAUUUGGUUUGGGGAUGGAUCGUCGAGUCCAGGGUUUAACAAGGAAGUAAAUAAAAAAAAAAGAAGUCGGAGUGGGAAAACAGGGGCAUUCCGAGAAUUGAACUCGGGACCUCUCGCACCCUAAGCGAGAAUCAUACCACUAGACCAAAUGCCCGUUGAUGGUUGCUGGUUUCCUGUGGUUUUAUUACUUCUUAGCUGCGUCCAUCUUAGGAUUGUUAUGACAGGAUAGAGACAUGGCUGCACAAAGAAUGGACGGUAAUGAGCGUCUUGCUUCUCAUCUCUCUCUCUCUACCGCUGCUCAUUUCCCAUUUGCCAAACAACACUCUUACAAUAAGAAAAUGACAUGAGCAGCCGCUCGUGUCGCUCCUGAGGGGCAAACCCCGAGCGAGCCGCCGCCGCCCCUGGUCCCUCCACCUCGUCGCUACCAGAGGGCCCGUGAAAAUAGUAAUAGGUUGAGUGGAUGACACGCAUGGUGUACGUACAUAAUAGGUAUACGCUCCACCAUUAUAUUGCAUGGUUUGUCGAGCAGUUAUAUUAGGCUGGAUAUAGAUGAUGCGUUGUACAAUGACUAUGACUUGAUGAGCAUUAUAUACUAGCAGUUUUAAGUGAUGUCGUCGCCUUCGCCUGCUCAUGCACCUACCCGUAGAGCCGGAGCAGGUGCUGGGAGACGGCGCGAGGUGUACUUAUGCCAGUAUCAAUGAAAGUUUUAUGAUAUUAAAUUCUAUGCCAUUUUGCUAUUGCUGAUACAGCGAUAAGAAAGAAGGAAUGAGUUUCAUGGAACGAGAGAGGAGUUUCGUCCUCGUGAAACUCAGCUGACGGUAAAGGAGGUGAUUGGUUUGCUGACUCGGCUCGUACUUGGAAGCUAGGCUCCCGCCGGCAUAGGUGCAAGUUGUUUGGUUGCACGCACGAGUGCUUGUUACAUAAUUUUUUUUCAAAAACAGUUAGCAAUAUGAUGUGUAUUUUAUAUAAUUACAAUUUAAUAGCUCUUAGUAUACCUUAUUAAAUAUUAAUCAGCUUUGAAAUCACUAAUACCACUUAAUACACCCUAAUCAUGCGCUAAUAGAGUCAUUAACCAAAUGGACGCAUGCACCAAGCGAGCCAGGCUCGCUUGCGGAGCCAAUCGCCCCCAUAGGCGCCGCCAACGCUGACACGCUGUGCCUCCCCCUCUCCCCCGUGGCGGAGCGGGAGCCGGACCAGCAGCCGCCCCAGUCGGCAACGGAGCCGCAGCAGAUCCGGCAGCCGCGAGACGAGCUGCACGCCUCCAAGGCACAAGUCGACUUGGCUCAAGUCGACGGCCACAACGUCUUCGCCACUCCUCAAGCCAACUUAGGCGCGGCCUACGUGGAGCUGGAAAAUCUACCUGAAACGGAAGUUAUCCAGCGUGUCACCCAAGCUGCACUACUCGAAGAGCUUGCUCAGUCAGGACCAAAUCCGUGGCCCGGCCCUCAGGGCGGAGCAACGGCUGGCAUGCCAGAGCGGUGCACGAGCCACGACGAAGCAGGGGUCCGCCGCCGACAGGAGUAUAAUCGCCUCAACGGCAAUCCAGAGGAGCAAAACCAUCAGGAUGACAACGCCCACAGCCGCGACAAGGCGGAUACCGACUCCAGAUCAAACCCGGACGCCUGCCACGCUACCAGCAUCAACAAGGGUCAGUGUUGCAGAACCAUGUUAAAAAUGAAAAAUUGCUCCGUAUCUUUAAGUUGUCAGGACAUGGCUUGCCGCCUCCCAACUAGUAAAGUUAAACGGGGGGAAAAGAAACACCGUGGAGGCGCCAAUGCUUUCUUUCUUAUUAGAAUUAUUAUUACAAAAUUGGUUGGUUACUUCUGCAUGGGCUGUCGAUCAAGCAACUGGGCCCCAACUUGCAUCUAAAUCUUCUCUUUUCCUGAGCAGAUUGCCACAAAGAAUUCUUCAAAACACGUUAGCCACCUCCUUCCGUUUACAGUAGCAGUCUCCUAAUGUCGCUGAAAUUCGAUGCCAGCUCCGUGAAAAACCUCCCUGCUCCGCCGUACAUCACAAAGAGGAGGUAAAUAACACGAAGCAAAAAGGAAUGAUAGUGGAAACAGAUACAAAGCGAAGAAAUAAAAUAGUACCUCCUACUUGCCCAUCAAACACACGAUGGUCAGCAGACAGCGUCAAGCUCAUUUUUGUAACUGCAGCGGCCUUCUCAUUUCCUGGACAAAAGUCUCAUAGAUUAGUAAUAUGCCUGCAAUUGUUCUGAGCAGAAAAGCACAAUGUCAAUGAAACGUACCAUCACUGUCCACAACAGGCUCAACAACCUUGUUACCUCUACCAACAGCUAAGAUGCCAGACUGACAAAAGACAUGAAUAGGAACCAUCAGUACGAAUUCGACGGAUCCAUCCUGAGGGAAUAGGGGAGGAGUUAGGGUGGAAGCGACCUGUGGAGGAUUAAUGAUCGCACAGAAAUGGUCCACAGGGUACAUACCAAGAUUUGAGAUACUGCAUAAGCAUGAGCCGUGAAAAUGUCAAAAUACAGAAUUUCACAACAGGCAGGAUUCCCUGAAUAACAAUUACAAACAGGCAGACAUCACUUACCUGAAAGUUCCCCCCUGAAACUCAUUAGGUGCAAGUUUCCCAGCUCUUGCCUUCUCAGCCAGCUGCUUAACCUGAGUGAUUAGGAAUGGAGAAAACAUGACUUACAACAAUUGAAAAUUUUAAUUCUCCUAAGCACAGAAAUAGAGAUUCUUAGAAAAGUGUUGACCACAAUUUAUUUUUGCAAGUUUAGAGCUUCCAUUGAUGGCUGUUGAUGGCAAGAGCUACAUUUACAUGACUAUGAUCAAUUGAUAGUAUCAAAAACUUCCAGAGUAUUCCGAAAUACAAACAUACUGCUGAGGAAAUUUGGCUUGAACUUUGGAAACUUUGUUAUACCUCUGAGGAUAUUGCUGAUAUAGUCUUUUGAUCAGCAUUUCUUAUAAUUGGAGUCAUCAGACCCUAGAAUAGCAAAGACAAUCAUUAGAGGCACCAAAGAUACACUAACAGUAACUUCUUGGUAUUCUUAUCGUCAUACCUUCUCUGUGGCAACAGCAAUAGAUAUAUCAACUGAAUCACAUUUUUGGGCUUCUUCCUUCUCACUGUUCCAGUAGGCUAAAAAGUGAUGAAAACUAAUCAAUUUUUGAAAAGUGGAAACUAAAAGGGCAGGCUGUAUGUUCGGUUGUAACAAAAAAAAAGGAAAACAGGACAGGGGCUGGUUAGCUAUGUUCCAGAGAAGCGAUAGGAUAGGAAAACUAGAAUACCACUGAUAAAAAAACUGGAAUUUGCCAAUUGCCGACCACCAGUCAAACAUCCCCACGUGCAUGGCUGGUUGCCACUUGCGCUACGCUUGUCAAGUGAGUCAAUAUACAUUUGAAAAGGAUCUAAUAGAAACUUGGUUGGCUGCGAUGAUCACCACAUCAGCCCAGUACUUGUACUAUUGUACAAGGGCACACAUCAAUGUAUAAGCUUGAUUGCGUCAUGAUUUAACCACCCAAACUGCCUGUUCAGUGACUAUCCUAUGUUUAAUACCACGGAGCAAACUCUACCUCCCUGGAAAGACAAACUCAACUAAAGUAUCAUCGUGAAGCUGAUCAAAUUCAGGCUAUGGUAAUUCCAUACCAUGUUAAUCUAAUUUAAAACUAGAUUAAGUUCAUAAUCCCUCCAGUCACUUUUUAUUGACGUUUCAGACAAGCAAAUACAACUACAUGCAAGUCAACAUCCCUGUCUGAAACGUCAAAUAAUACUGAUAGCUGGCAGUACUAUUCCAACCGUGGUGUAUAAUCCACAAACUCCUUUCCUGGUGUGUGACUUCAUCAUGGACCGUUCAAGCAAAAUGAGAAUGAAUCAGUGAAUCAUAUUUUGUGCAGGUCAGUGGGAUGCUAUUGCUGCUAGACACUGCCCUGUAACUUGGGUCAGCCGUCACAUGUGUUUAAGCUUCCCAAGAACAGGCAAGUCAUUGUGGAGUCCAUAUGUUCAGGCCAAACAGGAUUUGGAUAUGAUACAUCUGGAAUAAAAACACAACAGAUCCCAUUUGAUAUUUAAUUAAUUCUUUAGGAAUUACCAUUUGCUUCAGGAACGUUCCGCAAGGCAAUUGCCACAGCUUUUAUGAUGAUAUCAUUUACUGAAACUUUAAUGCCAUGUUGCUCUGCAACAAAAAAGACUCAUGAGAAAAGAAGGCCCUUUUCUUAUCUGAUUACUGAAAACACCAAAUAAAAGGAAAUAAAUAGCACACCUUUCAGUUCGCUCCUGAAAGCAAGCAAGGGAUCAAGUACAACAUCUGAGAACAAUGCAACAAAUAUCAUUAUAUCAAUAACAUCAUGAAAAUAACAUGUGCAGUGAACGGAUACAAACCUUUGGAUAGAUAUAAAUGAGGAGUCGUCUGUUUUGAUUCAAGCAACCUUUUUGCAAUAACCUGCAUGAUACCAAAACAGGUCGACUCUUAUUAAACAAGUGAGAUCUCAUAGAUGAUACAUGGCCUGACCAAGUUCAUUUUCAUCAAAGACAUCAUCGUGUACCAGUAGCAAGAAUAUCCAGCAGAUAAAUAAAUUGAUGAAACAGGCUAUAAAAUGGAAUGACACAUUUGCAGAAUCCUCAGCAGCAAAUAUUUGAAGUGCUUAUAUGACAAGUUUUCAGGUUGAAGUACUUGAUUUUAUCUAAAAUACUAUAUAAAGAGAACAUGUAGUUCACUAAUAAUUUGAUUCAUUGCGCAAAACUCUGGGCCAUCCUAGAAUCCCUGUAGCUAGAUAAAAGACAAGAGGAGUUCAAUGUGGUGUGAAAGCUUUGGUAUUCACACUUAGAUUGAUCACAGACUCUAGUUUUUUAGGUCAUUCUAUGCACAAGGUAACAUAACUAAAAGUAUAUAUCAUGAUAUCUACAAAAGUCAAUAGAGGUGAAUAGAGUACCUUGCGUAUCUGACUAUUUGGAAUAUCUUCAUAUGUAUCGGCCUUUUGUGAAGUAGUGGCUGGUUGAGCCUGGGCAUCACGAGUUGGCUGAGAUGAAGGCGUUGCUGGAGCCUUCUGUUCUUUGGCUGGGAUUGAAAUUGCGCCUGACUUCAGUGCAGCCAGAACAUCCCCUUUCAGAAGGGUGCCACGAGGGCCUGAUGCUCUCAGUGAUGACACAUCCAGUCCAUGUUCCUUGAUGAGUAACUUAGCUGCAGGACUGAUUCGGCUCACUACUGAGCUUUGUUCAGACACAUUAGCUACAUCAGUUUUUGGUGCACUUUCUGUUGACUGUUCUUCCUUUUGUUCACCUCCAAACGAUGUAUCGGCGGGUAUAUUUUUAAUAUCAUCAAGCUCUUCAACCUUAAAUGGACAACCAGCAAUCAGUAGAAAAUUAAAAUGGAUGUUGAAAGGAUAUAAAAGCCACCAGUCAUGGAGCUAUACCGUGACAGCAAUUGGCUGUCCAACCUGAACAUCUUUUGAACCUUCAGGUGCUAAAAUUUUGGCCAGAUACCUAAGAUAUUAAAGUGGUUAGGUUAAACAAGAAAGGUGUAUGCAUAAUUAAUAAGCAUCCAUGAAAAGAAAAGACAGGGUAUCACAAAAGACUAAAAAAAUAUGACCAAACACAAAUUAGAUAAAGACAAGAAAAAAGUUAAAUGAAACAGUAACUAUGUGUUCUAGUUGUGCCAGUUAUUUAAAAACUUAAACAUUUAAUGUAGUUUUUUCAUACUGGAAGAACAAUGGAAUAGGCUUGUACAGGAAUUACUGGAACAUUAUGUGCAAUUUCUUAGAGUUUUGGCCAACCUACACAAUUGAUGCAUAAUGGCAAAGUAUAGCAUAUUACACUGAUUUGACUUGGAGGCUUGGAGCACUAUAUUGACCAAAAUUGACUAAAUGAACUAUGAACAAGUUUUGCAUAAGAACCUUAAUCAAUAUUUCCACUAAAAAUGAAUGCACAGGGAGGUUCAUAUAAUGCAAAACAUCGGAGCUAAAAGAAAUUUAAAUGGUAACCUAUCCCUAAAGCAUGCUGACAUGCUGUACCACUGAACAUGUUAUUGUAAUCAAAAGCACCUUUUCAUAGUGACAGUUCAUGAGACUAUAGCAUACUUUGCAGUAACUGUAAACUCGGGAAUGCAAAAUCAUAAUUAUAGAGCAAUGAAACUGAAACAUAUUAAUAGUCUCUCGGAACUGUCAUGUUCAAUGUCCACAGUAAAGAUUUAAACCCAAUGAAAAACAUGUCGUCAAGGACAUUACCCUUCUUCAAGGCUUUCAAAUUCAAGAGUGGCUUUAUCGGUUUCUAUCUCGCAUAUCACAUCACCAACCUCUAUCUGCAAAAAACAUACAACAUUUAAUGAUACUGACAUAUUGCUAAUAGUGACAAAAAGAAGAAAUUCUUUGAGAAUAUGAUAUUUGUAUAAUGAAAUAGCAGAUUGCGGAAAGCCUAACCUUGUCUCCUUCAUGUUUUCUCCAUUUUGCAAUGUUACCUUGGUUCUAAUGAAAACUAUGUCAGAGUAUGGAAUAUGCAGAAAGGAAAAAGAAACAAAGCUGGCAACAUAUAUUACUAAGAUCAGUGUUUAAAGUUUUUACCAUAGUAGGGGACAAUGCUGGCAUCCCAACCACCAGAUGUGGAGGAAGCCCUGCGAAAAGAUAAGAUCAUAUUAAUGAUAGUGCCAUAAAUUGCUAUGUGCUAACAGAAUAUUUUUGUACAUGUUUUUAAUGUCAGUUUCAAAUAUGAAAAAGUAAUAAAGAAGAAAAUUAGCAGCAUGCAGUAGUUAGUCUACUAAUUGAUUUGCUUCAUCAGCACAAUAUGUUGACAAAUAAUAUAAUCUUGCCUAGAAAACUUCUCUUGACUGGGAUGUGUUCGUAGAAAUAUGACGUAGAAAACCCAAUGAAGCAUACUAACUUACAUAGGGACUUUCCUUCAUCGAAUCAAAAGUGCAGGACAACAAGAAACAUAAGAGCUAAACCAUAUAAAAUUUGGUAAUUUCACGAGUUUAAGCUAGUGGUUUAAAUAUUUCAAGUUUUCUGUUUAUGCAAAGCAAUGGAAAGAUAAAUUCAAAGACUCACAUGAUAACAGUGCUACAGAGUAAAACUCAAGCUAUGUUUAUGCAAAGCAAUGGAAAGAUAAAUUCAAAGACUUACAUGAUAACAGUGCUACAGAGUAAAAUUCAAGCUAUGGAAAUAAAAAAUUAUUUGUCUGUUCAUCUAUAACAUAUCAGAUUAACAAUGUGAGCCAUGUGGCUAUACCUGUUGAGAACCAACGGGCUGGCAUGGGAGCCUGCACAAGGAAUGCUACAUAAGUAGCAGUUUGAUCAAUGAAAAGGAUUAAUAUUUGAACUCACCUUGUAAUGUCCACCCACUGAUGCUAGGAGUGAUGGCCUGGAAAGAGAUCAAACUUCAGGAAAAAAAUUGUACAAAAGAAACAUAUAGGUAAUCACGAACUAAAGCACGUGUAACUGUGGGUACCAUUCCUGCAUUACUGCAAAUUCAGCACCUCAUUCCAACAAUCUUCCAUUGCGAAUAAUGAAAGCAUGAAACGUAAACAUGUGCUAAUCCACAUUCCAACUAACUAGUUAGACCUAGGGUCAAAAUUGGGGCCAGCACUGAAUGCAUGUACUGACAAACGACUUGGCAACAGUGUAAAUCUGAACGAUCCCAGCGACAAAAUAUGCAAAGUUAUACCUCAUGGAAGCACAUCGGCCAGCCUCAGCUAAGGAACCCCUUGCACGCGACAAGCUGCGAGUGAUCAACAUUAGAAAAUAUGUCAAAUAGCUGAGUGGACACGCAUCACAAUCUGUACGAAUUCAUCGGCAGCAUCUAACAUCUUACCCGACCAGAAGCGCCCGGAUGUUCGCCAUCUUGCCAAGCAAAAACCUAGACACAAGACGAUCCCUGCGGCCAAAUUCGCAAAAUGAGUUACAAAAAGGAAAAUGAUAGCAAACGGUGGGUGAAUUAACUUGGGUCCGGCAAUAUUUUGGAAAAUAAUCUGAACUCGCGAAAUCCUAAACACACCACGGAUGGAUUGAUCGAAUGGAAUUGCAAGGAGCCUCACCGGGACGGGCGGAUCUUGAACCCCGCUAGAAACGGCGGCCGGGGAAUCCGGCAGAUGGGGAGGAAGGGACCACGGCGCGGACGGAGGAGGAUUCGGCGGCGGAAAAGAUGAGCACCACCAGCGGGGCGAAGGCGAGCAGGGGAAGCGAGCAGGUUUUGGUCGUUGGGUGACGACCGGGCCGGAUGCUGUUUAGGUUGCGGAUCCGGCUGUCCAAAACUAUACGCUUACUCCGUGUAAAAAAAUUGCAACUCUCGCUUUAUAAACCAAUCAAUUUCAAAUUUAACUAAAUUUAUAUAAAAAUACUAAAUUUAUAUCUCUAAAUAAAUUUAAUAUAAAAAUAUAUUACAUGAUUAAUCUAACGGUACUUAAUUUGUAAUAUUAAUAUUAAUAUUAUUUUUAUAAAUUUGGUCAAACUUGAUAUUGAUUGACUCCUCAGUAAACGAGAGUUGCAUUCUUUUAUGGACGAAAAGAGUAACAUCCAGCUAUCUAGGCCUGCGUUCGUGAGGCCAAAUAGAUUAGGUUGGGUUUACUCUAUUUUUUAAAAUGUUUGGUUCAAGGGCAAUAGGGAUGGAUCCAAAGCGAUAAGAGAGUAUCCUUCUCACGUACGGGUUGGAUCAUGACAGAGGUAGACUCCGGGUAUCCCUACCUAAUGGGAUCUAGAUUCCUAGAAAAUGAUCUCAUGCUACAAUCCCUGUAUGCAGAUACUGUGCCACGAUAUAGGUCAUGAAGAAGGAGGUGAGGAAGAAUUAAGGAUAUAUAACAGGCGUGAAACUAGGAGAAAAUAGGGAUGGGAUCUUUACUAUCGCGCACUGAGGUCUUUGCCUUUACAAAACGGUGAGAACAUUAAUUUUCACCGACUUUUUAGAAAUCCAUAGGGGUCGGCGGACCCCAACGAGCAAGCCUAGCUCCACCUCUGCGGGAGAAUAGGAUUAAAGGAUAAUUAUACUAUGAUUUAUGCGAAUUUAGACCACGAGAAUGUGACGUGGCAUGAAGGUAGUGGGAUACGGACGAUGAGAUCAGACAGACUGGAUGUUGUACCGGUAGGAUGAUGAAGAUCAGAAGGCUUGGAUUUUGUAGAGGUGGGAUGACAUCAAGGGACGGCAUAAUGUACAAUGUGCGACGCAACAAACCACAUAUGAAGAGCUCCGCUCUUUUUAGUAGUACAUAUAUUGAAAAGAAAGGCAAAAGAAGUGUUCUGAUUCCUCAACUUUACCUGAGACUCAAGUUACAAUCUAGUUUCUCAACUUUUAUUUUCAGUUAACCUCGUUCUUGUGUUGAUGUGGCUAUUCAUGUUAACAUAAGAAUGAUGUGAGAAGUUAAUUUUUGCCCUAAGCUUCUUCUUCCUAUCUCACUUUCUAUUGUUGCAUCAUGGACAUACAGAUCCGCUGUUGCCUCCUGACUUGUUAACUUUUGUGCGCGUUGAAGUGCCCAUUCAUGUUUAAUUUGAUCUUGAUCAUACACGAACAACAUGUAUAUAUUUGCUUAACUUUCCGCUUCACUCCUUAACAAAGCGGAAAAGAAAUAACUAAGAUAAAUAGGACUUUUCAAAUUAGCCUUAUGCUAUUAUGGAGCACCACAUGUCCACAUUACUAUAAAGGUGAAUUUAAACUAAAAUAAAAAUUAAGGGAUUAAAUUGAUAUUUCUAAAAAUGGAGGGACUUGACUCUCGAAUUAAGUUUAAGGGGGCAAAUCGCCUAUUUUUCCAAAACAAACCCUAGAUAGCAGCCGCUCACCAGUCCACCCACACCCACCCCGCUCCCGCUUCCCCCGCCGUCACUCCGCUUCCCCCGCCGCUACUCCCCACCCCCCAUCUCCCGCUGCCACGCCUCACCCCGAUCCGGAACCCUUACCGACGCACCGAGAUCUCGCUCCUCCUUACCAGCAUGGAGGAUCUCAUGGAGAUGCUGCUCGGCGGCGAGGACUUCCAGAGAAUGGAGGGCACGCUGCGAAUGCUCACGCAGCAUGUCUGCUCCGCUGUCACACCCUUGGCCGUCGACGAGUCGGACUUCAGAUACUGCCUGAAGAGCCAUCAAAUGGCCCAUCCUGGACAGAGAAUCAGCCACUACAUUUUCUUUCCCUUGUCUAUAGACAAUUUUGAACUUGAGCCCCAUCAGACGUGUCAUAGCCUUCCUUUGCAUUUCAGAGUGAAGAUUCUGCUCUAUCAGAUAAGAGAGACUUUUGUGAUCUGUCUUGAUGAUAAACUCCUGAAGUUGCAGGUAAGACCUCCAUUUCUCUACUGCCAUAAUGAGUGCAAGGAACUCUUUCUCAUAAAUAGAACUAGCCUUGUGAGAUGGCCCCAAAGCUUUACUCAGAAAAGCUACAGGCUGGCCUUGCUGUAACAACACAGCUCCAAUUCCAUUCUCUCAAGCAUCUGUAUCCACAGUGAAAGGUUGAGUGAAAUCUGGGAGAGCCAAUACCGGAGUAGUACUCAUGGCCUGUUUAAGCUUGAGGAAUGCUUGCUGGGUAACAUCUGACCAUUGAAACAUUUUUUUCUUCAAAAGUUGGGUCAGGGGCUUAGCUAUGAUCCCAUAGUUUCUCACAAAACGCCUGUAGUAGCCAGUCAGGCCCAAAAAUGCUCUCAAUUCAGUCACUGAAGUUGGUACUGGCCAAUUCACCAUUGCUUCAGUUUUAGUGUCAUCAGUGGCAACUCCUGCAGCAGAAAUGAUGUGGCCUAGAUACUCCAAUUUUUCCUGGGCAAAGGAACAUUUGCUGUUUUUGAGAUACAAUCGGUGAUCUCUGAGUUUCUGUAGGACCUGCUGCAAGUGUUCAAUGUGCAUUUCCAAGGUUGGACUGUAUAUGAGGAUGUCAUCCAGAAAAACUAAGACAAACUUUCUCAGGAAUGGGCUCAGUAUAUCAUUCAUCAAGCACUGAAACGUAGCUGGUGCAUUGGUAAGCCCAAAAGGCAUUACCCUGAACUGAAAAUGGCCAUGAUGUGUUUUGAAAGCAGUUUUGAAUUCAUCUUGCUCAGACAUCCUCACCUGGUGAUAACCAGAUCUCAUAUCUAGUUUUGUGAAAUAUUUAGCCCCAGCUAAUUCCUCCAAAAUUUCCUCAAUAACAGGCAUGGGGAAUCUGUUCUUGACAGUAAUGGAGCUCAGUUUUCUAUAAUCAAUACAGAACCUCCAACUCCCAUCUUUCUUUUGUACCAGUAGUACAGGAGAGGCAAAGGGACUUGUGCUAUGAGUGAUCAACCCAGCUUCUAGCAAUUCCUUAACUUGCUUUUCGAUCUCAUUCUUGUGAAGAGGGGAGUAUCUGUAUGGUCUUGAAUUCACUGGUGUUGCUCCAGGUUGCAGAGGUAUAGGGUGAUCAUGGAUCCUUUGUGGUGGAAAGGUUUUGAGGUCUUUGAACACAUCAGUAUACUUCUGAAGUAUUUGUUCCACCAAGGGGGACAAGGGAGGGGGAUGUGGUGGAGGAACAACAUCUACCAGUGCAACUGCCCACACUUCAUUGCCCUGAACCCAUUUGCAGAAUGUUUCCAUAGACAUUUCCUGAGGUAGCGGAGAAGAAGGUUGCACACCCAACAGUUUAAUUUUAGUGCCUCUUUCCUCAAACUCAAUUACUCUGUCCUCCCAAUGACAGGUCAUGGGACUGUGUGUGGACAACCAAGCAUAGCCCAAGAUGGCAUCAUAAGCCUCCAGAUCCAAUACCUUCAUGUCAGCUGUCAUGGUGUAACCAUUUGACCACCACUGUAAACCAGGCACACACUUGUCAGUAAUCAAGGUAGUCCCAUUGGCCAUGCUGACAACCUUGGGUUCAGCAGAAAUAGGAGUAAUGCCCACUUUCUUAAGAAAAGAAGUCUGACAAAACUGUGUGUACUGCCACUAUCCACCAAUAUCAGCAUUAUUUUGUUUUUCACAAGUGCCCUGACUCUCAUUGUUUGCCCUUUAUCAGUACCAGUCAUUGCAUUCAAGGACAAAAGAAAUCUUGAGAAAGAGCAUCCUCUAACUGUGCCAAAAUGUUCUCUGACAGUUCCACAUCAAGACUAUUCACAGAUACAGCAUGGACUUGAACUUUGGGUUGUUUUGUGCAUACCUCGGUGUGAGAGGGAUCAUAUUUCUCACUGCACCAGUAACAAAGGCCAUUGGCUCUGCAAUAAUCUCUCUUCUGUCUUUUCUUCCACAAGGAACUUGGUGGUGACUGCUUGGGCUGGGAGGGAGGGGAUUUUGCUGACAGAAGUGGUUUCUGCAUUUUCAUCUUUCCUCUUUCCUGUACCUUUUGAUGGAUCUUGGCCAUCUAAUAGCACGAUGUAGUGUAGUCGGCACUUGUGUCUGUACAGCCAUGCCCACAUCAGAUCGCAACCCAUUGAUAAAUUGCUGAAUAAAAAACACAGGAUCAUAGCCACUGUUAUGCAUAAUGAGCUGAUAAUACAAUGCCUCAAACUGAUCAGCAUACUCUUCCACUAAACCAGUCUGUCUGAGUUGCAAAAGAUCAUCCAGAGCCUUCCUGUACUCAUACUGACCAAACUGAGCUUCCACUGCAUCAGCAAAUUGGUCCCAAGUAGCUCGAAGAUGUUGCUUCUUGUACACUUGCAGCCACUUUGCUGCAUUCUUGUCGAAAUGGAGAGCAGCUGCAGUAACCCACAUACUUUCUUCAAUGUUGGAGAUGCGAAAAUAAUCCAGGCACUUUUCUCUCCAGAUCUUUGGGUGUUCACCAAUAAACAAGGGAAACUGCAUCUUAGGAAUAACGGAGCGUGGAAUAUGAGUGGACUCCCUCGCAGGACGCGGCACCCCUGGAUCCGGCCGGCGAGCAGAACCAUCCCCCGUCUGAACUGGCCUGGCACUCUGGUGGCUACCACCCCCCAUGGUCCGCACCGAAUUGGUUUCCGAGUCACUGUCAGUCAUCAUGUCCAUAGUCAGACGAGCCACCGUCUGCCCUGUUGCCUCAACUCGCUUGGCGACGAGCUGCUGUUCCUUGCCGUAAUGAUCCACCGUUGUAGUAGUCUGCUCCAACUGGGCCUUGAGUUCCUUCUGAGAGACACCAAUCGCACUCACACGAGCAAAUAGCAGAUCCAAACUCGAGAGCACCUGAUCCCAAUGUGCCUCGUCCCGCUGACUCGAUGCCUCCAUGGCGUCUAGGAUGAACGCCGUAUGAACCAAAGGUUUUGGGGGCGCCGUGAUUGACAGCACCGCAAGCCGAUCCAAGGGUGAGUGGGAAUUACGGGAUCUCAACGUGAGCAAGGCACUCGAGGCGACGAACGCACCAACCCAAACUUGUUUCUCAGAUUAAGGCCGACGGAAUCUCUGCUGACAAUUCACCGCGCAGUGAUGGGGAAGGGAAGAUCUGCAUGCACAAUUAAGGAGCUAAUAUGUUUAUCGAGCUAUGGAUAGGUUAAAAUUUAAUAAAAUAAAAUAUUUACGUGAAAAGAUGCUAAUUUACCUGAUAGACGGUAAUGGAGCUCAAAAGAAAAUCUUUAUUUAUUUUAUAUUUUAAAUUUGAGUAUAGGAAACACCGUACUAUUAAAAGGGAUGCGAGGAGAUGGCUUGAAGAUGUCAAAGUACUUAAUUGAGAUGCUAACCUCCUACGAGAUACACAAAUCACGCAUUUCCUGUAGUUUCUGCACUCGCCAAUAAUAACGACUAUAUGAUAUUUAGGUUGUGUUGUUGCCUUUUAAUGUAUAGUUAAGUCGUUGCAAUAAGGUACUCACUUUUCAUUUAUAAGGUUGUACUGUCUUACAUUGCAUUUUAAUGUAUUAUUAAGUCGUUGCAACAAGGUACCUAAAUAAGACAUUGCAUUUUAAUGUAUUAUUAAGUCGUUGCAACAAGGUACCUAAAUUCCGUUUCAUUUACCGGUCACCAUUGACAAGCCAUGAAAACUAAGGAAUCAAUCUGUUUAAUUCUAAAAUGAUCAAAAUACCACUCGUCUAGAAAAUUCAAUCAAUUUGUUAUAUUCUAAAUUAUCAAAACACCAUCGCCUUGAAAGUUCUAUUUUGUACCCGUUCUUUUAAGCCAACUAGCAUAGUGCUUUUUAAGAAAACCUAAUAAAUAAAUAAUAAUUUUAUAAUCAUAGAGAAUAGUCAAUAAUAGUUUUAUAUUUAUAACAAAGAUGCAUAUUUCACAUGGGAAAGGUCUCCAGUAACUGAAAAUGGACAUCCUUGAAGAAAGAAACACUGAUGACAAGAUGGAAGAUUAUAUUCAAAGGAAACAUUUGCGCUCCUGGUGUGCCACCCAUCCAACAGCAACAGGGAGAUUAUAUUUUAAAUUUGAGUAUAGGAAACAUCGUACUAUUAAAAGGCUGUCCUCGGUUCAAAAACAUGGAAUUGCAUUUCAACUUUCGCGCACAACAACAAAUAUGAGAUACAUUACGCUACUACCUCGUGAUGAGUUCAAUAAAUAAAAUACAAUGCAACAGUCAAUAAUCACAGCUUAAACCGGUGGUAUCCUUUUUGCAGAGCUUCUGGCCUAUGGACUUAUUAACAAUGAACAAUCUCAGAAUGUCAAGUCUAGAAAACCAAUUGACAGAAGGGCAAGCAUUUCAGCAUCCAGUACAACAUGCGAGUGUGAAUUCUUCGCUUCUGAAGCCCCAAAAUUCUCACUACUUCCUGAGCCUUAACCUCAACCUGAAACAUAUGGAAAUUUGAGAUGAAUGGAGGAACCUAUUAAUCUAAUAGAAGGAUCUAUUGUCAUGAAUAGAUAUUUCUGUGAAAGGCAUCUCUCUGUUUUUCCUUUUCUGACCUACAAACGACUAUACAAGUGUUUUACUGAGUUACAUCCAUUUGCAUCUCUUAAAAAAUGAUAUAUGAAGAUAGACAUUCAAAAUAGGCAUGAAGUUAGAUGUCAUUCAAAUGAGCAACUAACAUCUAGCUUCACAUUAAAAAAAAUGCAUGGCAUCUUAACUGACCAGAGCAAGUGUUCCGAGUUGCACACUGAUCUGGAAAAUGAUUAAUGAGUAUUGAAUAAUCAAAAGGACAACAGAAUCAAUAUUCCUAAGGUCAGCAAAUGUUUCAAUAUAUUAUGCCAAUAUCACCUAAAUUUCACUAGGAUAGUAGGAAGUAGGAUACAACAACUCAUGCUUUUGCCAAAUUGUGGCGACCCCGUUGCUACAGAUUGCUUAGAUGCUGUUCAGUUCAAGCUGACAACCCAAUGGAAAAUCCAUGACUCCAUUUGGAUCAAGUAGUCAGACAGCUGAUACUGAAUUUGCGCCCAUUUGGAUGAGCAUCCAGACUCCAGCCACAACUAGGAUGAUAAAACUAGACAAGCUAAUUUGCAGCGCAGACAGCGACCGGAUACGCAACCACAAGCGUCGAGCAACCGCAUACCUCAAUCGGCGUGUUCGUGGAUGUCGUCAGCCUCAUCCUCCGAAGACGAGGACGAGGAGGAGUUGGACGAGUAGGUGAAGGGGUGCGGCGCAAGCUCCGGAGGCUGGAGGACGAGGAAGACGCGGCGGUCGCGGCGGGGCCGGAGGGGGCCGCGGGCUGGCCCGGGGAGGAAGGGGAUGCAGAGGAAGGCGGCGAGGCGCGCGAGGAGGUGGAGCGGCGCGCAGCAGAUCAGCGCGAGGACGCGGUCGGGCGGGAGCGUCUCCGGGUUGCACGCCACCCGCUGCCACGCCGCCGCCGACCCCCGCGCCACCCACACCACCCACACCGGCCGCACCGUCAUGAAUUGAAACCGACCCCGAGCCCCCAAUUCUGGGCCUCGGCGUGCGCGGGGAGCGGGGAAGGGAAGGGGAGGCGCGCACGGCAAGAAGGCGGGCGGGGGCGCCUCCGCCUGCCUGCCGUGCCGCCGCGUGGAUCUCGCCGCCGGGUUUGGAAGGAUUCGCCGCCGCUGCUGUAAAUUUUUUGUUUGUUGGGCGUUUGCCGCGUGCAGUUCGCGGUUGAUUCAUAGCUUUAUCACUCGGCUGCAUACGUGGACCCGCCGCCAUGUGGAACCCGCUCGGCAGCCGGACGUUUCAGGCUGCAUCUCCGCAACGGUUCAGAAGAUUCGCACAAUAAUGUCCAACGGCCUGCCUGUACAGUGAGAUUUAUAUAGCAUGCGAAUUAAUACAAACUUGAAUAAAUUCGUACAAAUUUCUUGUAUGAUCCCACUGUUCCAAACCGAAGGUGGAAUUUCCUACCCGUAAACAUGGUCUUUCUUGGGAAAUCAAUACGCACAUUUUCAGUGUUCAGGUUGCAGAACAAAAAUCGCAUCUCCCGUGUCUGCUUUCUACAUAUGAACGGCAUUCUGUUGAAAAUGCGCAAACCGAAACGUGGUCAGCUAUUGAAGUGCGAUUACAAUGACAAAUGGAGGAACGAUAAGCAGCAACGCAACCCAUUCAACUGGCAACAGCGCAGCACGGUACUGAAAGCAGACAACGCUUUGCAGAAAUGGAUGAUACAAAUACGCAAAAAUGAAACAAAAAGGCAAGAUCAAACAACAUAAGGCUGUAACAGUUACCCAGCUGCCGAAGACUUCCAUAACAAGUUAAUAUGGGUUGAACAUAUCAUUUCUUCCCAUUAAUUAGAGGGCGGGAAACAGAACUACACGCGCAUCAACAAGUAAAAUGGAACUUGGUAGGAAGGAAAAAACAGUUUCAUCCACUGCAUAUUAUUUCAUGCAUUUUGGUGUGCCGUAAAGAGAAAAAUUGAGAUAGCUUCUAGGCAGCACGUUUUUAAGGAAUGGUUCUCUGGUAAAGCGGAAGGGCUCCCAGCGCUUCACGCUCAGCACUCUCCUUUUUCACCUGCAAGAAAAAUGAGAUAUAAGACAAAGGCCACUAAUGGCAUGGAUUGAAAUAAAAUAUAAGUGUGAAAUAACUUAGCAGCACAAGGCUAAAUCAAGAACUAUGCAGUAUAAAGGCAAAUCAAGAACAUUGCAGCAUAAGGCUAAAUCAUCAGCAUAAGAACUUCACAGCAUAAGGCUAAAUCACGAACUCUGCAGCAUAUCAAGGCAAAUCAAGAACUUCGCAGCAUAAGGCUAACCAAGGAACUUCUUAAGCAGUGAAAUCAGCAUUGCAUAUCUGCAGUUAACAUUCUACACCUUGAAUUGUAACAAAUAAUCAUGUUAAGUUGCAAUGUUAACUGCAAAAUGUUUGCUGUAGACAAUAUUAGCUGCAAAUCAUGCAUAAGUUCUCCAUGAAUUUAUAAAUGCUAUCAUUUUCCAGCUUGCACCAAGUAUUGAUUUGCAAAAGUACAACAGUAAUGAUGAAAAAAAGGCUCAACAUGAUAAUGAUCACGAAAAGGAAUGAGGUUGAUAUUCAUGCUGUCAUGCACCUUAUGAAAAUAACAGUAAGAGAGUUAAAGGGCAUACACCCACGAAAGAAAAGGUCAGGAUAUCCUGGCUGUGAGAUGAACUUCAUCAUUGCACAUGAGAUGCUAAUGCAUAUCCUAAAGUAGCUUGAGUUAACACGUAAUGCAUGGUAAGGAUAACGAAUAAGGAUCAUGUAGACUAUUCCCUUAUGGAAGAAAAGAGACAGUGGCUUACUGGUUUUUAUGUAAAGGACAGAUGAAAUGACAAAGGCAUGAAGCAGAAAAGAUCCUUACCAGAGCCAACAUGUCACUCAAAUAGCCUCUGAAUGGAGUUUGUGCAGCCUGUGCAAAAGAAAGUAAAUGUCUCAGAAUACCAGAGUUUAUUAGGCUAUACUAAACAAAAACUCAUGUAAUUGUAUGCAAUACAUGAUAUGAAGAGUAUCCAAUAAGAAAUCCAUGUCCACAGAAGAAAAUUUAAAGAAUAUUCAGCUGAUAAUGAUAUGAUUUCACACAUUGGAAAUCCAUAUUUUAAAUGAACUAACGGCUUUUUGAUACACUAAUCUACAAAUAUCUGCGAUGCUGAAAGAAGAAACAAAAUUUAGAUUUAGUUUUCAUCAAACAACUACGUGGAACAUCUUCAGGGCAAAACAUAGCAUUAAUAUAAGCAAGGAUGAGAAAUCUACAAACCAAAAUGGUAAACUGAAUAAAAAAGCAUACGAGUGCCUAAAACAAUCUAACAGACUCCCUCCUAGCUGAUGCAAACUACACUGGGAGAUGGCAUAUACAAAGCAUACGUUCAUAAAAAAAAGUCCUGGAAUCAAUAUGCAACAUCAGGGCAAACUUCUGCUAUCCUAAUUCCCACCAUUUUUAAUUCUAAUGCUCACUGCAAUCUCAUCUCUCAUCAAAACUUAGUUGAAAUGUGCACCCUAUUCAGAAUCGCUGCCUCCUAAUUCCACUGGUUUUAUACACAACUAUAACAUGGAGCUGCAAAAUAGAUUGGCCGGAUGGACCAACCAAAACUUCAGGUAAGUAGAACCAUCUGCAUCACAUGUACAACCCAAACACAUCACCCUACACAUUUCAAUUAAUAUGCAGUCGUCUGCCCCAGUACACAGAUGACUCACCGCAUGAGCUUUCAGUAAUGCAACCUAGAGCCUAUCUCAUGCAAUCUCGCACGCCACCGUCAGAACAACCACGACAAACACACGAAUCGAGAGAUCCAGAUCAGGGCAUGGGGGAAAUGAACGGGCAUGAACCUGGAGGUCCUCGGGGAGGUACUGAUGCUUCAUGGAGAGGUCCAUGGCGCGCUUGAGGCGCUGGAUGCGGGCGUCUACCACCUCCCUAGGCAGCCUCCCGAGCGCCUCCUUGAUGUCCAGGUCGAAGUACGGAUCGUACAGGUCGUCGUACCUCAGCCCUUUUGGAUCGGAUCACCGGAUCACACAUACGCAGCACAACCGCCAUUCAGAUCAGGAGAACAAGAAGAAAAGGACGAGAUCGCGAAGGGAGCACGGCGGGAUCGAGGCCAGAUCGGAUCCGGGGUUACCGUAUUUCCUGAGGCGCGAGGAGACGGCGCGCAUGUGGAGGCGCGCGAGCGGGUUGCGGCGCGGGUUCACCAGCCAGUUCGACAGCGCGGACAUCAUCGACGACAUGGUGGCGGCGCCCGGGAGGUCUCCUACGUCCUGCGCGGCGGCGGGAUGCGCUUCCCCUUGGCCUCCUCGCUUUUGUGGGAGAGGAGGAGCGGUGGUGGGCGUGGGUGUGGACGCGGUCUCGGGCCGGGGCGUACGGAAGAUCGAGAGAAUGGGCUGUCGUUAUAGGGGCCAGAACAAGAGGAAUUACGGUCCAUUUAUUAAAGCCAUCUUAAACUUCUUCUUGAGGGCCGGCCCAGUUUAUCUAGACGCUGAGUAAGAUUAGUAUUUUUUUUCCCGGGAAGAGAAGAGAGAGAUUGAGAGUUUGAGACCAACCAUCACUCCAUCACUCCAUCACCAUUCACCAACGUUAGUAUGUACUGUAUUACUGAUUUUCUUUAUUGCAAGGUAUUGUUAGUGACACAUCUAGAAAUAAUUGCUCUGGUAGAUUAGAGUGAAAUUUUUCUUUUAAUUUGCUCUUUCAUGAAGAAAACAAGUGUUUUUAAGAUAUAUACCAGCUUUUUUUUUCUCUUUUUUCCUGUUGAGAGAUAUCUGUCAGUUUCGCUAUCCCAAAAACCCCAUAGAUAAGUUUCUGAGCACACAAUACACCAAUAUUCCUACAGUACUUAGCCCUCCAUACGAACAUGACUCGCUGACAGCCUUAGAGAAAAUUCAGAACAGUUUCAUAUUCUAGACUAGCACUACAACCAAACAAAGUUGACAGGAAAAGAAACUAACUAUCACAAGGUAGUAAUCAGUGGACAAUAACUACCAUCAGUUGCGGUGUUCUUUUCAAAGGUCAGCAUCCAAAGGUGACCAUGCAUUUGUCUGCACUUACCAGAAACGCGACACUGUAUUAAACUCCUGAGAUUAGGCAACUAACCAAGUUGCAGCAACAAUAAAUUGGUGUAAUGAAUGGACAGGCACUAGCACAACACAGUAGUGACACUCUGUUUAUUAAACCAAAGCAUCAGUUGCCUAAGCUUUCUGUAUGGAAAGGUAUCGGCGAUGCUUUCAUUAAUUUGUGCAGGAAGGCUCUGCUUCAAUUUUAAAGAGCAAAGUGCUCAAACCUCCCCUGGCCCAGGAUCAAAUCCUGGCCUGGCCACCAUUAUGAAAAAGGGGAAAAGAUGAAUUUGCUCUGGUGGUACCAACAAUAAAAAGAGGGCAACAAAGAAAGAAAAAAAAAUCAUCGCGAGGGUCAGGACAAGGAGUUAGUGAUAAAUUUAACUUUGAUUCAGAUACUACAACAGGAAAGCAACUUUGCAACCCAAAUUCAUGACAAGAAACUUCAUAAGUUGCAUUUGAGAGUUUUUAUGCUGUUGGCAAUACAUGGGAGUUUUCCUUAAUGAUAUCCACAUAAAACAAUUCAAUUGACAUAAGUGCCCACCUAGAAGACUGUUAAUCCAUGGCUUUCUUGAUUUAAUAUUGCUCACCAGUUUUCAGAAGCCCAUGACUUGCGCGGCAGUUUCAAUAAAUUCCUGUAUAGAGGUAAUGAUGGUAUUUGACAAUCUUAUGCUGAAGGGAAAGUGCAAUGGAAUUACAAAAUUCUGAAAUACUGAACAGCACAAAUAAUGGUAUACAAAGUAGUGUUCCUAUCAGUGAAGAAAAAAAUAGUGGCUAAGAGAGGUUCAAUUUAUUGUUGCCAACUCAAGAUAUAUAAUGCCUCAUUUAUUUUCUCUAUUUUCAACAUCACAGCUGAAGUGGUCCAUCAGAUGGAAAAGCUGUUAAGUUUCCUUGUCCAUUCCCAGUGUCAAUCCGGUCUCUAUGAAAAGCACCAGAGCUACACACAACUUUUUGGGUGGGCAAACACAAGAUAUGCUUAGAUCAGAAGAAAAUGCUGUAAAACAAUCCAGAAUUGCACAAAAGAAUUUAAAACUAUACGAUUGGAAGAUGCAUAAACCAAAAUUGACCAAACUGCACCACAUUCAGCAUCUGACGAUUAAGUUGUUAUCUGAAGAACAUCAGAACACUCAUCAGAACGACCAGAUUCCUACAAAAGAUAAGCACAUUCAGGUGCCCACAGAUAAAGCACAAAAGAUGAGUUACCAACAAACCUUGAUGCUCACGUAUGCACAUGUCUUGAGCCUUAAAACUCCACUUCAAACUUUUCCACAGGUUCAAGGUUAUAUCCAGAUGUACAUUUUAAUCUUGUUAUUCAGGUACAAUUGUAACAGAUGACAAACAUGAGAACAACAAGAAGCAACUCAAUAUUUUGUUGCACACUGUUGUCAAACAAAUAAACUGUAUCGGAGCUGAAAAAUAACUCAAAAUUACAGAAAAAUUAAGUGACAUAAGAAUCUCUUUGACUAGUUGUUUUAUCUAACUUUCAGGAUACUUAUCAAGAUGAUCAGUGUCCUACUAAAGAUAGGCACGUUCAGGUGCCCACAGAUAAGCACAAAAAGGCAGCUAUCAGUAAUUCAGUAUUACAAACCUUGCUGCUCAGGUAGUCAUAUGUUUUGAUUCCUUAAAACUCCUAAAUUUUCCACAGAAUCAAAGUUAUAUUGAGAUGUACCCUACAGUUUUGUUAUUUCAGUAUGAAUUGAGUGAUCACAAGACAAUAAAAAAGGAGAAACAACGGAAAACUCAAAUUUGUUGGACAUUACUAUCAUUGACAAAUAAACUGUAUCGGAGCUUUACAUCAUGACAACAUUCUCUUUUUUGAGAAUUACCACUGUUGAACUAUUUUAUCAUCAGAAUUAUCCCCACUUAAGGCACAAGAAGGGAGAGAACAGAGUGCCAAAGUCACUGGGAUAUCACAUAAUCUUGCCAAUCGUUCAAACGAAGCGUUUAUAUAAGAUGGCAAAACAAAAACAAAAUGAAAUGAAAGAACAUAUAUUGGAGAGCCUCCAUAGCAUUCUGAUGAACAGACACUUCAACAAACAUCUUUUGUUAGCACUAAAGAAAAGGAGGCAGGUGCAGAAGCAAAUUGUGAUCCUGCAAAAACCUAUUCAAGCUUCCAUGCAUGCAGGAUCAACGAGAAACCAAGACCUUGCAGCUGGGACUCCCUAAAAAUCUGCGAGUAUGACCAUGGUAGCGACUUCUCAGGUGCCUGGCAUGUCUGAAACAUGAACACUGCAUUGCUUGCCGUCGAUCCAAAGAGCCAACUGUGGACAUCCCAGAACACCUCCACAGGCAAGCCAUCAACGAGAAUUGUCUGAUUUCCCCUAAACUUCCAUGCCAGGCGCUUCACCUGCAUCACAGGCUUCUUAUCAACCCUUAUUUCGAGACAUGGAUCCUUCAGGCCGAUGGUAUCACACUCGAUGACAAUGUCAUGGAACUGGCCUUUGUCACAGAAUUGCGCCUUAGCAGAGUAGACCUUCUUGCCAUAUAUGUGCUCCCUUCUCGCCACGAACGCAGCAUUCAGCAUCGACCGGUUGGCUCCAGUCUUCCUGUAAGCAUCCUUCUUCAUGUCACCGAGCAAAAGCACAAGCUCAAGGUCGAACACCACUGCAACAUAGAACCCCUCCACUGGUUCUGGACCGGCACCAAACUUGGCGCUCGACAGGUCCCAGAAGAUCUCAAUCUUGCCAUCCUCAACGUCGAGGCUCUUGGACCCCUUCUUCUUGGAGAAGAGCCACGGCUUGAUGUCCGCCUUGCACAGGCACUGGCCGGACAGGUCGUCCACGCCGAUGCUGAGGCCCUGCCCCAUGA
Molecule: long non-coding RNA, 113940 nt
Filed under: Panicum hallii
Lineage: Eukaryota; Viridiplantae; Streptophyta; Magnoliopsida; Poales; Poaceae
Description: long non-coding RNA (PHAL_LNC000839)
Source: RNAcentral